RNAcentral lists this long non-coding RNA (163316 nucleotides) under Coffea arabica (coffee). Its description in RNAcentral is "long non-coding RNA (CARA_LNC005274)". Lineage: Eukaryota; Viridiplantae; Streptophyta; Magnoliopsida; Gentianales; Rubiaceae. The record is from RNAcentral.
UCAGAAUUCCAUCCAAGUCCCAGCCCAUCCUGACUACCAAACAAACGCAUGAUAUACACCACAAUCCCCACCGAUUUCCACCUCUCAAAAACCCUAACAACGACCAAUAGUUUACCUCUCACACACACUCCCAUAGUAGGGUUCUGCUAAACCAACCGGCGGCACCGCCACCAGCAUUCCCACGUCGGGGAACACUAGCAAUGGACUUCGACGAGUACGAUUAUUUGGAGAAAACCGUGGAAGAAACCAACGGUCCUCCGUCCAAAACGAAGGAGACUAAGGACUCCGCCGAGAAAGAGAGAGACAAGGAGAAAGGAUAUCGGAGAAAAGAGCGUGGCGACGAGGACGAAGGUGAUAUUGACGAGGACGAAAGAGAUCGGAAAAAUUCCUCCAGCAAAAGGUCCCGGGGAGAUGACGAAAACGGCCGAGAUAGAGACCGCGAGAGGGAACGAGAUAGGGAUAGGGAGAAGGAGAGGAGCUCGCUGCACCGGAGUCGAGAUAGGGAGAGUGAGAGGAGUUCGAGGGACAGGGAUAGAGACAAGGAGAAGAGGGAGAAAGAGAGAGAUAGGGAUAGGGAAAGAGAUAGGGAGAGGAGAGACAGAGACAAGGAGAAGGAGAGGGAGAGGGAUAGGGACAGGGACAAGGAGAAGGAGAAGGACAGGGAGAGGAGGGAUAGGGAAAAGGAGAAGGAAAGAGAUAGGGAAAUGGAGAGGUCGAAGGAAAUGGAGAGGUCAAGGAGGAGCCGAAGCAGGUCCAGGCUCGAUCGUGAAAGGGAGAGAGAGUUGAUCAGGGAACGAGAGCGCGAGCUCGAGAUGAGGGAAAGCAGGUGAUGCUCAGUUUUAACUUGUUUCUGCCGUUGCAUUUUAUAGAUUUCUCUACACAGUUAUGCUUACAUACAUUGAUGGUGCUUUACUUGGCAAAUAAUUCUUGGUUAAUUACGUUUAGAGUGCUUUCAGAUGAGGCAUUGCUUGCUAAUGAUUUGAGAAUUUUUUUCCUCGUUGAUGGUUAAGAUUCUUUGCACUUGCACGGGGACUUUGAUAUCAUUAGAAUCACAUGAUGGGUAAGUGAAUUUGUUUGCUUGGAGUGGUUUUUCGUGAACUGAUAUGGAAAAUUGGAACAUAUGAUUUAUGAAGUUCGGUUUUUGAUGGUUUAACUUCACUGACUUAUGAAGGGCCUUUUCGAUUAAAGGUUAUUUGCCCUACCUAUACUUAUGGAGGUGGCUUAUUUUAAUUAUGUGUGUUUUUGCUUAUUGUUUUUGCAUCACCAAUCUUGGAGUUUCUCAAUCAAAUGGACUCCGAGUAAUUGCAGCAAAAAAAAUGUUAAGAGUUCAUAUGUAGACAUACAUAUAUAGCACACGUGUGUGUACACAAUUGUUUCCAGUGUGGCUUGUUCUGUUAUAUGCAUGUGUAUCCAAAUCUCUGCCAACAGAUGAAAUCACAGAAAGAAUAUGUAGAAUGGCUAAGUGCAGAAAAAAGUCUGAGUUUAUGCAUGAAGAAUAUAACUUUCUAACUUGGGUUGAAAUCGUAGAUGCAUCUUAAUGGGCUAACAUGCGGAAACUUCUUCACGGCUUGUCUGAAGAAAGUGGCUUUUCCACAUAUUGGUUUUGAUAAGGUCUGUUGUGUUUCUCUUUUCCGGCCUUAAGAUUUGGCUCACUCUUCAAUCCUUCUAAUGUUUUUUGCAUACCUGGAUUAAGCUUGAUUUCUUACAUCUAAGCUGAGAUGUUGAUCAAUGAUGUAUUCAAUUUUUAGGUUGGCAACGCAUGUGGUGAGGCUGUAUCAGUUUUCCAGCCUUUUGUUCACUGUGAAGACGAAAAUGCCUUAUCCCCAUAAUUCUUGUUCCCUCUUUGCAGUGAAACAGGGACCAGAAUAGCAAAUCCUCUGUUUGAAUGACUUUUUUGAUUCAAAAUAUCAGUGAACUCGAGUGUCCUAAUGAACACAAUCUUAAUUGAAGUAUAAAUAAUCAAUGGUCUUAAAUCAUCCAGAAUAGUGAUUGGAGUGAACUUAUGAAGGUUAUUCCAGUCAUUUUCCUUGCUGAAAUCAUAAGCCAGAUUUUAGGUUUCUGGUUUACUUCUUGUUAUCCCCCCUGUUUUUCUUUGAUAUUCCUUCUAAUCUUAAUUGUACUUAAGCUUAAAACUGUUUUUUAAUUUGAGUCAUCCAUUGCUGUUGGGUAGAAGUGACUUGGUCUACAUGAAUAAGGGGGCUUUAGUUGACAAUUAGCGAAAACAUUUAGUUUCUAAUCUGCUUGUUAUUGAAGGUGGAUUGCUAAUGAAGUAUAAAAAUUUGCUAAGCAUUGAAAAAUGAUGUGCUUGUUCUCACUCUCUUGCUGACCACUGGCUGAGGAACUUUAUACAAUCAUAGUCUAGAAUGUUUUAUGUUUAUACUUGUUAAAUUUGAAGUUGGUAUUCGUUUUUGGUAUUUCUGUUAUCAAAAAGUUUGAUUUAUGGAAAAGUAGGGUGCUGGCUUGGAAUUUAAGGAGGUUGAUUAUCUCUGUGGUAGGGAGGAGAACAUGAUGUUGAGGUUGAGAUAAGUUUUUCUACAAGAAAAUACACCUAUAAGGCUUUAUAUGUUAAUAUGUUCCUCUCAUUGUAGGGUUUAUACUUACUAUUUUCUGAGUCAUUUAUGCAGGAGAUUUAAAGAAAAGAAAGAAGCGGUGGAACCUGAGGCUGACCCAGAAAGGGAUCAGAGAACAGUAUUUGCUUACCAGGUGGAUGGCUUAACUUCCCAGAUUUUUAUAGAUCAAGUGUUACAGGAAUUACUUGCCUGUUCGAAGUUGCUUCUUUUUUGUAGAGGAGAGGCUUAGGAUUAGACAAUAUUGUUUGCUGAUGUAUACAUAUUUUGAUUGCAGAUGCCCUUGAAGGCAACUGAGAGGGAUGUUUACGAGUUUUUCUCAAAAGCAGGAAAGGUUGGUGUUCUUCUGUCUAUUGUUUGGAUGGAUAUCAUCAUUUUAUGUAUUUAUGUGGUGUAUUAUAACUCCAACCUUUGCUGUAUUUCUUUAAGAAUAAAUGAUUCUCAAUUUCUGUUUAUGCUAAUAUUCGUACACUGUUAUGCAUAUACAUAAGGGAAAAAUCUCACGGUCUGAGUGCGCUGAAUUGCAAAAGAUUCAUGGUCUCAUUGCAUGGAAUACAUGGUAUUAGUUGCACGUUUUGCUUGUUGCUACUGAUUACUAACUGAUUUUUGAUUAUAACAUAAUAAUUCUUGUGCUUGUUUGAGUAGAUAUGUUUUGUAUGCAUAUGAAUUCAAUUUGUGAAGAAUGACAAGUUAUAAGAUCCAUUUCUUUGCUCUUUAACUUUUAUUUUUCUUUUGUGGAUCAAAUUAUUUGGCAUUUCUUCUCAGUUUUGCUAUUUUUAAUUUCCAGGUGAGGGAUGUACGUCUUAUCAUGGAUCGAAAUUCGAGGAGAUCAAAAGGAGUUGGGUAUGUGCUCCUUAUGUAUCUUUCUCCUUUUCUGGUUGCUCUCUAUUUCUACCUUUUUUUAAUAUUAUAAAAUUGUAGUGCUGUCAAGUCUUACUUUUGGAUAAUGUUCCAAAAGGAGUUCAAGCUAAAUUCAUGGAUUUGUUAGAAGGCCUUCAAAUGUAGUUAGCUGGUCUCUUUUGACGCAUCUUUGAGAUACGUUGGUAUUCCCAUGAUUUUGAGCUUGAUUCACUUUGGGGCUUUUUUUUUUUUGAUAUUCUUGGUUAGUUAUUACUUAAUACUAUUAAUCUCUUAGUUCUGAGCCUUUUAAGUUGGGAUUCAUCUUCCACAGCGAUUUCUUUUACAACCAUUGGUUUUCCAACUUUUUUCUUGACUUCUGUGUCUUGCAGUCUUGAUAUUGAUUCCCUUGAUACUGCAGGUACAUUGAGUUCUUUGAUUCCAUGUCUGUGCCGAUGGCAAUUGCUCUAUCUGGGCAUCUACUUCAUGGACAGCCUGUUAUGGUUAAACCAUCAGAGGCAGAAAAGAACCUUGUUCCAUCAAAUGCUUCCAGUAAUUCAAGCGUUGUGGGCCCGUAUGGUGCAACAGAUAGGAAACUCUAUGUUGGAAAUUUACAUUUCAACAUGACUGAAUUUCAGCUUAAACAGGUAAGCUUUGCAAAUUAUGUUUUACCAUAGUAAGCAGUUGGAUGAAAGCAAACUUCAUACCAUUGUUCAAUUAGUGUAGGAGAUGAAAGUUGUAGGAGUUGGGGAAAUUGCUCCUUUUAGAAGUUAUCAGUCUACAAGGCACUUUUUCCCCUCCAUAAUCAUCGAUCACCUCUGGUCUUUGGAGGUAGAUGGGUUUUUAACUCUUGCAUCUUUUUUUAAGUUGAACGUGUUGGCAUAUCAACAGAUUCACUAAUUCUUUGAGGUCUGCGAGUUUAGGUGAAGCAAAAUAAAUUUUAGCUUUAGGUAAUUCAAAGGUAAAUAUCCUUGCCACUUCCUUUAUGUAUCAGAAAUUGGCCAUGGGAUGAUCUCUCCUUUUAUCUGACUUGGUCUUUUUAAAGCUUUUUGUCACUGGCCUAUUGGACUUUAAUCUUUUACGCAAUGGUCAUUAGCUUGUAGUCCAGCUUUUAUUGCACCUCCUGUUUAGCAGUGUUUUGUGGUAUCUGGCUUCAUUUGCUAAAUCUGGUAACUAUUUAUUUGCAGAUUUUUGAAGCAUUUGGGCCCGUUGAACUUGUACAGCUGCCUACUGAUCCUGAGACUGGACACUGCAAAGGUUUUGGCUUUGUUCAAGUCGGUAUUGGUUAAGAUUUUGAUGUCUUGAUUCUCUAGCUAAUUAUACCAGUUCAAUGAAUCCUUAAUUCUGACGAUGUUGAUGACAUGAUUAUUAUUUUUAGUUUGCUCAACUAGAACAUGCAAAGGCUGCGCAAGUUCUAAAUGGGAAAUUGGAGAUUGCUGGUCGAACUAUUAAGGUGCGCUUAUGAAAUUCAAGCUUCAUUAGAUGGUUAAUAUAUUGUACUUCAUUUUUUAUAAUUUUUAUUGAUGCAGUGUCUAAUUCUAAUGUUUUUGAGUGCAGGUUUCAUCUGUUACGGAUCAUGUUGGAGUGCAAGAUUCAGGGCAGAAAACUGCCGAUUUUGAUGAUGAUGAUGGGGGUGGAUUGGUUAGUUGAUUUUGUGAAACUGCAGUUUUUUAAAUGCCCUAAUUUUGGAUAUAGUUAAUUGAUAAUAUAUCUGUUUUUAAAUUUUUUGCCAACCUAGUAUUCCCGUAAUAAAUCAACAUUUAUUUGAAUGUAUGUUUUUGGAGAGACAGGACUGAGGGUACUUUAUGUUAUAAUACAGUGGCUGAUAGGUGGCAAUAGCAGCAUAUCCUGGGAUUAUAGAAUAUUACUGUGGUGUUGAUUAUAGAAUAUUACUUUUAUCUUAUUGGGAUUCUGGAACUUGUUUUCUUAAUUAGUAUUAUCUUUUCAUCACGUCUCUAGUAGGAUGGACUACUUAGCAAAUGCAUUUGAGACAUUGCUUGAUGGAAUUGAUAAUUAACGAAUGUGUCGUUUGGUGCAUUAACAGUGUAAAUCACUAAAUUGUUCAAAUUCAACAGCAAUAUGAUGCAUGAAUGUUGUCUAAGUGGGUUUUAGGUUUCAACUUGUGAAGUAUGAUCAAUUUUCUUUUGGAUUUUCAACGAUUUCUAUUCAAGAUGUUAAAUUAUAAUUUAAAAUAGUCCUUGAAGGCAAUUAUUCUGAAAGCAUCACUGUUCUGUUAAAAAACAGUUUAGCUUUAAGUUGAGAGAUAUUGCUUGUUGCAUCACACACAUUGAGCAAAUUCUGAAGUAACAAAUCAAAUUGAGAAUUUGACUGCUCUGAAAUUUGUUGAAUCUAGUAUAUUGAUUCCUUUUAAUUGCUAAUAUUAAACACUUAUUUAUGGGUUUAAACUUAUUCAGGCUUUGAAUGCUCAAUCAAGAGCAAUGCUAAUGGCAAAACUGGAUCGCAGUGGGAUUGCGUCAAGGUUUGUCUGUAGUAUUAUGUCCUUUUUCUCUGGAAAUUCACUUUUUUGCUGCGGAAGUUUGAUAUCUUUUGCCUAUUCAGUGUUGCUGGUUCCCUUGGAGUACCUGCGCUUAAUGGCGCAACUCCUGCACAACAAUCCAUAACCAUGCCCAUGGUUGCACCUACAGCAAUGUCUGCUCCGGUACUUCCAGCACAAGUUUUAAUGCCCCCAGAGCCCAUUGGCAACCCAAGCGAGUGUUUACUUUUGAAGAAUAUGUUUGAUCCUGCAACUGAGGUUUGUUAAUUGUUUGAUGAUCUAUGUACAAGUACACAUACUUGCCAUACGUGCAUGGAAUUCCUAAUCAAAGAUUUAUGUGUUUGUCAUUGCCUUUCCUUUUGCUUAUUCUUGGAAUUUUGUUUGCAGACGGAUCCAGAAUUUGAUUUGGACAUCAGGGAUGAUGUGCGUGAAGAAUGUUCAAAGUAUGGCCCGGUGAAGCAUAUCCUUGUGGACAAGUAAGAAUCUUGACUCGAGUGUAUGCUUGGUAUUUGACUUCUGAUGUAUCCGCAACCAGAAAUCAUUUACUUGCUGAGAUGAAUACUAGUUGAAGAUGGUUGGCAUUUCAAAAGGAGGAGGCUCUCAGAAAGAUUGUUUAAACUUGAAACAGGAUUUUUAGCAGAGUCCUAUUAUUAAUUUUAGCUUUAUAGACUAAAGAUUUUCAUUUAUCAGCAAAGCUCUAAAAUUAACUGCCAAAGCAACAUUUUCUAUGAUAGUAGCCAAUUGUCAGGUGACAAUUAUCCUUGGUGCAAUAUGUCAAAUAUAUGGAAAGAGAAUAAAAAAUGUGUUGGGUGUGAUCUUGUCUUUUACUGUUAAGGUGGAAAGAAAUUCAAGUAGGUAGGAGUGCAGCUAUAAGGGGCAUGGAAAAGGCAAAAAGAAUUGAGGAUACCUACCUUUUCCUGGCACAAGGGAGGUCAGCGAAGAAAAACAAUUAAAAUUUGAGAGUAUAAACUUUUGAGCGACAGACAUCCUAUUGCAUUGUAUGUCUACUUGUUAUGUUCCCGUGCUUUUACCAUUCAGUCUAUAAAUCAUAAUAAUGGUCCACUUCUCAAGAAAUUAUGAAGCUUAGCUGAAGAUAAUUAACAGAUAUUUAACUCCUGUCAGUUGAGAACCGGCCCCAUGUACUCUCUUUUCCUUGGUAUUUCCUAUUUUUAGCAGCAAAUUUGAGCUUUGUCAGUUGUUGCAUUGUAUUAUUUAUGCUUGAUUUUGUCUUCCAUUUUAUGUCAUUUACAGGAAUAGUUCUGGUUAUGUUUAUUUGCGCUUUGAGAAUGUGGAGGCUGCAGCACGUGCUCAACAAGCCAUGCACAAGCGAUGGUUUGCUCGCCGAUUGAUUUCAGCAAUCUUCUUGGUAAUAUAUUGGACCAUAGUUUUUGCAAAAUGGGAGGAGCACAUUCACUAUUUUUUUUCCUUAAUAUUUAUUCAUGUGCUCUCUCUCUCUCUCUCUCUCACUUUCACACACACACACACAGACAUUCACAUUAUAUGUAUAUGUGUAUAUGCAUGCAUGCAUAUUUGUGUGUGUGUGUGUAUGUACAUACAUGUGUGUGCAUGUAUGUGCAUAUGUAUAUAUAGACACACAAACACACAGGCAAACAGAGAGAUAUAGACGUAUGUGUGUGCGCGCGUGCGUGUACAUUUGUUUGGUUCUGAUACUACAAUCAGUAAUGCAAUCGCAAAAUGGCUCUUUUCUUUAGUUUGACCGACAUGUUGUAGACAGAGGCCACCUGGGCCUGUCCCAACUGGUAGCUUAACUGAUGAAUUUAAAGCACUAGUUUCCUUCCACAGUUGAAAUAUGUGUGGAAGCAUUCUUCAAUUGAAUAAUAAACUAAUUAUGGUGAUGUUGAACUCAACUGUCAAUGUCAAUGCUAAGUUACAACAUUAGCUAUGUUUGUGGAGAAUAAAACCAUAUAUGUGUAGCGAAGGUGCGCUUACAAGCACAUGCAGACUAGUGUUCUUGCAUUGCAUUUCUCGUGCAAAAAGUAGAGCAUUUGAACUUAAAAAACAUGAAGCAACUUAAGUAGUUCAUAUUGGUCAAGUUUUUAUCUAACAGAAUGUGUCUGUGAACUUGGGGCACUUGUAUAGAUGGCCUCAAAUUGUAUGUUAGUGUGUAUGGAUCUUUAAUUUCUUUGAUUAUUUUUACUGCAAUUUUUUGUAUCUCCAGUCUAUGAUGCUCCUUUGAGGUUUAGAAAUUGUAAUUCUUGUCUGAUUAUGAUGUGAAAAUAUUGGGGGCAAUGCAAGCUAGUCUGGAGGCAAAUGCUUCAUUUGAAUGUGAUUGAAGGUUGAGAAUUUGGAGCAUUAUGACUACUGGUGAUAUAUUUGUGUGUACAUUGAUCAAUGCAUAUGUUUGGGUUGCUUAAUUUUGACGAAUAUUUUAUUUGUUUGCAGCAACCAUAUGAAUAUGAUGCAAAAUUUAAAGGGGCUGCUUGAUACUGUUCCGCAUGCUGGAAUCAAUGUGGAUGGAGUACAACCUUAAAGUGGAGUUGCUGAGCGUGUUUGCUUAUGGUUUCAUUACGAUGUGGAUUACAAUAACUCUACUUGCUUCACAUGUAUAAUUUGGUUUUAGAUUUGGUUAUUGUUAUGUGGUGGAUGUGUAUACAAUUUGAUCGAUUAUUUUCCCUUUGAAAUGUAGUACCGAAUAUUUUUAUUAGCAUGAUAGCAAAUGUUGUUGGGAUGGUUCGAAAUUUUCUACAUAUUUAACUCUAUACUCCUUCCCUUUCACCUUCCCCUUUCCGCCUUGCAAUUUGGGUUGCAAAUAAACCAAGUCAAGUCAAAGUUUUGGUCUAAUUGAAUCAAGUCUAAUAUCGAGCUCAAGUUUUGCACUGAAAGUUCCAUCACAAAUUCGAGCAUAGUCAAGCUCGAACAAGCCUAUUUGAGUUUAAAAAAUUAAAAAUAAUUAUUUUAUCUUUUAAAAAUGAAUAAAAUAUUUAUUUUUUUAAUAAAUAAAAAUAUUAGAUAUAUAUGUAUAAAAUUGGAUGAGCUAUUGAGUUUGAGUAUCUUUAUGCUCGCUCGAGUUCGAUAGUUUGACUUGGUUGACUCGAUUUUAGUAUUAAUUGAGUUUGAGUUGAAUUUUAAUCGAAUUGUUCGAGUUUGGUAGUUUGACUUGGUCGACUCGAAUUCAGUAUUAAUUGAGUUUGAGUUGAAUUUUGAUCGAACUGGCUUGGGAGCACUUGCGAAUGAAUUGAUUCAUUUGCAAUCUUAUUUGUUAUGGAUGGAAUAUAAUUUGACCAUUUAAAGAAUCUUUUUCAUUUUAGAUCUAAAUUAUGUCCCUUUUUGAUAGAGGUGGCAAUUUGUUCCAUGUUUCAAUGGGCUAUCCAUGCUUAAAGGGAUUUUAGGCGGGAUGGAUAUUUUAAUUUUGAUGUUGGGUUUGAAAUGGUACUAAUCUCAUUUAUAUCCAUUAAUUGGUGGGAAUUUUUGGAAAAUACUUGGGUAGCCAUUGGGGCCCAAAUAUCUUACCAAAUAUUUAUUCUAUCAAUUGUUGUAUAGCUUUUAAUGACUCAAGUGUACCAUUUUUAUUCUUCCACCUAGGUCCUUCAGUUUUUUCCUUGUAAUUAUGUUUAAAAUCUCCAUCUAGUUUCAUGAACUCUUUUGUCCCUUGGAAAUCAGUUUUUUUUUUUUUUUAAUUCUUCCCCCUUUUUUCGUAAAAAUUCUGUUGCCAGUCUUAAUUUAGAGUGUAUUUGAAAAUUAUCGAAAGAAAUAUCUUUGUUUUCAGAUGGGGACUUAAUGGUUGCUCAAUCAGGUUGAAGAGGGCCUGAAGGAGGCUAGUGGGUGCUCUUUGAGACUUGUAAAUGGUUUUGAACUCCUUUUUUAGUUGAAUGCUGGUCAAAAUAAAUAUUGGAAGUUAUAUGAAAGUCAUCAAUUUGUAAUCUUAUUAGAAAAUAUUUUGUUCAAUUUUAAUGAUUUUACGAUGGCUUAUAGUUCCAAACACCAUCUUCGUCCAGAAAGAAGAAGAAGGUGACAGGCAGGCUGGCCACUUCAAAAGCUACAUCCAUGAUCAAAGCCCCCAAAAGGCCUCUAUUGCAAAAACAUGAUGGUUUCACAACCACUCAGUGCCUCAAAACCAAAUUUCUGAAAACCAAAUUCCAGCUGUGUUGAUUUUCUUGUUUUUUUUUUUUCCCUUUCCAAAUUCUAGCCCAAGAUGCAUUUCACGACGUGUCAGUUAAACACACAAAUGCAUCUAGUGUUGGCUAGACACAUUUUAAAAAUUCAUGGACUUAUAUUCAGAAAGACCCCCAAAUUUAAUCUAUUUGGACCAUUAUUUCAAGAGAUAAAAUCAUGUCUAACCCUUUUUUUUAUUAUUGUUUUUUAUUGUAAAACCAAGCAACUUGAAAGAACAAUUCUAAUCUUUUUUCUUCCCUCCUCCCUCUCCCCCCAAAAACCCCUUUUUUUCCUAAAUUAAACUUUUUUUCUUUUUUCUUUUUUUCUAACUUUCAAACUAAACUUCAUAAUUUGUAAGACAGGUGUUUGUGGGGUUAAAAAGUAUAAUAUGAUGAUAAAAUACUGUCCAAAUUAACGCUAUUUGAGCGAUUUUUUUUAAAAGACCAUUAUUUCAAGAGACAAAACCAUGCCUAACCCUUUUUUUUCUAUUUUUUUUAUUGUUAAAACUGAGCAACCCCAAAAAACAAUUCUAAUAUUUUCUCUUCCUUUUUUUUUUUUUUCUUAACUUAAACCUUGUUUUUUCUAACUUCCAAACUAGGCAUUAACGCAGCACAAUUUGUAAGACAAGUGUUUGUAGGGUUAAAAAAUACGAGACGAUGAUAAACUACUGUCCAAAUUAACUCUAUUUGGGUGAUUUUUUUAAAAAGACCAUUAUUUUGAGCGAUAAAACCAUGCCUAACAUUUUCUUUAUUAUUUUUUUUAUUGUUAAAACUGAGCAAUCCAAAAAUAAAAUAACAAUUCUAAUCUUUUCUCUUCCCUUUUUUUCCCCUAACUUGAACUUUUUUCUUCUAACUUAUAAACUACACAUUAACGCGGUACAAUUUGUAAUACAAGUGUUCGUAGAGUUAUAAAGUACAAGAUAAUGAACUAAACUACUGUCCAAUAAGGAAAAUUUUUUAUAUUAAAAGAGAACUUUGAGCAAAGCCUUGAAAAUUUCCCCAAAUGAAAAUGACACAUGAGGAAGUCGAAAUCGACCGUUACUCCAAUCCUCAACCGAUUUUCAAAGUUCUCCAGGGUCACUUCAAUGAACUCUGGUGUAAGAGAUGCAGUUAGCCAAGGCUACCCAGACAAAGCGCUUAUUCUCUUCCGCCAAAUGAAGCAAAACGGCUUAGAACCCAGCAAAUUGACCUUCCCUUUCAUAGCCAAAGCCUGUGCAAAACUCUCUAGCCUCAAGUGCUCCCAAAUGGUGCACACCCAUAUGUUAAAAUCUCCUUAUUAUUCAGAUAAAUAUGUACAGUCGGGCUUGGUUAAUAUGUAUGUAAAAUGUGAUCAGGUAGAAAAUUUUGCUUACGCAGUGUUUGAUAGAAUGCAUGCAAGGGAGAUUGCUGCUUGGAAUGCGAUGCUCAUGGGUUUCGUGCAAGCGUCGUGUUUUGAUAGAGCUUUGUGUUUAUUUAAUGAGAUGAUGCUUGAUGGGGUUAGACCGGAUUCAGUUACGGCUAUGGGGUUAGCACAGUUGGCUUCUGGUCUGAAGGAUGUUAAAUUAUUGACUUCAGUUCACUGUCUGGGGAUUAGAAUUGGGGUAGAAGCUGAUGUUUCAGUUGCUAACACUUGGAUUGCUGCAUAUUCUAGAUGCGGUGAUUUAUCCUUGUCUGAGAUGGUUUUUAAUGAAAUUGAUUUGGAUGUUCUGACUGUUGUUUCUUGGAAUUCAAUGAUUACUGGGUGUGGUAAUGCAGGAGAAGGAUUUAUGGCUAUGGGGUUGUACCAUAAUAUGUUAUAUGAUGGAUUUAGGCCUGACUUGAGUACCAUUCUUAACUUGCUUGGAUCAUUUGCCAAACCUAAUGCUUUGUUCCUUGGGAAGUUGAUCCACUGUCAUGGAGUUCGAUUAGGUUGUUGCUCAGAUGUUUCUGUUCUUAAUACCCUUGUUUGUAUGUACUCCAGAUGUGCAGACAUAGAUUCGGCAAGAAGUUUGUUUGACUCCAUAGUGGACAGAACUCGUGUUUCUUGGACUGUCAUGAUCGGUAGUUAUGCUGAGAAAGGGGAUUUGGAGGACGCAAUGGCCUUGUUCCAUGACAUGGAAGCAGCUGGCGAGCAACCUGACUUAGUUACGGUGAUAUAUUUAAUUUCAGCCUGUGGCCAAGUUGGAGUCCUCGAUUAUGGGAGAUGGAUAGACAGUUAUGCCAUCUCAAGAGGAUUGAAGAGCGAUAUAAGGGUCUCGAAUGCACUAUUAUACAUGUACUCUAAGUGCGGAAGCGUAAGAGAUGCUGAGGAACUCUUUUCUUCCAUGAAUGAGAGGACUAUUGUUUCUUGGACUGCCAUGAUAUCGGGUUAUGCACUGAAUGGACAAUCUGGAAAAGCAUUGGAUUAUUUUAAUGUGAUGUUGAAGUCAGGUUUAGAACCAAACCAUAUUACAUUUCUUGCUGUUCUUCAGGCCUGUGUUCAUGCAGGUCUGAUGGAGAAAGGAUGGGAAUUAUUUCAUAUGAUGACUGAGCUAUACAAGUUAAGUCCUGGUCUGGACCACCAUGCUUGCAUGGCUGAUCUCCUUGGACGUCAGGGAAAACUGAAAGAAGCAUUGGAGUAUAUUCAACGUAUGCCUAUUAAACCAGAUGCCGGCAUUUGGGCUGCUUUGCUUAGUGCUUGCAAGAUUCACCGAAAUGCAGAUAUUGGAGAGUAUGCAGCUCAUCAUCUUUUUGAACUGGAACCCCAGGCUGCUGCUCCAUAUGUUGAAAUGGCCAACAUAUAUGCAUCAACAGGAAGGUGGGAUGGUGUUGCUUCCAUUAGAACAAAAAUGAAAUGCAAUCAAGUCAGGAAAUAUCCCGGGGAAAGCACUAUUCAAGUGGAUGGCAAGAGCUAUACUUUCAGAGUGAAUGACAAAUUUCAUCCCAAAGGCUGCCUAAUAUAUGAAGUACUAAGUAGUUUGGGAUUGUAUUCCAAGAAACAGAUAGAUACGUUUAGGUCUGAGGAAUUCUUUUGACAGUAGAAUUGUUUUCUUUAGAUUAGUGAUUUAAGGUAGAGCUAAGAAGUUGAAGCUUCCCAGAACAGGGUGUCAAGGAAGUGAUACAGUCUCUUUAAGCAAUUACCUGAUCAAUUUCCAGCGGACCUGAAGAAGUACUCUUCGACCAUGUCCUUAACUAAGUCCUAAAGACAAGCGACUACUACCCAUCUGAGGGUCAAAGAUCUUCUUGAUUCUUUUCCAAUAGGUCCCCUCCUCAAGUCAAUAGCAGUUUCACUACGGAGCACAAACAUCUUAACUCUGGAGAUAAUAUCAGCUUUCAGGAUCCCUUGUAUAAUCCCUCAUUGGGGCAGAAACAAUUCUGGGUACUCAUUUCAUGUAUACAUACGUCUUCUUCAACUGAUGCAGAUAAAUGCAACAAAGUUGUGUACAUUCAUUGGUUUGGAUCGUACACAAUUUAGACCAUAAGUUUGUUUUCAAAAUCAAUGUAUCAAUUAAAUUUCAUGACAUACAGAAAUUUUCUAUGAAUUCAGAAAUAUUCUUACUCAUAUUACCAAGUUACUAUCAAUAUAUAUUUAAAUUAAAUGUCAUCCGAAUAGUUGGAAACAAAAAAUGAAAAAAAAAAGUCCACAAAGUUUUGAGAACAAACUAAAUCCUCACCCUUUUGUUUGAAUUAUCAAGGGCAAUUUGAUGAUUAUUUCAACGAGUUACUAGCCCCAACAAGUAGCAUGAACUUCACAUGAACGUUAAUUCAAAUUGGAAUUAAAUGACAUGCAUCCUACGAUAUCAAUGUAUAUAUUCUCAGUGUAUUAAGAUUAAUCCAAAUAAAUAUUAAUGAUCAUAAAAUUUUCUAAGUAAUAUAAUUAUCCCAUUUUCUUUCCUUUCUCUUUCUCUUUUUUGCUCUUUCUGUCACAUAAUUGGAACAAUCAAACGGUUUGCAACUCAACGUUGUUACCAUGCUUAUUACUUUGUUGUACGCUAUCAAAAGUUAUUGUUUUCAAUCUUAAGUAAAGCAUAAUUAGAUAAGAUUGUUGCUAGCAAACAAGGCCACAUCUAAACUUGAGUGUUGACAUUUACACAUGGUUGGCCUGUUUCUACCAUAUACUUUAACUAAUUUUCGUCAAUCAAUCCUUGAUUGAAUGAAAUUGCCUGGUUCUUUUCUCUUAUAUAUCAAUGCUGGUGAAGAAAAUGAGACUUGUGUAAACUUUCCUUAAAUUUGCAGACAUUUGAACGUGUGUGAGAACAUUUCUAUUAGGGUAAAUUACUUCACACCACCCUGUGGUUUUAUUUAUUCUUAUAUGAUCCUCCUAACAAUUCAAAACAUUCAUAUAACUCUAUAUGAUUUCAUGUAAAGCAUAAAUUUAACAAAAGUAACCCCAUAACGUCAUUAAUUGAAAAGCCAAUAUUAUCCUUACUUAAACAUUAAACAUAACGAGAGGCUAACCACUUUGUAUAAAAUCAUAGGAAGAUUACUGUGAGAUCUCUAGUUUGACUCUCAUGCCUUUUCCUUCCCCGUAAGGCUUGGAGUCUCUCAUUUUGAAAAAGAAAGGAAGAAAGAAAAUUGUGUGGAUAUAUGUAAAAUAAUAUAGGGAUUUACCGGAUACUAUGAUUUCAACCUACACGUUUCUGCUAAGGUUGUCCGUUAAUUAAAGUAACCAAAGUUCGUGUCCAUCCAUUUUCAACUUCACAUAAAAUAAUAGGGUAAUAAUAUAAUUAUCUCGAAAAAAUUGAGUUAUAUGGUAAUAAGCGAAAUCACAUAUGAUGUAUAGUAAUUUAGCCUUUCUAUUACUUGUGAGCAUAUGCUUACAAACAUGUGUAUACACGUAUCAGUUUGACAAAUUACCUCGAAGAAUUGAGAAAUACACACCUGAUUGAAGAUCUCAGCAUCACCAGAGUUUCUUUCUAAGUUCUAACACAACUUUGUUGAUCCCAGAUGUUAAACGUCAUAAUGUAACAUGUCACGAUCCAAAAUUUGGCAUUUUCUUACCAUAGUCGUGCAAUCCUGGCCCUCCAGCAGAGGAUAGUAUUUUGUGGAACACAAGAAGUCAAAAGAAAAUGCACUCUAGCCGUUAGAUUGAAGACUGAUGAGGCAUUCUAAAGUCAGUGAAGCAAUAGUUAAUAUGAAAUGGACAGCACUAAUUAAGGGUCUUAAUAUUUUCUCAAUUUGAUUGCAGGCAAUUCACUUUUGACAUGAAAACUACCAUCAGUCAAAACAAAUUAACCAUCCACUUGAGACCAAUUGGAAUGUGGAUGGUAGAAAAAUUCAUCCCAAUUUUAUCUUUUAUUUUUUUGUGUGUUUCUUUUGGUCAAACUUCUACAAUAGUCCAUAGUGUAUGGUAAAAUACUAGCCUUAAUGCCUCUUUUUUGGGGUGGAAAAACGCAAAAGAAAAGGAGAAAAAUUCAAGCAAGGAUAAACAUUGUUAUACUAAAUGCUAAUGUAAUGAUAAAGCGACCUUAUUCUUGAAAUUAUGUUCAAAGAUGAAGACCGCCAAAUUCAUGUCUUAGGGUUAAAAGGGCUUUUAGAUCCACAUUUAUCAAUUUAAUUUCUAUAAAAAUGUCGUUAAAAAGUCACAUAGUAAACCAGCAGAUAUACUGGUGUACUGGUAUAGAUUGGUUAAAUUAACUUGCAUAAUCUUUAAUACAUUCUUCGACCAUCUAUUUAUCUCACAUACAUUCUUUUAACAAAAUUGCUAUAAUAAAACAUUUUUCAAAAAAAAAAAAACUCCAAAAACACCCAUUCAAAAACUUGAUUCCAUACGAAUGUUGAAUCUAGGUCUAGCUUUGAAUGAAAUCGACUUGAAUGGCAAAAUACUGGGUCUACAAUUAAUGGAAUUAAUCCCUCCGUACCCUAGAAGAUGCAUGUCACUAUUUUUCUUAAUCAAAUAUUCAGGCUCCUAUAGACUAGAUGAAUCUUGGAUGGUUUGAAACGGUCAUCCUUUUACUUUUUGCUUACUCAUUGAAACUUGUCAAGUAAAAAUGCAAGAGCAAUCGUGCAAUUGUUAGUUUUGUAAUAGCAAUUUCUUGGCAAAUUCACGCAAUAAAUAUCCGAGUGUGAAAGAUUAAAGUGCCAAAAAUGAAGACCUUAGGUAAAUUUUUAAAAGGUUGAAUUUCAAAAGGAAAUACACAUGUUAAAGGAACUAGGGGUGUUUAUACCUGAUUGGUCAUUGGCGGUUGUUCUGUUAUUAAAUUUUGGUCAAUUUUUUGUUUUAUCUGAAGAAGCUACAGUCGGUUCCAAACCAUCUUCACUUCUAUCGCUAGAUAAAGCACUAAAAGUAACAUUUGAUUAUUAAUCAACCGUUGACUCACUGAUCAACUUAAUAGUAGUAGUAGUAGUACCGCUACCAUCAGGGGUGGAUGGUGGACAAAAAUACUCGUUUAUUCGAAAAUCCAACGUCUUCGAUUCGAUUCAAUUCGAUUUGAAAAUUAUGAUAUUCAAUUCGUAUUAUUUGAUCGAAUCAAAAAGGGUCAGAUAUCCAUUUAGAUGUGGAGCAGGUUAGGAUUACAUAAUUAAAAGUCUGUGGGUACCUGACUCGUACCACAUAUACAUUUUUUUUAAUACACAUAAUUAAAAAUCCGUGAAUAAGGAUUAGAAAAUGAUUGUUUCGCAAGAUACGGAUCGAGUCAGCCAAAUGGUGCAUGAGAUGGAUACCGGACUCGUUCCCACUCCUAAUUACCAUUAAAGUUUAAUUCUUUUUGUCAAGGAAGACUUUAAAUCUGACAGGAGAAAUGGGACAAUUUCAGAGUCGAAUGAAGAACUCAACAGUCACCUAACCAAAUGAUCCCACCAAGUAAACUGUGUUUAGGAAAUCUCCAAUCUGUUGUUACUAAAUAAUCUUGAACUUUCAAAAAUCCAGCCCGUUAUUGGUUACCAAAUAUUAGAUACCAAUUAAAAAGUAUUUUACCAAUAUUUUUUGAAUAGUUUAAUGGUUAAUUAUUCAACAAAAAACUGAGUAACCAAAUAAUAAUGGCACGGUCUGCUUUUUUUUUUUUUUUUUUUAAACCAAUCCAUGAAAUUAAAAAAAAAAAAAGAAUUUCUCUAACGGGAGUCUAAUGGAUGUUUGUUAACAUAUGUAAAUUCUAUCUAACUUACCAUAUAUUUAUACGCACUAACAAUUAUUAGCAUUCCUUCUAUUUAUAUAUUUUUCCUAAUUAGUCCUAUCUUUCCAAAAGUAUAACAUUUAAACAAGUGGCUAAUAGACUCCCGUUAGACAAACCUGAAAAAAAAUUUGCAAAAUAAGAACAAAUGAUGGAAGCUAGUAUGGUAAUUUCCUAUUCCCGUACUAAAAAAUCCACAUAUCUUCCAUCCAUCUUCCAUGCAAGCACACAGCUGUUUCUCUCUUAUAUCAACUAAUACUACACGUAUCCUUUAAACGCGCUUUAUGGAGGACCAAAACAAAUAAAGAAAAAAACACACCAAUCCAAAACCAUCCAACACGUACUGAUCUAGUGAUCUUCGUAUCAUCAUAUAUAUAUAUAUAUAUAUAUACAGCUACAGAUAUCAACAUUUACAAAUUUAUUCACCUACACCAGCAAAUAUGCGUGAUUCUGCAGGAGAAAUAUUCCUUUUUGGCAUUCCAAUUCUGCUGAAAUCCGUACCAAUGGCAUGCAAAGAUGAUGAAGAAGCCCAAGAGGGAUUCAAGAAAGACUCAGACAUGGCUGCAGCAGAAGCAGAAGUAGCAGAACAACUCAUGCAGUUAAGUGGAGAUGAAGAAGAUAGACAGAGUAUAGCGACCACCUUUGAGAAGAAGAAAAGAAAGGACAAGGAUCAAGAUGAUGAUCAAGGCAUUAGUGGUGCUGAGAGCAACUGUCGAUUAAUCGAAUCUAAGAAGAUUAGAAAAGAUGAUCCUCAUAACAAGGGCUCUAACGCAAAGAAGAGGAAAUCCAAGUAUCGGUCGAUCGAUGAUAUUUAUAUGGUGACGAAGCCAAUGAAUGAUUCUGUGCAAAGAAGUUGAAACCUUGAAGAAGCUCUAAAAACUUUUGGUCAGGAAUGUAGAGUAGUUUUCUUUUCUUUUUUCUUCCUUUAUUUAUUUUUGUGGGAGAGUUUUUAGAAGGAAUUAACCCUUUUGCCUGAAUAUUAACUUCUCAUUUUCUGAUCAGAUUAAUACUUUGCUUUUUAAUCUACUGAUGCAUGAUUGAAAAAUUCCAUAUUUCUGUCAGUGGUUUUUUUGUGUACGGUUUUUCCUUUUUCAUCUUUUUGUUCCUUUAAUCAGUAGAUGAUAUCCUGAUUAAACUAGCCUGUGAGACUUAACUGGUCUUUAUGACCCCAUGGGAGGAAUGUUGAGGUUCAAAAGAUAAAUGCUUGUUUUGUGGUUGCUUCCACUCAGAAGCAAUGAAAAUUAAAAAGUAUCUGCAUGACUGCAGGGUCAUCAGCAAGAAAAUGGGGAAAAAGCCCUUCAAAAGCUUGUCCAACCAAACAUUGUAUUAGUAAAUUGUGAUUUCAGGAAAGCAUAAAGACAAAUUAGAUCCUGGCUAGUGAAGGGUGGAACUGUAAGUAAAAAAUUCCACCCAAAGCCCAUUCAAUUCAGAAGCACUAGCAUUAGAACAAAAAAUUAUCCUUUUAAUAUGGCCAGAAAAAAGAAAUAGGGAAAGACUAACAACCUACAAACUUGCAUCGUUAAUCAAGAAGACAGGAGUUUUUGACUUCAGUUUGUAUUGAAAUUUUUUCCGCUUCUUUCAUGUUAUUUUUGUAGCUUGCGUGACCGAAUUAUAUGCUCUUGAAUGCAAUAAGAAGCAAAUCUGUUCCGCUAUUACUUUUAAUGGUGUCCUUAAGAUCUUUGCUUAGGUGUUAAGGCAGAAUGAUUGAUACUAUAACUCACCAAAACCAUUCCAUGGUGUGAAUUCAAUGAACUUGACUGUCAAAUUUGUCAUCCCAGACUAUUUCUUGAUUCAAAAGCAAGUAGGCCUCAUGAGGUGCAAAUAUGGUGUGUUUACAGUUUUCAUGGAUGAAGUCUUGAACUAGUGGCCAAAAAACCAAAAUUAACAUUUCGAUAGUACAAGGGUUUUCAAUUCAAAGUCUUACUGGUACUUGACUUGUAAUUGUAGUUCACACUACUAUCUGAGGUGGUUGUCUAACAAUUCUUUUAGUAUUUGUUCAAUUAUUUUUGACCUUUUCGUUCAUUCAUCUGAUUUUGUAGCCAAAUAAAAAAGUUUCUGUAUUGUGCUUAUGUUCUUAAUUUCACCCAUUAGAAUUUGCUAGGACUCGGGUUGGAGUGUUGGAUACUAUUGCCUUCUUUGCUUGGCUAUUAUACUUCUGUUAUGUGGUGUUGUCUUGUUUGCCAGACUAUUGUACUUUUGUUAUGUAUUUGUUAGACUAGCCUUUCGUGAAUGUACAAAAUUAGAAUCAAGUUUGUGAUAUAUAUAUAUAUUUAUAUAUAUAUAUACAUAUAUAUAUAUAAGAAAGGUUUGAAAGUUGAAUCAGGAACAUCAAGUCACUAACCUUACAUCCCUACCAGUUAAGUUGGGUCUUGAAAUUGAUAUAUUGAUAUUUAAAAAGCCCAAAAACACACACACACACACACUCUUUAGAUUGAAUCUGUGAUUGAUUACUGUUCAUAUACGUGUAGGUAGUUAUUCUAAAAAUUUAGGCUAUACAACUAGUUGUGUAUUCUAAGACUCCCAAGUAGCUAAUCAUUUUGUAUAAAUACGGAAAAUAUAUUUGUCUCUUGUACAAUUAUUCUGAAGAUAGCAUACACACCACCUUAGUUUUCUUCUAGUAACGGGAACAUUAUUUUUAGGAGUCCAUCUACAAAAAAAAAAAAAAAAACCACUAGUGAAAAUCACGAUAUUUUUAAGUGAUAGAAACAAACAUAAGAAUCCUUAAAAUCAAUAUCUUUUUCAUGAAUUUUCCUUUUGCCAGAAGGGGAUCUGAAAUUUAUUGGCUUAUGCAAGCAAUCUAAUCUACCUUUGUCUCUUUUCCAGGAAGCUAAUAAUUGCAUGAUUAUGUACGAAAAACUUUCCUAAUUAAGUAUGUAAAAUCUGAAGGAGAAAUAUUGUUCCCUUGAGAAAAAAAGCAUUUAGGUGCAUUCUACUUACAAAACUAGUGAGGUGGAUAUUUAGUCACAUCUCCUAAAUCCUAACACCAUAUAUUACUUAUCAAUUUCAGACAUAUCCAAUUGUUGUGAUUCAAUUUUAACAUCUUGAUUUAUGGACAGCUAGGAUAACACAAGCCAAAAAUCAAUAAAUGUGUGUGCAAGAAAUGCAUCAUGUAUUAGUGUCUCUCUCUUUUAAAACAUCCAAUUUUUCAAUGCGACCUUUUUUGUUUCUUUUUUUAACCUUCUUGAUUCUACCAGAUUGAAUUUAUCAAAAGAAAAAGUUAUCCUGCAGCCUGAUCUGGAGCAGCUGCCUCUCCUCAUAGGCCUCAAAUCUUUAUUUAUGCUGCAUUUUUGUGUUGAAAGCUUUAAUGUGAUAUCUGAUGCUCAAAUUUUAGCUCUGCUUAUGCAGGAGGCAUUCUAUCUAAGCAACGCAGACUUCAGCUAGGGAAUCAUGACAAAAUUCUCCUGUUAAGCAAGACAUCUGCAGCUAAGGAAUCAUGCAAAAAUAACCUCAAAGUGACAUCUUUCCAUUGUAAUCUAGCCUGGGAUUACUCCUUACCACAAGUUUACUGGAGUACUGGAGAAUGAUUCAUUUGUCAAAUUGAGAACACAAAUUAGGAGGAUCGUAGAGACAACAACAAAUGCCUGUGCUUUUCCACCAGAAGUGUUGUAACAAAGUCCAUUAACAGAAAGCACUUUUGCAGAGUAUAACAUUUCAGACACUGAUAUAAGGACCCCUUCAAUAUGGGGUAACUUUGUGACACUAUAUGCACUGACAAACCUUACACAAGGACACCGAAAAACCUCGUACAGGUAUUCAACAAAAGAAUGAAUGGAACCAUUCUAGAACAAAUAAUUGGUCAGCUGACAAUGCUUCGUAUCUACACCUCCGAACUAUACUCGAAUCUUAUUCCGUCUACCCGUGCUAUAUCUCAUCAUGCAAAACCAUUCCAGCAUUACCUGUGUGCCUGGCUGCACAAGCAAAUUCCCAACAGCAUUCUUGUUUCAUGCACGUUAGGCAAAGCUGUGUCUCGAGAUGUCUCAAUCGUCACAGUUCAAUCCACAGAUCUCUAGUACAGGGCCAUCCCUUGAAACAAAUGGGUUAACUCGAACCCACAAAAGGGUUAUUAUUGAAGCCAGAAGAAUAGACCAGACGAUGAUAAUUGUUGGAGUGCGUUCUUGCUUCCCGAUCAAUCCUUUGAGGAAUGGAUAAAGGUGAAGGAUGACCCAGAAGGCAAAAAAUAGCCGACCAAAUAAUGGACCCCAAGAAUCAUAACCGUUGUUGAUGGCAUCCGCUAUCCCAACUAUAACUCCAACAAUGUUUACAAUCAACAAAGUUGUUGGAGGAAUUAGCAGUGACGUCCACUUGAAGAUGUAAAGCUCCGAGAAUUCUCCAUCAUCUCCUCCCUUGGAGGUGACGGUGAAAUUUGUAUCAAUACCACCCAGGACCUUGAGUAAUCCUUGGAAGAGAGCAAAAAGGUGAGAGGAAACACCUCCAAUAACCCAGAAUUGUUCAUUUCUCCACCAAUCAUCUAUUCCUACACCACCCCAUUGCAUUUCAAGGAUACCAGUGACAGCGAUGGUGAUGAAGAGGGCCAUGAAUACAACACUUGCAUAGUUGCUAAUCUGUGUACAGAAGACAGGUUAUAGCCAAAAGUCACACACAUAUCAAAUUAGCAGUUGAAAUUCUCAAGGCACCAGGAAAUUUCACAUGAAAACAUACCUCAGGGACAAUAAAUUUUCCAGUGAGAAGGCAGAUGGCAGGCAGCAUACAAUACACAAGCAAAGGAAUGGAAGUCCAAGGAUAUACAACAGAGUUUAUGUAUGAAAGUCGUUGAAGCCACUUCAGUCCACCUCCAUAGCCAUACCAAAUUGGACAGUGUCUGCUCAUGAAAAUCUCAACAGAUCCGAGGGCCCACCUAAGAACUUGGUGAAGACGAUCUGAGAGAUUAAUUGGAGCAGACCCCUUAAAUGCAGGCCGCUUGGGUAUACAAUACACAGACCGCCAACCAUGACAGUGCAUCUUGAAUCCUGUCAAGAUAUCUUCUGUGACCGAACCAUAUAUCCAGCCAACCUGAAUCAGCAAAUGCAAAUUGUUUCAUCAAUUAAGAGAACAACAGGAACAAAAGAGAAUACUUAGUAAUUCUAGGCAUUCUCCGCGAAUAUUUCAAUUAUCAGAAUUAUAGGAUGUUUGUAGGGUAGUUUACCUCCUUUCCCCAUUCUGUCUUAUCUUCAUAACCACAGCUGAUAACAUGAAUAGCUUCGUUCAAUAAGGAUGCAGAACUAGCGUCCUUAGGAAUUCCACCAUUCUCCAACAGUGUUGAGGCUACAAAAACCGGAGAUUGACCAAACUUCUUUUCAAGUUUCACUUGGGAAAGCUGAGAUGCAUUUUCAGGGUUUAUUUCUGCAUUGGAAAAUGAAUUUACUGUCAGUGGGGGGUACAUACAUGCUUAGAUUUCUUUUCAGGACAAUAAAAUCCCAACAUCCAUCAGAACUUGUAGUUAAUUUAGACAAGUUUGCAAAAAAUGAAGAGAAUUUUGAAAGUGGUUUUUCUUACAAAUUUCAUAAAGAUUUGAAGAAAGCUCAUUGACAUGUCAGUCAUAAAGUCAGAAAAUACAGGACUCAAUUUUAUAUGUUUCAAGAAAACUUUUUGCAAAAUUAUGAAUUCCUGUUUAUUGAUUUUCAUGAAAAACUGGAAAGCAUCAAUCUUCUUGUUUCCAUAACAAGGACGCAAUGUCAGCACAGCAGACAAACAAGGUCAUACUUUUCUUCAAAAGAAGACUUACUUUUAAUUCCUUCUUCAAUUGUUUCAAGAGCAUGUAUUUGCUUAGAGGCUUCCUUUUGCUUCAGUUUCUUCUUAUUUUCUUUCUUUCCUUUUCCUUUCUUGUUCUUGCUUGAACAGCAACAUGAACAGCACCACUUGGGCAAACAAUUGCAGGUUUUGCUGGGAGGCUUCUUACUGACAGGAGCAUCAAAACCAUAAAGUGCUUGCCUUCUGAAAACACAACCAGUUCCUACAUAUAUUGGUCCCUGCAAUCCAUCUAAUCCCUUCAUGUUGAUCUGUAAGAAACAGAAAAGUCAGACUCGCCAAGGAGCAAAUGAUGUAAUACAAUAGCCUCAAAUAGGAAAGGGCACAUACAUCAAAGAAAACGACGUUCCGAUUUGAGUAUCUGUCAUGACGGUCAAUCCCAUCAAAUCUUUGUGGAAACUGCACAUAGCAAACUUUCUUCCCUGAAGUGGGGUCCAUCAUGAAACACAUGGCUUCCCUGAGAGCCUUGCUAUUAUUGAUGUAGUGAUCACAGUCAACAUUGAGAAGAUAAGGAGCAUUCGAGAUGACUGCUGAAACCCGCACCUGAAGGUAUUAUAUUUACAGAAUGCUUAAUACUCUGAAUGGAGUGUAAAAAUUCCUUUCCUUGCUUCACAAUAACUAUUAAGUUGGACACUACGUCUUACCAAAGCAUUCAUUGCUCCUGCUUUUUUGUGGUGAUCAAACCCAGGCCUUUUUUCACGAGAAACAUAGACCAGGCGCGGUAACUGAUUUCCUUCAAUAUCACGAACACCAUCAUUCCCAAGGAAUACCUACAUAAAGCAAACGAGAAAACCAUAAAUGCCAAAGAACUGAUCUUGAUUAGAAUUUUUUUUUGGGGUAAAACUGAUUUUAAUUAGAUGCAUCAUGCAAAUCUAAAAGCUAGAUUGACAUGCAAUAAUCUAAUCUUUAACACUAGAAAAUGCCCUUGCUUCCUCAAAAUAGAACAAAAGGUGGAUUUGCCAGAUAGAAGAUGGAAAUGACGCAUGAUAUGGAUGACAAAAUAGUCUGUUUAACCAACCUACACUCUUAUUAUAUUGUAAUCAAUGCAAGCAUCAGUCUCCAAGAGAUGAAUGUUCUCUCUUGAUGUAUUCUCCAAGCAUUGGAAGCAUUAAAAGUUACACUUACGGAUUUCUUCUUUUUUUUCCCCUUGGCAGUAAACCAAAUCCUCAAGAUUCGUACUUAUAAAAAGUCCAACCCAAAUUCUCAAAUUCCACAUUUUGCUUGAACCCUAAUCUUACGUCUCAGUUUUACAACCCCAAGCAACAAACCCCAAGCUUUCUUGAUGGGGGCUAUUUACUAAAGGCUUUGAAUGAAACAAUAGUGACUUUGAUUCCUAAAGUAGAAGCCCCCAUAAAUCUGUCUCAGUAUAGGCCUAUAUCUUUAUGUAAUGUCAUUUAUAGAAUCAUCGCAAAGGUGUUGGCAAACAGGCUAAAAAGAGUCAUCCCAAAGUGUAUUAGCUCUGCUCAAUCUGCUUUUGUUCCUGGUAGACACAUUCUUGAUAAUGUUAUUUUAGCACAGGAGCUACUGCAUUUUAUGAAAAAUAAGAGAACAGGCAGAAAUGGUUUUAUGACCCUAAAACUGGAUUUAUCAAAGGCCUAUGAUCGAGUAGAGUGGCAGUUUUUGGGUAGGAUGAUGAUGAAGAUGGGGUUCUGUCCCACAUGGAUAAAAUGGAUCCUUAACUGUGUCACCACAGCAGCUUACUCUUUUAAUGUCAAUGGCCAGAAGGUGGGAUAUGUUAAACCAUCCAGGGGCAUUAGACAAGGGGAUCCCCUUUCACCAUACUUGUUCCUUAUCUGUGCCGAGGGCCUGUCAAACUUGAUGAAGCAAAAAAUCCAAAGCAAAAAUCUAACAGGAGUCAAAGUGGGGAGAAAUUGUCCUCAACUGUCUCAUUUAUUGUUUGCUGAUGACUCACUCUUCUGUUGUAAAGCUAGCAUACAGGAAGCUCAACACAUGAAAGAGAUGUUUGCUGCGUACGAAAGAGCUUCAGGCCAAGCCAUCAACUAUGAGAAGUCUGCAAUCUUCUUUAGUGCUAACACAAACAAAGAUCUGAGGAAGGAUAUAUGUGCUGAGAUGGGAUAUAUGAAGGAGGCUACAAGUGGUAAAUACUUGGGAUUACCUAUGCUGAUAGGUAGAUCAAAGCAACAAGUUUUUGGAUAUAUCAAGCAGAAGGUGCAAGAAAAGUUACAAGGAUGGAAAAGAAAUCUGUUAAGUCAUGCAGGGAAGGAGGUUCUGAUCAAGUCGGUGGCCAUGGCACUUCCCACCUAUACCAUGUCAUGUUUCAAGCUUCCAAAAAUGCUGUGUAAGGAUAUAAGCAAGAUGAUAGCUACGUUCUGGUGGGGAGGUGGAGAGCAUAACAGGAAAAUGCAUUGGAUUAGCUGGAACAAGAUGUCGCAGGUAAAGGGUAGGGGAGGACUGGGUUUUAGAGAUCUGGAAAGGUUCAAUGAAGCUCUCCUAGCCAAGCAACUGUGGAGAAUGCUAAAUAACCCAGAAUUGCUUGUGAGCAAGGUCAUGAAGGCAAAGUAUCUAGCACAACCACAGGAUUGGGAUAGAGAAACUCCUAAAGCAGCUUCUUGGAUAUGGAAAAGCAUCUUUGGAACAAGGUUCUUGGUAACAAGAGGGACAGGGAAGAGGGUGGGAAAUGGGCAAACAGUGGACAUUUGGAAGGAUAAUUGGAUACACGGGACUGAGGAAGGAAGGAUUAAAACGCAAAGAGAUCCAAAAUGCACAUUAGAGAAAGUAGAGGAACUGAUAGCAGAUGGGGAGUGGAAUCAGGAGGUGCUGAAUCGUUGGUUUAUAGCAGAGGAUGUCCAAAGGAUAAAGGCUAUUCCAAUCAGUAUAACAGGCUGCCAGGAUAGAUUGUAUUGGCGAUACACUAAAUCAGGUGUAUUUACAGUAAAAUCUGCCUAUGAUGCGACAAUGGAAACAAGACAGUACCAACAAAUGGAAAGGCUGAGGAGGGAUAGUGGAAGCACGAGCUAUGAUCAACAAAACUCAAGAAUCUGGAAAAGUGUGUGGACACUAAAUCUGAAACACAAACUGAAGCACUUUAUAUGGAGGUGCCUACACCACAGUCUGCCAGUGAAUGAACAAAUACAGAAGAGAACUGGUAAAGGAAGUCCAAUGUGUUGCAGCUGUGGGGAAGGGGUGGAAACACUAGAACAUAUGUUGUUCUUCUGUGACAUUGCGGAAACCACAUGGAAACUAGCACCUCUGCAGUGGGAUGGAUUGAGGGAGAUGCGAGGAAAUUUUGUCAAAUGGUGGGAAGGAAUGUUAGGAGCAAGAAAAAGAGAACAAGGACAAGAACACAUAGCAUUAACUGUAAAUAUUCUUUGGCAAAUAUGGAAGGCAAGAAAUAGGAAAGCCUUUGAGGAACAAGAAGCAGACCCAAGGAAGGCAGUGCAGAAAGCUAUAGUAGAAUGGGAUGAAUAUAUAGAGGCCCAAAAAGAUAUAGCGGGAGAGUUCAUUCAACAAACAACAAACUCUUGCAAAGGAGAAAAAUGGAGACCACCACCACAUAACUCCAUAAGGAUAAAUUCUGAUGCUGCAUUCUCACAGAACUUGGAAAGAACAGGAAUAGGAGUUGUGGCAAGAAACGCGAGAGGAGAGCUACUGAAGGCAUGGGCAAGAUCGGAACUCAAAAAUAGCGAGCCACAAGUGGAGGAAGCUACAGCAAUCAGGAUGGGAAUGCAAAUGGCCUGGGAGGCAAACUGGAGGACAGUGGAAUUCCAAUCGGACUGCAAAGAAGUGGUGGACAUGAUCAACAAGGAAGAAAAGCAGCAGUCCAGAGCAGCUAUCAUCCUUGAGGACAUUGCAAAUAUGAGGUGUUUGUUUGAACAAUGUACUUUCUCCUUUGUGCAUAGAACGGGGAACGUUUGUGCACAUAGCUUAGCGAAGUAUGCAAUUAAGCUUACAAAACCUGUUAAAUGGGAAGUGUAUUUUCCCAUGUGGCUCUAUGAAAGAGCACAAAAUGAAUACCAAGGAAGUAAGUCUGAUGUAUCAAACUCUUGUAGUAUCAAGUUAUGAAAUGAAAUGCAAUUAUGCUGUUUGACAAAAAAAAAAAAAAAAGAGCAAGUCUGAACCAGCUUUUGUUGAUAAUAGAAGUGUGGACAAAAAUUUAACGAAAAACCCACCUGGAUCAUACCAGGAUGGUCUCGAACAUUGUUACCAGGCCAGGGGGUACCAUCCUGCAUUGUCCACCCUUCCUCUGGAACCUUUUGGGCUGUAGCAACCAAACCAUUUAUUCGAACUUUAAAUUCUUCGUAUUCUCUCUGUACCCAGGAAAAUGAAAGAGUUACUAUGGUCAAAAAAAGAACCACUUUUCCCAUGUUUAUCAGAAAAUUUUGAACAAAACUACCCGCACAGCUGAUUCUCUACAGAGAAUACAUGGGUCAUCAAUGAAUACAAAUAUUUAAGUCAUGAUAGUAAUCAUAUAUAGUAUAAAUUGCAAACCUUCAUUUCUCGCCUCUCCCUCACAAAUGCUGGAUGAACUUUGUUUUUCAGAUAGUCAAUCUUCUGAGAAAAAUACCAUUCUGGAGCCCGUGGCUCAAUAUUAAACUUCUUGCAGAAGGGAACCCAUUUUCUGGCAAAUUCAGAGGUUUCAGAAAGUGCUUCAAAAGUAAGCAUCGCAGCACCAUCGUCUGAGACAUAACAUGCAACUUUUUCAAUUGGAUAAUCCACUGCCAGUAUAGAUAGAACAGUGUUUGCAGUGAUCAGUGGAGGUUCUUUCAUGGGAUCCACAGUACUGACAAAGAUGUCAAGAUCUGCUAGCUCAGAUGGCUUUCCCUCUUUCUCAUACCUGCACAGUUACAAUUAGAGAUUCAAAAAGCAGAAUACUUCAAAAGAGAUUACCAAAAACGAACAAGAGUGUCCAAGAGCACAUUGUAAAAGAAUUUGUGGCACAAAAGCAGUUUAAAUUCAGCAGCUAUCAAGGUUGUUUUGCAGGACAAGAUCCAAAUGUCACCACUACGGAGAAGUAAAAAAAUCACAAAAUUUUGGUCCAUGUACCUGAGAGAUAACCGAUCAAGGUAUGUUUCUCGCUCUAUGGGGUACCAUUUCGGAAACUGAUCAAGAAUCCAUGAUAAAGCAAACCAUAUUUCACAGAUAACUGAUGUCAUCCACAAGCCAUAUGCAUCAUGAACUGGAUGGAGGAUUCUGUAAUGGAAAAAUAAGCCCAGAACAGUAAGGCGGAGUAUAAUUAUUAAUCUAUACGGACUUAUUUUGCUUGAAGCCACCGAUAAUUUCCUUGACAGUGGUUGCCUCCCUUCAUCCAUCCUGAUUGAAUGCAUAAAAGAGAAAUUGGCAAUUAAUAUGAGAAUCAUGGGCAGCAUUACAGGAAACAUCUUUCCAUCAGAAAGCAAUAAACUAGAGUUUAAUAGCAGAGUAAUUUACCAAAGCAGCAGACAUUCUAAGCAAGAGACUAUGGCCAUGGAAUGCAAAUUUAGAGAAAAACAUAAAAAAUUAUGCUAUUUCACCCACAUAAUGCAGCAAACAAGAAAGCUUUCCCUAUUUUCAGAGAAGAUAAAGUCAACAACAAAGGGAUAUUCCAUAAAUUAACUGUGUCAUAACUUCAUUUUGUAUGCUCUAAGUCACAGCAACUGAACAAGGACUUCAGGGACUAUGCACCCCAGUUUUUGUAACUACUUGGCUUGCCUGGUAAGGGAUAAACGAUAGACUACCUUGGAAAAUUGUUACCAUUCAACUUGGCACUCGGAACUCACAGUUUUCCAAAAAUGGUUAGGAACAUUUACGGAAACAUAAAUGCCUAAUUUGGGUUAUGCCAAAAAUCAACAACAGACAUGGAAACAUAUUUCUAACAUUUAACCGCAAUCUGUACGUGCAUAUCUUCUAGUGCAUGCCAACAUAAAUAGCAACUUUCAAUUUUGGCAAUUGACAUGUUUGAGAGUGCUCUCUGUACAAUAUUAUCAGAGCUCUAUCUACAGAAUACAGGCUAGUUUCAUGUCCUACAGAAAGCUAUUUUGCCACCACAUUUUGUUACAAGAGCAAAAGUGCCUAAUCAUGCUGUCUAAUGUUUUCCAGGACAGUUUGCAAGUCUACAAUCUCAUGUAAGUAAAGUAACUUUUUACCACAAAAGUAUGCUUUAUAUGUAUUUCUAUAUUCUUGUUCAGUGGUAUUCAAAGCUUUAGAUAAAGAAGACAAGGUGCAAAUGAUGCAUGACACAUGUUUAAAGCAUGAGGGCUCCUGUGCAUCAUUAGUCAAAAUUGGGAUAACCAAUAACUUAUGGUAGAUAGCUUAAGGGACUUGGCAGAUUGUGCAAUCUAGCAAGUCAAGCCAGACCUUUUUCUUGCUUACAAGAAUAAAAUUGCCUUGAGGAAAAAAUUAAUCCCAGAAGGACAACUAGCCUCUGUUACUUAAAUGAUUAGUUUCUUUACAGAAUGUCAAACAUCUUGAAUCAUGUGAUAGUCCAUCCUCCUUGAAGACAUCAUCUAGCUAGAAAAGAUUAUGUUUCCUACAGGUAGUCUUUUGAUGAUGAAAUCUUGCAAAUUGAACGCGUUCUGAUGAUGUGAUCUUGCAAAUUGAACAUGUUGUCAAAACAGUGAAUUUCGGAAUGUGUUUUCCUCAGAGAAAGACCACAAAGAGAAAGAACUAAGUUUAGACAUUUUACUUCAGUAACUUACAUUGGCAAAUCAGGAUCAUCAAAUUCACCACCAUCAAAAUUGCGAGAGUUAUUUUCUCCUUCAUGCUUGACCAUUUGGAGUUUAUCAUUUUGCCUUUUCUUCCAAUCCUCCAUCCGAUCCUUCCAUGCAACACUUCCAUAUCCAUAUAGUGCAAUGUCUUUCUCGGGAACCAUUGGCCUUCGUUGCACUGUGACAUAAAGAACACAUCUUCUUCAGCCUUGGAUACAGAAUUUUGGGCAUGCUAGGUUAACUUAGAUGCUGAGCAAAACAACUUACAAGAUGCUGAUGGAUCAGGAAAAGCGGGUGAAUGUGAACCAGCUGCAUGGCCAGCAAAUGGGGGUACAACAAGGGCAUGAUGAUCUGAAGAAAUUUCAGCAUCCUAAAACAAGAAAGAAUAAUUAAAAUAUAAUCUUACGCUUUGCUAGGUCAAAUCUAGAAUCCAAGCACUUACAUACUCUAACAAUACAAGGCCAAUAUAAAUUAGGUUCACUAACAGCUUACCUCUUCGCCAUAGGUCAAUAGAGGAAUAUCAAGACCAUGGGAUGAAUUGUGUCCUGCGAUGCCACCUCCAGAUGAACUUGCCUCAACACCACGGGCAUGCCGUCCAGCUGCCCCCACAGCAUGUGGCGGACUUAGAGAAUCAAUAUAGUUGUAAUCAAACUCAUGUUCGAGAUCAUCAAUAUUAUCCUCUUCCUCAUCCCCCUCAACCCUUGGACUACCUACCAAAUACAAAACUACCAAACCAUGAGUUCACUUGCUUAAGAAAGACCACAACAAGUAUUCUUAUGAAGCAUCAUGGGACAAACAAACUCGCCUUUGAUACGCUUAUAUCUGGUUUUGCACUGAGGGCAAGCUUGAUUCCCCUCUCUUCUCUCAUAUUCAUAGCACGGCCUACAAACGGGGAAAGCACAUUCAUUGCAGGCCACAAAGAGUUCUCCAUCAACAGUAAUCUCCACUUCAUCCCCACAAAUCUGGCAUAUCUGUCCACUUAAUUCUUGCACAGAUUUAAUCUGGACAACAAGACCAGGAAAGCGAGUUACUUGCUAUCAAAACCACUUGAGAAUGCCUAAUCAUGUUUCCCCAAAAACAACAUCAAACUGUAAAAGAUACUAAGAACACAAUUUAUUGUCUAUAUUCCACCAAAUUAAAAACAAAAAGUCACCUAAUUUGGAGAAACUGACAUUGGACAUUUUCUUUAGACACCCCCCUAAAUCAACUCAAGUGUUUCCAAUUCUCAAAAUCUAAUCAGCUCUGCAGGACUUAACUUCUUUGUUCCAGGACAUGGCUAGUCCAAUGUUCUCUAGAACAACACGCAUUGUCUCUUUUCUAUUUCAUGUUUAUACAAGUUAUAGCGACCCCAUUAUCUCCUCACAUAACAGAGGCCAAACACAGUCUUUUGUCUCGCAGCUCCAAAAUAAAAUACAAAUUCAAAAGAAGUUUCCAAUGCUAAUGUGGCGAAAUCACCCCCUUCAGUCAACCAAAGCCCCACCCUCCUACAACCUCCCCAAAAAUAAUUUUAAAAAAAAAAGAUCAAAAUCAAAAACAGCAAAUAAAAGUAACCUCAAAAGGAUAGGGAAAAUUCUAAGAUGAAAAAACAGGAAAAUAAAAUAUAACAUCCUCAAAAUCAUUUAUAACUGACACAGUUCGAUUUUAAAAAAAAAUUGAACACUUAAACAGGGGGAAAGAGAAAAAAAUACCUCUAUUGUGAAGGCCAAAUGCUUAGAAAAUACUAGUAAAAACCAAAUGCUAAGAAAAUAAGCAUCCAACUACACUGAAGAAAAAGCCCUAAUAAAAUGCAUUACUGAUUGACGCAAGACAGAACAUCCACCAAAAUGGCCAAAAGGGUAUCUGCAAAACGAAGAUUAGAAGAAAAAUGAAGGGGUUUUAGAUAGCCUUACCUUUCCAAUAUCGUCAGCAUUGAUGAGUACAAACUCAUUCCUGUUAUGAGAACCAGCAAUAAGCCUCCCACCUGUAUCCAUCACCAUUUUGCACCUUACAAAAACUCUUCAGAAUCCCACAAUAACCCACUUCAACAAUCAAUUUUUCAGUGCCAAAAGCCCCCCUUUUCCAGCCAAAAACUCAAUCUUGGAAAUCUCACAACCCCCAAAGCCUAAUGAGAAAAUGUUCGAAUGUAACCACCAUCAGAAGAUACCCAAAAGCAAAGGUUAAACAACCCUCCACAUUGAGAAAAGCACUAUUUAAAAACACCCCAAAAAACCCAAUUGGGCAAUGGAAAGAAAAAUGAAUAAUAUAACAAUAAUGAUUACAAUAAACAAUACUAUCCCACAAUAAAGUAAAGGGAACUAAAAAGGUUGAUGGGUUCUUGACAAAAAAAUUUUUAAAAAAAGAAAAGAAUAAUAUAAAAAAGUAGCAAAGUAGUAGUUGAUUUCUUUACAAGCUAAGACCCUCUGCACUACUGUAAUCUGGCUGGAGUGGACUUUAGACUUAAAAAGGGAUCAAAAUUGACACGAUUUUAGAGAGGUGUAGCGAAAUGUGGACGCGUAAGAAAGAAGGGUGAGCAAGGGAGAUUGGAUUGAAUCAUGAAGAAGUAGAGGUGGUUCGGUGGACUUUCAUCUCAUCUCUUUCUUGAAAAGAAGAAAACAAAAUAAAUAAAGGAGAGGUUUGUUAUGGGAGAUAAAUACUACUACUACUUCUACUAACUAGAAGAAAACAAUUAUGCAUUUAAUUAAUAACAAGGGUAAUUUAUUCACUGUUCACUCAUGUGUGUGGAAAUGUGUGAAAAGUAGGACCAUCCAUCCAUGGUGGUGAUGGAAAUGGUGAUGGUGGAGCAGGAGCUUUCUCUUUUCUUUUCUUUUUUCUCUUUAUUUUUUUUUGGUGUCUUCUAUUUGUGGGAUUUUUGCCCCCACAAAUCUAGUAGUACAUGUACCGCAGUUGUGUAAGCAGGUAACUACAGUGCGUGUAGUGUGUGUUGUGUGUGUCUUGUUUUUGCUGCACUUUGGGAGUGAGCUGUAAAUGUCUUUUUGGCUGUCUAUUUCCUGUAUACAAUUCAAGAUCCAGUUGUUUUCUUUCUUCAAUACAAAAACAAAAUUGUGGGCUGUUUUUCUUUUCUCCAAUAACUUCUAUAAUUGUAAUUUUUUUUAUGCGUUUCACAACUUUUAUAAUUCACUGAAAAGAGUCCACCUACAAAAAAAAAAAAAAAAAAAUCGUAACUCCUAGCAUGUAAAGCAUUUUUUAACAUUUCGAAAAUAUUGAGCUCGCAUCAUUCUCCCAUAAAAAAUAUUUUUAAAAUAUUAAAUUCUUAAGAUAACAUUAAUUUAAUAAUGGUUUUUCUAACGGAUAGAGCACCUAUUAGCAUACAUACGUUCCACCCAACUUAUCAUGUAUAUAUACACACUAAACAAUUACUAUUUUCUCUUAUAUUUAUACACUUUUUCUAAUUAAUCCCUUUGUAUUUAUACAUUUUUUCAAAUUAAUCUUAUAUUUUUAAAAUUUUAACAUCUGAAAUACAUUUUAACGAAGAAUCCGUUAGACAAAUCUUUUAAUAAAAAAUUAAAUUGGUGUUAUUUGAACGCAGGAUAACAAAUAAGUUCAGUAGUAUCACUUUCUAAGUGGUGGAUUAUAAAUUUAAAUUUCACCAUCCUCUGAGUGUGUUGACUGUAUACUCCUAUGGCACCAAAUAUUAAAAAAAAUCUUUAAACAAAAACAUAAGAAUUAUUUUAUUUUCAAAAUUAAAAGCUUGUGGGGGAAAACAUCCCAAUUGAUAGAAGCUAUUUUGCCCAAAUUGAAAAAUUUGUCAUUUUAUUUAAGUACUAGUAUAUAAAAAGUUUUUGGUGGGGUAAGAGAAAAGGACAAACGCAAAGGGAAGAGAAAAGGAAAGACGCGUAAAAGAAAGAAGCGGCCAGCUGGGAUGUGUGGGAGAACGGAACUGAACUGAAUCCUCCAGAGUUAGUACUACUACUAAAUUCAACAAAAAGAAAAAAAAAACACAAAAACAGAAAAAAAAACAAAACCGCGUGAGCAAACAGAUCCGGAUCCUAUUUUUACUAGGUUUUGAGUGUGUUAAGGACUCUGAAUUAUUCGCAAGUUUGAUUCGCUGUUUUUUUUUAAAAAAAAUUAAUACGAAACGUUUGUGUAUGUACGGUUUUAGGUUUAGGACUUGAAUAUUUUGACUAUUGACUCGAAACGUAAAACGUGGGAAGGAGGAUUGUGUUUAUUGCUGUUUUAUAGUACUAUUUUUUGGGUUAUCUUUCUAUCUAAUUAAUUUGAGUGUAAAUGUACUUAUGUGCGAUUCUCUCUCUCUCUCUCUCUCUUAGUAGUAGUAGUUGUAGUAAAAAUAUUCUAUAAUUCUAGGGUUUUUUUAGUUCUAUUAUUUCAAUUAUCGAAUGUUUCAUGUCGAUUUGUAAUUUUGUACGAUAGUUCAAACUGAUUUACUUUUCAACUCACUUCUCGUCUAGAUUUAGAAAUUUUUUUCGAUACUUCUAAAGGUUGUUGUUUUUUGAUAGGAAGUUAUUUUGUUAUUAAGUGGUGUGUGUUACGUAAUGUUUCAAACUAAUUUACCUUUUUAACUCGCAUUUUUUUUUCUCGAUUCGAGAAUAUAAACGACACUAGUGAUGCUUCAGAUUAAUUUCACUUUCUCAACGCGUAUAUUUUCUCUCAACCCAAGAAGAUAAAUGAAUUUGGUGUUGAGCAUGAAGGCUUUCAAAAUGCUUAUUGUUAACCUCAUUUAAAUGUGUGCGUUUUGUAAUUCUCUCUUGACUACAUGAAAUCCCAUUUAGAUUUGGCAACUUAAAUUAUGGGAUGAUUUAACUAUACAGGGUUUUAGCCUUUAAUGUGGUUAAAGACUUAAAGUACUACUGUUAAAAAAAGAUUAACUAUUGUUAAGACGUACCAAAUGCUAGAUAAAAAAAAUGCCACAGAUUUUCUAGUUAAACUGAGCACCAAAAACAUUAUACUGUUCUUAUCAUAAUUUUCUUUUAUCUCAUUCUUCCUCAAUAAUUGAUGGCUUAGAUUUAUCUUUGUUUUCCAUUACAUGUGAUAUCCAACUCAGGCCAAGUUAUCCACUACCAAAACAAAUACACUGUAUCAUGAUUAAUUGACUUCUUUAAUUCCUGCUAUAAUUAUGGUGUCACCACUUAAAAAAAUGAUACAGAAGCACAAGGGUUAAUCUAGACAUCUUAAUUUUAUUAUGAAAAAAAACUAGCAUUAAUGAGGCAAAGUUGUCAGUUGUCACUAGAUUAUCCCUUGCCUGAUUACAAACUAGUAGGAUAAACAUACUACAGACAACUCAAGAAAAAAGUUCAGAGACCAAUGAUUAGUUGAUUGACCUUUCUGACAUGAAAAACCUAUUAAUUACACAUCAUUAGGGAAGAAUAAUCAAAAGAAAGUUGAUGACCAAUCUACCUGCAGCUGCAUGUUGUUUUCAUAUUCUGUUAUGAUGUGGGAAGGUUUUGAUUGUAGAAAUUGGUCAAAUUUCUUGGUGAUUAUUUGGAGAAAAUUAAACUUAGGUAAGGAUCUCCAGCUGGCUGUUGUAAUGCUGGCUGCUAUGAUUUGUUGAAUUGCAAUAUUUGUCGGCUUCAUAAGCGUCACCUGCACAGCAUGUGUUCCAAGAAAGACUAAGCAGGAAUGUCCACACCUAACUAUGAUUUUAUUGAGAGGGGAGAAAGGAUUAAUGAACCCUGGAAUUGUCUAUUUCUAUGAGUUGGCAGCUGGUUGGUUUGUGUCAGGUCUUCUUCUUCUUUGAUGAGAAAAUUAGAAACUUUUGUAUUUCCUAAUAGCCAGUAAAUAAGCCAUAGCACAAGCUGGAGAAAGUUUGGAGAAUCAUUCUCCCAUGCAAUUUGAUUGUUGGCAAUUUUUGGAAGUUUGGAUUGCAAUUUUCCACCCCCAAAUUUUUUUAGGUUUUCUGCAAAUAUACUUCCCAAUUAUUUUUUACCUCACUUACAUCACAUCGCUACAGUACUUUUUUUUUUUUUACAAAAACUCUAAAAGAAAUAGCAAUCCAAAGGGAUUCUAAAACUUCUAUUUUUACUUUUUGAAGCGAUAAAAAUCUCAUACAUGAAAAAUUAUGCAUCUAAGAUUGCCCUCUGAAAGAACCAAUGUAUAUAGCUAAUAAAGAUCUUUUAAUUAUCAUCUACACAUGCAGUUAAACUAUAUGCAAUUAAUAGUUCAACGCAAACCCUAAAUGGAAAUUGAUUUGCAACAAGCAUAUUAGCUCUGCUGCUGAUGCCUUAAUAAUUAAUAAGUUAUUGUACUGAUCUCACAAUUGUGGGCUAUACUUAGUUUUAUGAGAAGAAAUAACAUUAUGGAGAUGGUUGUUCGUAUUUUGAUCAACCUCCUAGUCAUAUUCCAUAUUUGCUUUUUAAUGAUAUUUGUAAUUAAAAGCACCUCGAACAAAUGCCUUGUAAGUAGGGCUGGAGUUGAACCAAGUAACUCGGCUCGAGCUCGCGAACUACUUGGUCAGUAGCUCGAGCUCGAGCUCGGUUGACCAAGCUCGAUCUCAAGCUCGAGCUCGGUUGACUAAGCUCGAUCUCGAGCUCGAGCUGCUCGUUAGAAUUAUUGAAUCGAGCUCGAUCUUGAAAAUAUGAUACUCGAGAGCUCGACGAGCUCUAUCGAGCUUUUUAUAAUAUAUAUUUUAAUUUUUAUUAUUGUAAAAUAUCAAUAAUAUCCUUUAUUUAAAAUUAUAUAUAAAAUAUUAAUUUUUAUUACUUGAGCUUGAUUAGGCUUGAUUGAGCUCGAAUAAGCUCGAUUGAACUUGAUUUGAAUUAAUUACAUUUAAUUAAACUCGAACUCGAGUUCCAUAAAUUGAUAUCGAGCUCGAGUUCGAGCUCGAAUUUUAAAAACUUAACGAGCUCGAGCUCGAGCUUAGUUAUUUUGCCUCAUGCAUUACUCGAGCUCGACUCGAGUUCGACAGCACCCUACUUGUAAGUAUACCAUUCAAGUAAUGGGAGUUGUAUGUUUCUUUAAUAUAUACAUAGAUAUAAACACACACACACACACAUACAUACAUACACACACACACAAAUACAUACAUUUGGGGAACAAUUUUAGUUUUGUAGCAUUUUUGGGAGAUAAAAUUGAUUGUUUUUUAAUAAGGGUCUGAUUGAAAUUUAACAUUUCUAAACUCUUGAGGGGGCAGCCCCACAAAUACAUAAUCUUUACCCUAUGCGUCCUAGAAAUUUGGACUAAUUAGUUUAAAUUUCCUAACCUUCAUUUGACUCUUCUUUACCAUUAGUCGAGGCGUCCUAGUAGUUCUACUAUGGUUAAUUCUAUUUUGCCUUUUUACAACUCGCACAAAUACUUGCCUUUUGUAAUUGUUCUUGUUCUUUAUUACCUACAGGCCUACUAUCCCAUAGCCAAUGAUUUUUGCCAAUUUAUAUACUUACUUUGGAAUAAAAAGACUUUUUUAGUACAAGUACCUAAAAAAAAGACUUUAGUACCUCUAGAUUAAAUUUGAUAUGCGAAAUGCCCUUAUUUCUUUGGGAGUACUAAAGUCUUUCUCAUUAAAAGAAAGGGCAAAAAACCUCAGUGGCCAUUAAACUAUUGGCGGGAUCAUGUUUUGGCCAUCGAACUAUUUUUUGUCAAUAAUUGGCCACUAAACAAUUUAAUCCGUAAAUCCGUGACCAUUUCGUCAUUAAUUGCUCUUAAGUUCUGAAAUUAGUGGCAAUGUUCGGGGGCAAUUUUGUCCAGCAAUUUACUGAUCCUAAAAGUCCAGCAAUUUUGUCCAGCAAUUUACUGCAAUUUUGUCCAUACUUACAAUCAAAACAAAAUGAUUGGUCCCUGCUACUAGUUUGGAGCCUAUAUUGUUUGUCCUAAAUCCACAUUUAAAAUUGUACUCCAGUACCAAUUAGUAGUAGUACUUGAUUAAUUAGGAGGCCUAGCCCGGGUGGAUACGCGAUCUCAAUUCCCACGGUGUCUAGGAUCCAUGGCGCCCAUCGGAAGUGGGGUUGCGGUUGCACCGGCUUCCUGCUUUUGGCCUUAUACAGAUAUCUACGGUCACCAGAAAAUGUCCUCUAAUUACCUGAGGAGAAGAAUAUGUAGCAGAAGAAAAAGCACAGCGAGAUCAUUACCGCGAUACUCCAACGGGUCUAAAGCGGGUGCUUCAUCGCUGAGCUGCAGGCCACCGGCUGUCUCAGCUGAACCACCACCACCACCACCACCAGGACAAAGUUCGGUACUCCUCCCUCACAUCAGCAACGGCAACAGGCGGCAGCCCCAUCUCUCUACUACUACGAAACAAGAAGCAGUAGCGGCAGCAGGAGGGGUUGUGACGAGUCCUGGUUUAAUAGACUACUUUCUGAGUAUCGGAGGAGGACCAAAUCCUCCGAUCCGAGGCUGACGGUGGGGCUCCGCGCUGGUUUUGUCUUUUGGACUGCACCUCCUGCUCUUCCUCUUCUUCAAAAAACCACAAUCCUCUCUUGCUUUACUUACCAGGCCAGCAGCCACUACCUAAUAGGAUUAGUAAAUUACUGGACAAAAUUGCCCCCGAACAUUGCCACGCGUAAUACUAAUUUCAGAACUUAAGAGCAAUUAACGAUAAAAUGGUCACGGAUUCACGGAUUAAAUUGUUUAGUGGCCAAUUAUUGACAAAAAAUAGUUCGAUGGCCAAAACAUGAUCUCGCCAAUAGUUUAAUGGCCGCUGAGGUUUUUUGCCCUAAAAGAAAUGAUAGCACAAGUUUAGAUGGGAUAAAAGGUUGAUAGUAUAAAGAAUUAACUGCAACAAUUAAUCGUCUUGGAGCAAAUGGCAAUUAAUGAUAGUUUAUGGGGUAUAUUUACAGAUAACACUACAAUUAUUGCCAUCUUCGAAAUUACAUAUAUGUGCUCAUCUAAAUAACCCCCUCUUUUUAAUUUCUUUUUUUGCCAACAAGAGAGCAAUGAGAUUUAAGAAACAAGAAGGAAACAGGAAAUUAAACUUAAAAUCUCUAAUUUUUAGAAUUUCAACUUUAGCAACUAAAGCAAGACCUCCUCGACUAUUCUCUCAUUAAAAUAACUUCAGCAAUGUGGUUAAAGAAAAAUCAAAGACUAAUGAGCACGAUGAAAGAUAAAGAAGGAGAAGACUAAAAAGAAUUGGUGAUGAGCUGAAAUGUGUGAGCUGGAGAAAUUAUACAUGAUGGACCUUAGUUCUUAGUCUCAUCAUGGAAGCAUUUUAUUAUUUAGCAGACCAGAAAAUACAGCUAUUUCUUUCAUGAUGUCAUUAGGUUUCCAUCUGCCUUUCUAAUUUGUGGCUUUCGUCUAUUAUGUCAGCUACGACAACUUUCAUUGCCAGCUAGCUGUGUCUUAUUCGCCACAAUUAGGGCAAAUUGGACCAGUGAGCUGCCAAAUUAACACUUUGAUCUCAAAUUAAAAUUUUAUUCUAGAGCAGCCUUCUUUUUCACUAGGUCGAUUUAUGUGAAAUAACCACAUCAAAUUUUAGUUAGACAAUAUAAAAGGAAGAUAGUUAAUUAAUUAUAGUACUUAAUUUUGUUGUUGGUUAAUUAAUUCUAUGAACAUUUGUAUUUAUGGACUAUUUCUGAAAAAUAUAUUAGCAAUCUUUACUAAAAAAAAACUUUAAAUAAGUUAGUUGCCAAUGAAAAUCAAACUAAAGUCAUCGAUAUUCAGCUUAACUAGUAGAGACGUCAACAACUCUGAAAAUGAGAUUAACUUUAGAAUAGCGAAAUAUGGAUUACAUAUAGUUUUCACGAAAAAGAAUGGAGGGAUUUUAUCUGACUAUGAUAUCUAACAGAUUGUAUAAUCUGUCUGGGAAGUUGCUCAGCAUUAGGCUUUAAUGUGUAUUCAUUCUACGUAAUACAAGUUGAUGUUUUUGACCAAAAAAGAAAAAUAAAAACAUGAGUAAAAACAUGAUUAUUUUUCCUAUAUACACUGUCAGCGUUGGAUGAAUGACGACUAUGCAAAAUUUAAAUUUUGCACAUACGUCAUGGAUCCAACAAUGAUAGUGUAUAUAAGAUUUACUUUUCAAAAAAUAAAAAAAAAAUAAACGUGUGAUUUCUGGUUCGACUCUUAAGCCUCCUAUUAUCCUUUUCUUAGCAAGUCAUGUUUCAUAAUCCAAUUCAGUACUUAAAAUUAAUGGAUUCAGAUGUUCAAUUUUUUAUUAUCAAACAUCUAAAUUCAUUAAGUUUAAAUACUGAAUUGAGUUAUCAAACAAGCUCGUAGUGCUCCCCGCGGAAGAAAGGAAACUUGAACAAUUUCGCCAACUUGGCUAAUCCAUCAUAUCUUUUCACCCAUAUUUCAUAUAGAUUGAUCAACAUUUUCCCUCUUCUUUCUUACUAAUUCUUGGUACCUUUAAGGACCAGGUGUCGCUAAGCCUUCAAAACUUUGAAAUCAAACCAUACAUGCUUGUGCUUUUGUCAAUAUUAUCACUAGGAAACCUAACCUGUCCAUGGCAUAAUUGUCCAAUCACACGUGCUAAAUGCUGCUGGUUUCUGAAGAAUCAAUCAGUUUUUCUGAGUGCUUUUCCAAAACUUGUGACCUAAGUUUGAACCAUAUCCAUCUUCACAUGCUCUAACAAACAAUAAUCAAACAAUUGAUAUUCAUAUUCUAGAGCAAGUUAGCCACCAUAAUUAAUUUCUUAGUCACAAAGGACAAGUUAGGUUUAUCUAAACGAGGGCUAUAAUUACCAAUCAUAAUUGUAGCUCCACUCAAAUGCCACGCAGACAAAAAGCAGCACAAAAAUAACUUUAUAUAUGAUUUCUUUUUUUUUUUUUCCAUUGAAAAGAAGCUUUGAGAAAGAGAUCAAGUGGGACCAAGAAGUUCUAAUGCGUUUGCCAACUCCAUGGAUCCUUUAGGAAAUUUGCAUUCCACCAAUACAACACUUGCCAGUCAUGGAAACGGGAUUUAGGCCAUUGGUCCUAGGCUAGUUGGCUUUUAUUAGUGUUGAAGAAAGGUUUCAAUUUGACUUAAAGAACAAGAAAGUUCUCUUUUUUUUUUUUCCAAAUUUUUUUUGUACCUUUUCCAUCUUUCUUUCGUUUUCUCCUAAUUGACUAUUUGGCAUUCAAAAAAUUGGUAUUGGUGCUCCUUGCCAUAUCAUUUUUAAAAAAAAAUAAAUAAAUUAAAGUGGAAUACUAGUCUUAAUAUAUAGAGUGCCAAUAAGAAUUCCAGAGAAGUUAAUCUAGAUUAAUGGGCUGUCAUGCUAUUUGUUCUUGAUGACAUUCUUGCCUCCAAAGCAAUGGGAUCAUACUUGGACCAUUUUGAUUUUUUGAUGCACUGCAUCGCAAGACGAUUGAUACCAUCAUUAGUUUUUGAGUUCAAUUGAUACCAUCAAUGCUCACAUAUCCAUAGUAGACAAGUUUUUAAAAUGUCAUUUGUUCACAACAACAAAAAAAUUAAUAUAUAUAUAUAUAUAUGUAUAUAUAUAAUAUAGGUGUGUGACAAGUUAUCAACUUUGUAUUGUUCAAAUAAUAAAUUAAAACAUCUCAAAUAUGGAAGUUUUGAUGAAAGAUGGUUAGAUCCUCCUCUAGUAAUUUUGAUUUUAAUGAAUAAGUUAUUCGAAUCAAGUCCCCAAGAUUCCUAAAAUAUGUCAAUUGCAACCUGUCUCGCUGCUCUCGCACCCAUGUCAACCCAACCUGCUACCCAAACCACAUGCUAAAAUCGGUUCGGAUACCGUAUUUUUGGAGUUCGAGUAGAGUCGUUUAUUGGGGUUUUUGGAUUAUACUGAAUAGCCCUACUCCCUUGUGAUAGUUUCUUCUUUUUUAAGAAUUUCUAAUGAGGGUCUUUUUGUUCUUUCAUUGCUUUUGUUAGAUCUAUUUUUUUUUUGUAAGAUUUGGUUGUUAGAUUUGGGAUUACCUAAAUCCAUCUCAUCAAAUCUCACCAUUAUAUCGGAGACUUCCAGUACUUAAUUAGUAGAUCUGAUGUUGGCGAUUGAAACAUACACAUAUGCAUUGUCUUAUCUUUGAGUAUUUUCAGAGCUUCACAAUAAUUUUUAGAUUUGUAAUUUCAUUCUUUCAAAUCCGUUAUGUUUGUGUAUGCUAGAUGUAACCUCUGUUACUAAGGCAAUUUCACUAAAAUGACGAUGUUUUAUAUAUAAAAGAAAAAUACUUCAGCCUGAAUCUAUGAUGGAGAUGUUAAGAUACACAACAAAAAAUUAGCCAUGAUAAUUUUCACUUUCCUUUCUUUCUUUUCAGGUGCACCUCUCAAAUGUGCCUUAAUUACUAGUAAUUAUAAAGCAUGGCACUUAUUUUCUAGGCCAUGAGAAACCUUGGCUAUGGUUUGUUGGUCCUAAGGGCAAAUUGCUACUAAAAUAAUCAGGGGGAAAUUGCAACUGACCCUUUUGUGAUGGUAUAAUCAGGGGCAUCUAGUAUAAUUAAGCCUAAUUAUUGGUGACAUAUAUUUAAUUUUCCAAAAUAUGUCACCAGUUUUCUAAUAUUUCAUUUCGCCCAUGCCAUCCUUGCAAGUUCCCACGCAUAAAAGUUGGUUCCCACCAAACUUGUCAUCUCAGAUGAGACAGCUUGAAAUCACUUACUUCUAUACUUUAUACUAAACCGAGUAUUAAGACCUAAACCAUGAAACAUCAACUGUAUACGCACAAGUGUAAACUUUCAAUUUGUCCCCAUAAAAAAAAAAAUCUGCCUCCAGCCAGUUAGCCCUAAUGCAAUCCCAGCUCCAAUGACAAAGAGACAAGAGCAAAAAUUCCACCCAAAGAAAAAAAAAAAAUCAAAAUCAAGUCAACACCAUCCAUUGAUCUAUCCGUUUCUCAAACGGUCAAUUUUGCAACCAAUUUUCCUAACAGUCGUUUGUGUGACAGAUUGACCAAGAAGGCGCAUGGGUUAUCUCAUACAGUGCCACAUUAAUGCAGUUUGCUGCUCUUCCAUGCGUAUAUCAAUUAUCUAUUGCAGAAAUGCACUUUUGAAAAUACAAAGAUGUCCCACUUUGACAAAUAUUUUUAUUCUGUGGCUGGCUCUUGGGACGGGUUGAAGAAUAGUGUGAUUAGACAAUUGAACUCACUUUUUAGACAGAAAAACAAAAGUCGUUUUAUUUUGAAGAUGUUGGGGAGUUGGUGAGUGUGACCAUGGUGAUAAAUGCCAAUUUGAACUCUUUCAAGAAGAGCAAUUGUGGUGACCAAGGAGAUGAACAGAUGUGCAUUGUUUGUUCGAACCAAGCAAUGUAGGCUCGGUUGAUAAGGUUAUGUAACGUUUUCUUUCGUCCACAUAAAGUUAAGGUUACCGUUGAACUAGGGGAAAGGAAAAAAUCACCAUGCGGCAAUCUUUAUAGGUGUGUUUUCUCAUUUUGGCGGCUCAAAUAAUGUGUAUAUGCUUGAGUGAAUAUGCAAUCAGAAAAGAACUUGAAUGUUCUUGUAAGUUUCAAAAUAGCAUACUUUUUUCAAAAUUGCCACAAUAUGUGGUUUCUUCAAAAAAUUCAUACCGAUACAUGAUGCAUCCGACCGAUCUGAUAGUGGUUUAGUUCCCAUCAAUUCUCCGUAGGUCCAAUUGGGUCUCCCCUAAAAUUAGGUUAGAGUAGGAUAAUAUAAAUAAAGUGACAAUGACAAAAAAAAAAAGGUGGUUGGGGAGAAAUUUCAGUACUCUAAUCUAAGCAAUUGUAGCAAAGUUAUAUGUUGAACCGUGUAUAGAAUGUGUUUUAUCAAAUCGAGUGAAGAGGACAACUCUUUCUUUCUCCUAUUGACAAUUCCUUCAAUUUAUGAGAAAAUAAGAUUGAUUUAUACGUUGACUUUUUUUAUUUUACAUCUACAGACGAGACUUUUUCGAAUCUCUAACUCUAUUUGUUUCAACAAAAAAAAAAAAAUUAGUUAAAACUUGACUCGAUUUUUGAAUGUUGAAGCCAUGUUAAGAUAACACCAUUAGUUAUAAAAAUCAAAUAAUGCUAAUUCGUGAUAGUUUUUGGGCAGAACUAAUAUGAUUAUACACGUGCUACAUUAGAUGGAUACUAGCAAAAAUUAGAGAAGACAAGGGACUAAACUCGUAUUAGUAAUUAUUAAGUCUAGUUAUAAACAAAAAAUUGUAAAUGCAUAAAGCUAAGCAGGAGCGGACUUGUGCAACUUUUAAGGGUACAAAUUUGUCCACUUGAGCUCAGUUGAUAAUUCAAUCAAUUUAUAUAGUUCAUAAAUAUUUAGAAUAUCAAAAUAGAGAUUCUAAACUUUGCAAAGGGAAGAAAAGAAAGGGAAUGGUUAAAUGUCAAACCAUUUGUUACUUGGUCAUUGUCCUUUUCAAUUCAAUUGAACCGACCAUUAUAUUAUAAAAAAUAAUAUACCUCUUGUCUACAAGUAAUUGUUGGCAGGUCUGGUCCAAGAACACUCAGGUCUGGGCAGCGACAAAAGAGCUAAGUAGACCCCAAUUAGUCCAUCGGCAUGAGCCCAAGCAUGGCAUCAAAUGAUGGUGUCAUUGAAAUUUUUUUUUUCCAAGUAUGAGCGGAAGAUCUCGGAUUCAGAACUUAUCAUUUAUAUUCUCUUCCCGUACUAUUCAAUCUCUCCCUCCCUGGUGUUAUUGACUUGAUUGUUCAUUUGUCACAACAUCGAAAACAAUUGAUUGUAGGAGAGCAGAAAGUUUAGGCCUUGUUUGGAUUGCCGGUUUUCAUCGAAAAAUUACGUCGUUUUCCGUGAUCACAUUUCCCUAUUACCUUUUUCCCUCACAUACAUCAAAUCGCUACAGUAAUUUUUCCAUGAAAAAUCACGAAAAAUGCAACCAAACACACCCUUAAAUUUCAUCAUUAGUUCACAAAUAAAAGACUCAUCAAUUUUUUUUCUAGAAGGAGAGGAUAAAAAUUUAUAUAGAAAAUAUCUUGAGAUAGUAUUAUUAAAUUAGUAAUUAACAAUAUAAGUGGAGAAAAAAAAAUCAGUUUCACAUAUACUAGUAUUUCUAGAAAACUCAUGUUUAAAAAAAUUUCUUGACGCGUUCCCUAACUACAUUUUUAAUUCACAUAUGAUCUUCACGAUAAAAUGAGUAUAGUAAUAAUUUAAAAAUAAAAAACACUUUUUGUUUGGAUUGCUUGUUUCCGUCGGAAAAUAUUAUCGUUUUCCGUGAUCACAUUUCCCUAUCACCUUUUUCCCACACAUAUAUCAAAUCGCUACAGUAAUUUUUCCAUGAAAAAUGACGGAAAAUGCAAUCCAAACACAAGAUUUGCAGAUAUAUGGUGUUACUGAUAUAAUGACAUAUUUUAUUAUCUUUCUUUCUUUCUUGUAUUUUUAAGUAAAUCAAGAAAUUUGCACUUCAUUUUCAGAAACAAAAUCCCCAUGUGUUAUCAAUUAUUAAGAUGAUUUCCAUAAGAAGAAAGCAAUUAGGUCAUUCAAAAAUCAAAGAAGGGAAAGGUCAAAAUCCGGAAAGGGACAAAGGGAUGUGAGAAGACAGGAGCUACAACUUGGAUAUACAGUUGGCAAUCGGGAACAGGAGCACCAGCAGUUGCUGCUAAAAAUCACGGGUUUCCUUUGUGUUUCAGUGCGUGAAUGUGUGCUGCUGGGGAGGGUCACUCAUUGUUCAGCCAAACAUUUCUACGACCUUCCAUGUGACAAAUUGACCAACAACACACGUUCGGAUGCUUCGCUGAUCGAGGGGAAUGGACUGCACCACCCCUUGUGUACUUGAGCUGUCGCCUGUCUUGUACGCGCAACCAUUUCCAGCCAUUUCUUAAUGUGAGUGGUCAUCAUUAUUAUAAGGGAAGAGAAAAAAAGAAAAGAAAAGGGUUAACUUUUGUGAGAAAAUGUUAACAUUCUUCUAAUAUUAUAUUAAUUUUGAAGGUUUUUUUUUUUUUUUAGUAUUUUAGUGGUGGUUUAAUGUUGUUUAAGUACUUUCACUAUUGGUGGUUUGAGUUGCUAAAAUGUUGAAUUGUAAUCUAUUGGUAUUAAUUUUGUCAUUGUGGCUUAAUUGUAAUUUCAUCGAUAGAAGCGUUUUUUAUUUGGUGCAAAUAUGAGAAUUGCUUCUUAAAUUCUACUCCUUGCUGUCAUCAUGACUAAAUCGUAAUUUCAACAACAGAAAUGUUUUCAAUUUAGGGUCAUUAUGGGAAUCAUUAGUGGGCAAUCUAGACUUAAUAGGGAAAAAUAAAAUUUAACUUUUUGGGGCAAGAAAAAUUAUGCCAUAUCUUAGACCAUAGUUAACAAAGAUGUUUGGACUUCAAAUCCCUAAAAACAUAACUAAUUGGAAAUUUGAACUCUCACACGAUUAUUAGUGUGUUUCUUUCUUUCCCUUCCUAGCUAUUCUCAAAGACAACACACAUUAUUAUGUUUAGUAAUAGUUGACCAAAUUAUAUGCUCUCUUUUCCUAAGAAAUUUUUCUUUCUGUUUUUGCCAAUCAAUGGCCAUGCUGCAGAUGAAGGAAGGACAAUCAGACGCUCUCUGAGUUCAAACAUGAGCUUUAGAAUCUACUUUCAACUUACGUUUUAACUUUUGAGAACUAUCCUUACCAACCAAAAGAGUUGAUGGAUUUUGCUUGCCUGAGUGAGUUUUUCGAUCCAGGCAACUUAAUUAACAACCGCACUUUUAGUUCAACUUCCCACGGGGGCCGGUUUUGCCUUUUCCCAAUCCUUACCUGCUUCAAGAAAGUUUUAACUAAAAAUGAAGGGAGAUAUCAGUUCUGGUUGAGUUGCUUUAGAGAGAGAUCUGUGAGGAGGAUGAGCAAGGAGGGGAGCAAUUGCUUCCCCAUCAGCAAGGGAAAACAGUAGUGUCACCCCAAAAAAGGAAAAAUAAAGAAAUGGAGACCAAAAACCAUUCAUUACAAGCUUAUCAGUUGCCAAACUUCCAAGUGAAACCCUCAUAACUUUUUACACUUUCGGCCUGGGGACCGGCUCAAACAUAUCAAUCAACACCCUUUUGGUUGCUUUGACAUUCCUGGCUUCCAACUGGGAUGAUUAGGAGGGCUGCACUUGGCCAGCUCCUCCUCAUGUUUAGAUGCCUCUUAGAAAGGGGAAACCUGAGAACCACUGCUACAAAGCCAUCAAAUAUGGUCACCUCCCCAAGAAUAUUAGCCACAAAGUCAUGAAUUGGUAGCCUUUGGACCCAAAAGAUUUGCAAACAGCCCAGUUGACAUGUGUCUGAAUAUUCAGAAUAAGUUAAUCACAGUUGACGUGUAUUCUCUGGGCUAUACUUAACUAACUUUACAACCAUUUAUUUGUCCCCAUCCAAUUCGAAUUAAGACUGGUCUUGUAAUAUUUUUGGGGUAAGGAACCCCAUUAUAUUGGUGCCACAAGAAACUAAAAUGUAAGACGAAUAGCACAUUUUGGUCUAUGUAUCACCAAUCAAAAUGUACUUUGAUUGAGAGAGGAAUAUGUUCCACGUGUAAAGUGGCCUAAUACUAAAUUAGUAUAUCAAAGUAGAGUACCUUCUUCAUAUAGGCCAAAUAAAUCACGGAACUUCACAACAAAUUCAUAGGAUUACGCAGAUACAAAUUUGCAGUUUAUAUCAUUCAAGCACAAAUUUUGUUUAUUAUAUAUACUCCAAUUAUUUGUAUUCAGAGUCACAUAAGUGGCCUCGUGGCUCUGAAUCAUUCUUGUAGUAUUUGGGCUAAACAACACACGUUAAUAACAAUAAUAUAUAAAGGCUCUAAAGUCCGAUAAUGAAUCCAUAAAUUUUAAGCUAUCAUGCAUAUUUUUCUUUUUUUGGUUUUAGUUUCAGGCUAUAAGCCCCUAAUUGGAUUUUAGGUUCUAGGCCCAUAAAUUUGAUUUGGGUUGCAAGGCCCAGAAUUUGAUUUUGCUGAGUUCAACUUGCAAAUGGUCUACAUUUCUGUGGCCCCCUCGCAGUUGAUCAUCUCCAGUCUCCUCCUUUUGCGGCGAGCGUUCUGUGUCCUUCCUCUCUCGGGCUUCUCUGCUUCUUCUCCCCCUUUCACUUCCUUUUUUUAUGCCUGACAAUCACCGCAAUUUCUUUCUUAUUUUCACUGUAAGUUUCUUCCUUUUAUCAGGUAUUUGUACUUGCAGACAUGAAACCCACAAAUUUUUCCACAGAUUACGCGUACACUUUUACCCUAAAAUUCAGGGAUUUUUUUUGGUAUUUCUUGCCAUUCUUUUUUUCUUUAUUUUUUUUUGCACCACGAACAUAUUUACUGAUCCGUAUUUUUUUUCUUGUAAUUUUCAGCUUUGGUCCGAAAAUAGAAAAGGUUUUGCAGUAAAAAUUCUGUUCAUUCCAGGUUAGUUUACCUUUGAUUCGUAUCAUUAAUCUGCUGAAAUUUUUGUUAAUAUUAUAUGGGCUGAUAUUUUUAAAUAUUUUAAUAUUAGUGUUAUAUGUUUGGCUAUUUACUCUUAUGAUAAGCUUUUGCUUAUGCUUCUUAAGAAGAUAUAGCUGCGUUUUACUGGUUUUAUGUGGUAUUUUAAGGCAUCGAAAUAUUAAUAAGUAUAUUUAAAAAAACAUUCUUAUUGGCCAAAAAAAUUAGUGAUUUUCCCCCCAAUUUAUGCUUGCCCUUCCGAUUUACCUUCUAUGUACACUAUCUCAUCUUCCGAUUUACCCUAGGAUUUGUUCGUCUCCUCUCAUUUAAUUAAAGUGUUUUGAGUUAAUUUAUAAAUCAUUUACACAUUUUUGAAUUUUUUUUCCCAAAUCGAUGGAUUGAUAACUAAAAAGAUACAGCAUGCUAAUAUAUAUAAUUGUAUUAUUUUUAAGUUAGUUCAAAACGGUAUUCUCAUGGUUAUGAAUUAUUGCAAGUUGUUUUUAAGCGUACUAUAAAUUAUUCAUAAUUUUUAAGUAAUUUAACCUAUUUUGUCCGAACCAAUGACACAAAAUUUGUUAAAGAGACAUUGAUCAAUUUGCAAAGAUUAAGUUAUAAAUUCGGCGUAUUAUGAUAAUUAAGAAAUCACAAGAAAAGGGCAAACUUGGAAUAAAAUUGUAUUCGCUCUCCCAAAAUGAAUUUUUUAAUAUUAUAUUUUGAAAUGAGUUUCAAAUGGUACAAAAACAUGACAAUCUUGAAAUUCCUGAACCCUCUUGCUGGCUUUAAAUUUCGCUGGUUGCUGAACUUUUUGUAUGAUUUGCACUUGAGCAGUUCUUUAAUUGUUCUAGUACUAUAUGAACCUCAGUGGCAGUUUUGUUUGUUGUUUUUUUCUCUUUUUACGAAUAAUACCUUUUGGAAUCUGGAAGAUGCUUGUUUAUCAGCCUAUGAAGAGAAAAAUUCCUCCAACACCCUCCUUGUACCUGUAAGUGGAGCUCUUCAUUAGUAAUCUAGGCUCUGAAUUUGACGUAUAAAGAUUGUGAUUUUGACAUCCUAAAUUUGUUUUCUGUUCCCAAAUUUCACACAACGAUGUGUGCUUUUUUGUACGUAACUAUAUUGCUUUGCAGUUGUAAAACAAAUUUUAAUUGUUGCUGUUCCAAUUUGGAGUCUCUUAUUAUUGCAGAUCUCAUUGACCUAGUUCGCCGCAUUUUGCUCGGAGUGUGGUUGGUUUGGAUUUCUUGCUUUGACCAAAAUAGUCCACGCAAAAGGAGCUUAGGCAGAAGAAAUGCUGUCUGCUAAAUCCCUCCCUCUCUCUUCCCCUUUGAUAAAAGCAUCCAAAUCUCCUGAUGCUAAUCUCACCUCAAAAUACUACAUAGGCAUCAACAAAUGGAGUAGGAAUAAGUAUACCAAUCCUUCUCUUAGUUUUCAGAGCUCCUGCCGCGAGACAUCAUCAGAACCAGUAGUUGUACCUGAAGCACGUUCCAUGUCAGCACAAAACAGAGGCGAUUUCCUUUCGGAGGCGCUGCCUUAUAUACAAAAGUUCCAUGGCAAGACAAUUGUGGUCAAAUAUGGAGGUGCAGCCAUGGCGUCUGAGGCCCUUCAAGCAUCUGUAAUAUCUGACUUGGUUCUUCUCCAAUUUGUUGGUAUUCGCAUUGUCAUGGUCCAUGGUGAGGGUCCUGAAAUCAACCAGUGGCUUGGUAGGAUGGGCAUGGAGCCCAAGUUUGUGAAUGGACGUCGUGUCACUGAUGGAACAACCAUGGAAAUUGUUUCGAUGGUAUUGGCGGGUAAAGUUAACAAACAUCUUGUUACCUUAAUCAACAAGGCAGGGGCUUUUGCUGUUGGCUUAUCUGGUAUGGAUGGCCGUCUUUUGACUGCCAGGCCUUCCCGAAAUUCUGCUCAGCUUGGCUUCGUUGGUGAUAUAGCCACUGUGAACCCCACAGGGCUUCGAGCACUCAUUGCCAAUGGUGAUAUCCCAGUCAUUGCCUCUAUAGCUGCUGACAAGACAGGCCAGUCAUACAACAUCAAUGCAGACAUAGUUGCGGGUGAGGUUGCUGCUGCCUUGGCAGCUGAUAAGUUAAUUCUUUUGACUGAUGUGCCUGGAAUUCUAGAGGAGCGAGAUGAUCCAGGAAGUUUGGUGAAGGAAGUAGAUAUCAAAGGGGCGAGGAGGAUGAUGCAUGAUGGGAAGAUUGCAGGUGGGAUGUUUCAAAAGGUGGAUUGCUGCGUGAGGUCCGUAGCUCAAGGUGUCAGGGCUGCAAGUAUAAUUGAUGGACGAGUACGGCACUCAUUACUCCUCGAGAUUUUCACUGAUGAUGGAGUAGGAACAAUGAUCACUGGAUAAAUUGGGUAGCUUGCACACUGUUUAAAGCUACGUGCCGUUUGGAUUAGCUGUUUUUAGAGUAUUUUUAAAAAAUUUUGCUAUAAAAGAUUUUUUAAAUUAUAUUUUAGGAUAUUUUUAAAAAAUAUUUUAAAAUAUUUAAGAGUAGAAGAGUUUUUAGAAUAUAUUUUGAGAUAUUUUUUAAAAUUUUAAAAAAAUUUAAAUUAAUUUUUAAAUUAUUUUUAAAGCAUUUUUUAAAAAUUUUUAUUAUAUUUAAAAAAUUAAUUUUUGAAAAACAAUUCCAUCCAAACAAUUAGCCACUUUAGAAUAUAGUCAAUCUAAAAUGGCAAUCAGGAAAGAAGAAAAAAAAAAGCCAAGAAAAGAGAAUCUCUUAUGAACUGUGACGUUUGUAUUUCCAUCAAACAUUGAGAAAAGGCUGAAGAAUUUAAUAUUCAAUUUGGAGGUUUUCAAGUUUCAACAAAUCAGUUUUGGACAAUUUGCUAGCGUAUAGACAUUUAUAAAUCCAAACUCAAAAGCGAUAUAAAAUAAUAGUGAGAUUUAAUCAUUGUUCAAUUCUGCCUAUCUCAUUAACUUUUUCUAGGGGAAUUAAAUAUAAAACUCAGCAAAAGAACUCCUUAGUGCACCAUUAGCAAAAGAAUGACAAAGGAAAAUUGAAAAGUAUUAUAUUUGUUACCGCAUAUUCAUGUUCUAAGCCCAAGACUAAGACACAUAUAUUUGUUACCCACAUUAUCAAACUAUCAUAAUAAAAAAAUUAUAUACCAUAAGCACAAUACAUUAAGACGCUAUAUAUUGCAUCUGUUUAAAGAUUGGAUGGCUGAUUUUCUUAGAUGCAUCUUCCCCAAAACCUCUUAAAACACGUACUCCAAUCAUCUUCAUAUCAAUGAACACAGAGCAGCCUGAGCAGGGUACAUUAAGCUGUCACUUUAGCUACACAUGCAUACACGACAUGUUAUAAGCUCUAUAUUACUUGUAGACUACAAUUGUAUUUACUUUCAUCAUCUUGUACUAUAUUCCUUUAUUUUUAGGUAAUUUCUCUCGAACUUUUUGAAUAAAUAGUAGAAAGGAUAGGUCAAUAUUCGAUGUUACGAAGUAGUGACUGAGGGAUAGAGUUUUUUUUUUUUCAAUGAAGCUCACAGGCGUAGACAUCUCAAACUAUGCCAAAUAUUUGGCAAGCCACUCCAAGAAUUUUUGUGCCAGAGGCAGCAAAAGUACUGAGUGUGUUUGGAUUGCAUAGUUGUGAAAUAAAAUAAUUUACUUCACAAAUUCCAAUUGUUUUUUUAUCUACCCAAUCACCUUUUUAUUUCAUGUAUAUCACAUCACAAAAGUGCUACAGUAACUAUUUCAAAUAAAUCAUCCAAAUAAACUCCUAUCCAAACAAAUUCGUAUCAAUCAUAUUAUAAAAUGUGACAAUAAAAUGUACAAACUUUACUAUCUGACAAUGUUUUGCCACAAUUUAAAUGUUAUCUAAGGGUAACAUGGGUGACAACUGACAAUUAAUCCAUAUGUGUAUGUGGGAUAUGACGCUUCCACCUCCCCCUAGCGCGAACUCAAGAGUUUGGCUGACCGUCUACUCAGUUCUCGUCAGGAUUCACUCAUUAACAUUUCUAAAAUAGUCUUUCACGUCUCUAGCUUGUCAUAAAAGUUCUAUUAAACCAAUAAUUCACACUUAAUUCACAUCAAUAAUUCAAAACUUCACCAAACCACCAUUUAUAUCUUAGCAAAGACACCAACAAUCCUCCAAGCUUUGAAUAUCAAACAAGUGAAAUUUUCCCACAAAACUCUCGGCAUGACGCUCCGCUUUUCAUCCCCUUUUUAAUUCAAACUUGUUGCUCCUUUUAAAAGCACAUUCGAGGGUAAUUGCUUAGCAAGUUAUGUUGAGCAAAAUUUCACUUUAAAGCUAGAGGAAACGAGACAAAUUCCAAUCCAAGAUUUGGCCAAAACCUUUCAAAAUUUCCAAACAAGGUUCAAGAAAAACUCCUCAUUCUAAUUUUUAUAACGCUCUUUGAAAAGUCAUAACUUGAGUUUCAUAAGUCCAAAAUUCAUAAAUCUUAUACCGUGAGAAAAUAGAUUCAAAAGUCUACAACUCUCUAGAAGGCACUUCCAUAAAAUUCAGUCCAUAAAUUAGUCAAAUUUCAGCCUCAAUUCACUGCUCAACUAAGUGCAAAAAUAGGACAGUCUUGAAUUUUCAGCCCAAUUUGAAAUUUUGCUGGUAUUUAUAGAAAGUGAACCAAACCAUGAAUUUUACACGAUUAAAAGAGCUAUGAGUCUAGUUUCAAAUGCAACAAAUGAGACUCAACUCGGAUUUUUCUACACAAAGAUAUAAUAGAUUUCCCAAAACUGCUCAGAAUCUCCUGCGAAAAACAUUUUCAGCAACACUUGACUCAACCUUCCCACUUAGGCUCAUAAUUUUUGGUUCAAAUCUAACUCACAAUCAAAGUUUAAUAUCUAACAAAGUUUGUGGAGUAAGAUUUCUUCCAAAAUUUUUGAAAAAUAAGAGCUAAUAGCACUCAAAAGUUUCGGCCAGCAAGAAGCAUUCAAAAUAGAAAAUUUCCUCAAGUUAUCUACCUAAAUCAAGAUUUUCAAAGAAACCCAUCAACAACCCAUCAAAGAUCCAAUCUUUCUAGUUACAAGUCUCGUACAAGUCCAUAACAAAGCUAGAUACCAUCAUAUCAUGGAUGAAAAAUAUAAAACAAGGCUGAAAAAAAUAAAACCCUAUGCUGGAAAUUUCACCAAUCUUCACAAAUCUAGGUUGUCAUCCAUAAAACUUCCAAUUUCAAGACAUCUUCCAAAAAAAAUUGCAAGAUAAGAAAGAUAAAGGGAGUCUUCCAACUCAGUACCUUAAUACCUCUAGGAGAAAGUGAAAAACCAAGGCUUCACUCUCCAAAAAUCUCCACUAUAAGCUUCCUUGCUACCUUAUUGUAACUUUGUUCGGUUUAGAUUUGUGAUUCUUGUUGAUCUUCACUCAAACAAAAUGAAGCUUUCUUUUAUCUUUUUUUUUUUUCUCUCUCUCUCUUGCUCGGCCAAAGAAGGAAGCAAAUGAAUAGGUUUGAGGAGAAUUUACAAGAUAAAGACUAGAAUGGUCUUUGGUCAAGUUGGCUUGAUGGCCAAGAGUUGUCGCUCUACCAUUUUUCCUCUUAGGGUCUGUUUGUUUGAAUUCAAAAUAUUUUCCAGAAAAUAGUUUUCCGAUUUUCUGGUGUUUGACAGUAGAAGGCGUUAGGCAAAUAUUUUCCAGUGUAAAAUGUUUUACGCUACGGGACGUAAAAUAACUUAAAGAGCAGACAUACAGAAGUUAAUUUCCAUCAAACUCAUGAAGCCAAUCAGCCAUUUCAGGGCUUACCUAUUAAGAUACUCACAAAAAAUAAGAAAUACCAAUACUGAGACCAUCAUUAAAAAUCCAUCCCUGCGCCUGCUACGAAAAACCCCAUUGUCUACCACCUUUCCCUCCUCCUCAUCUUCGCCUAUCCUACUCCUUUCCUCCCAUGCCAGCAUAAACAAUGCAUCCAUGGAGAUGUAGAAAAUCUAUACCGAGAGCGGGUCUUGAUAAGUUUUUGGGUGAGAGAAAUCUGGAAAAGUGAAGGAGAUAGAAUGGAGGAAGACUUUUAUGCAGAAAAGUUUGCAACAGAAUUCAAGAGCUGCUUUUCCGUAUGAUGAUUGAUCAAUUAUAAGGUUUUAAUUACUGAAGUAAUUUUUAUUGACAUAUUAUUAAUUUGAAUCUUUAUUGGUAUGAUGUGUAAUUGGUCUGAGAAAUUAUGAAUUCCUUUCUGAAGUUUGAUAGAUUUGGAGAUUGAAAGAAUCUCUGGUUGAGAUGGUAGAUCCAGUGUACGUGAGAUGACGGUAGUUGGAGGGAUUCUACCGGGGAAUCUUCUUCUUGUAGGUUUUAGUUUUGUGGUGCAUUUUCAUAAAACUGCACCAAACACUGGAAAAUAAAUGAAAAUGAAAAUUUUUUCAGGAAAAUUAUUUUCAUUGAAAAUGUUCUCCUUGGGAAAAAAUUUUACAUUGAAACAAACGGUCCCUUAUUUUUGUUCUUUUUCCUCUCUUUUUUGGUCAAUAAUUUCAGCCAGCCAUAGGGAAAAAUUAGGGAAAGAAAAAUGAAAGAAAAAUAAGAAGAUUAGGGAAAAGAAAGUCUUGGUCAAGUGGUGUGCUUGAUCGAUAACAAACGGCUCGAGUUAGUUCAUGCCUAUCUCUUUGUUUUCCCUUGUGGUUCUUAUAGCUAAUCCAUCUCGUUUCCUCUAAUACACUCUUAACACUUCUAAUCAUAUACUCCCUCUAAUACCACACUCGUUCUCGUCCACCAAAUUUAACGCACACAUCUCACUAAUCGGUCAACUACUUUAAUUCUCUACGGAACUUAACAUGCACUAAAAUAUAAAAGGGGAAUGAUAUAACUCUUGACUCAAUCAAGAAAAUUACCAUGAAAUUAAGGCAAGAAUAAGAGAGUUUAUAAACUAAAUUUUUUUUUGGGUUCUCACAUGGCAUAUCACCUAAGAGCAUCUUAAUUGGACCAUAAGACUCAAGACUAAAUGAUUAUAUAAAAUGCAACCACAUAAUCUGAAUAUUUGCGUCAAAUCAGAACUUCACAUUUGUUACUUAAAUUUGUCAUUGGGGUUUAUAAACACUCUCAAAAGAUUCUUGCCUGACUAGACAAAUCUGUAUCAAGAAAUAAGCAAUCAAAUAGGCUUAAUUUGAGUAUAAAAGGAACCGUAAGGAAUAUGCCAAGCAUAUGAUUGGUAGCUGACGAGUUCCCCUGCAACAACUGAAACUAGACUUGGAUUCUUGCUCGUUUCCGUUUUAGCCAAAGUUUUUAUACACUGAUUAGAAUAAAAUUUGAUGACGCAAUCAUAUAGGAAAAGAAGAUCGCACAAAAUAGAAAAACAAAGACAUUUUCAAGUGGUUCAAAUGUCUAAUCCAUAGCAAAUUUUUUUUUUUUUUAAAAAAAUCUCCUUAAUUUGUUUCUUUUAUUUCUCGUUGGUGACAAAGUGCAAUGGCUGGCAAAUGAUUUUAUAACUGCAUCUCUCUCUCUCUCUCGUUUUUUUUGGGGUAGGAAUAAUUGCAUCUUUGGUCUUCUGGUUCUAACAAGUGUAUCUCAGGAUUGCACAGUUCUCUGAAGUUGCGUUAUGGUGAAAGGCGUGUCUAGCAUAGGGCUUGCUGCAAAUUUUUGAGCCUCAGCAGGGCAAGAUUCUGGGGAAGUAGGGAUAGCUUGACAUUGUUGACUUUUUUUUUUUUUUUUUUUUUUGUGGUGGGGUUGUUGGUGGGAGGAGGGGGUCUUAAUUGUAGAAGAAUGUAAUUGAUUUUGAGAUCAGGCAGAGAAUUUUCGAAGGAAAAAAAAACUUAUGAUUGGGUGUUACAACAAUUGGAGGACAGGAGUUCAUGUGAUAUAAUAACUUGUAAAGGGUGAGACUAAAGUAUGUUGUACAACUCACAACUAUAAGACUUGAAAACAAGCCUUUUCAAUCAACUUCUAAGGCUCGAGAACUAAUUAAAGUAUUAAAACCAAGGUUAAUUUGUUAGUGAGCCACACAAAUAUACAAGAAAGGUGUAUUUUAGAAGUUGUUAACUUUCUACUAAUGAUACCUUUGGAAUAAACAAGAAAGCUAUACUAACGUAUAUUUGUGAAGUAAAGUUAUUUCACUUGUAUCUAUUGUAAAAAACAAAAUGAAAAGAUGCAAAUAUCAACUUAUGCUGCAGAUGCCUUGCUAAUUAGCCCUCCUAUAAUCAACUUACACUAUUAAGCAUGACAUCUUAUGAACAAUGAGGGGUUAAUAAUUGUGGUUUUUGAAAAUAUUGAGUAAUUUAAUUAUGUUAUCUUCUUAAUUAGGAGGUGAAUAGCAUCACUCAACUUCCACAAAUUAUUCUCUGGCCCCAAGAAAAAGGACAAAGAUAAAAAAAAAAGGAAGAUCUUCCAUAAAGAACUGGGGUGGCAUUUGGCUCGCACAUCGGAAUCGGAUUCGGAUUCGGAAUCGGAUAUCCUGGGUUUGGAACGAGAUCAUUCAUUCCAAUACAUUUGUUUGGUUCAAAUACCUGGAAUUUGUGUCAUUACUAUAGUUGAUGUUUGAUUCGUCGACUCUUUCAGAAUGGAAUAUAAUAAAUAUAUUAUAAACCACAUCGUAAAUAAUUGUUAUUGGCUCUUUGUAAAUGGGAUAUAAGAAAUUUUCACUAAUUAAAUAUAUUAAUAUAAAUGUAUUAGUAAAUUUAGUCUAACUAAUUAAAAAUUUCUAUUAGUAAACAUGUUUAGUUAUUAGUAUAAUUGAUAAUAUUAAUUAUAUUACAUAAAUUAAUAUACAUUAUAUAAUACAUAUAACUAAUAAUAAUAUUAUUAUAAGUUCGUAACUAAUUAAAUUAAAUAUUAUAUAUAAUUAGACAUAAAUAUAUAAUUACAAUUAUAUAAUAUAUACAAAUAUUAAUUAUACAAAUAUUUUAUAUAAAUAUAAUAUAUAUUACAUAUUAAAUAUAGUUAUUAUUAUAUUUAAAAUAAUAAUUGUAAUUAUAAUUAUAUAACUUAUUAAUAUUACAUACGUGUAUAUAUUAUAAUUAUAUGCACAUAUAAUAGACAUUUAUAUUAUAAAUAUAUUAUUAUAUAAUAUUAAUAAAUUUAUAAUAUAUAUUAUAUAAGUAUAAUUAUAUUUAACUAAAUAAUUAUAAUAUAUAAUUAUAUAAUAUAAUAAUAUCAUUAUUAUAAGUUUGUAACUAAUUAAAUUAAAUAUUAUAUAUAAUUAGACAUAAAUAUAUAUUUAUAAUUAUAUAAUAUAUACAAAUAUUAAUUAUACUAAUAUUUUAUAUAAAUAUAAUAUAUAUUACAUAUUAAAUAUAGUUAUUAUUAUAUAUUAUUAUAUUUAAAAUAAUAAUUGUAAUUAUAAUUAUAUAACUUAUUAAUAUUACAUAUAUGUAUAUAUUAUAAUUAUAUGCACAUAUAAUAGACAUGUAUAUUAUAAAUAUAUUAUUAUAUAAUAUUAUGAAAUUUAUAAUAUAUAUUAUAUAAGUAUAAUUAUAUUUAGCUAAAUAAUUAUAAUAUAUAAUUAUAUAAUAUAAUAAUAUCAUUAUUAUAAGUUUGUAACUAAUUAAAUUAAAUAUUAUAUAUAAUUAAUUAUAAUUAUACAAAUGUUAUAAUAAUUAAUUAUUAAUUAUAAAAAUGUUAUAAUAUAUAUAAAUAUUAAUUAUACUAAAUAUUAUGUAAUUAUAAGAUUUUGGAAUCAUACUUGGAUUUUGGACAAAACCCACCCCUUUAUUAAGGAAUGGAGGGUUGCCAAAUUUUUAGAAAUCAUUCCAAAAUUUCAAUUCCCAUACCAAACACUAAUUAUGGAGUUUAUUUCAUUACUUCAUUCCGAUACCCUUUUACCAAACGCCCCCUAGGUUGUAAUUCAGUCAUGAGAAGGAGAUGUAAGUCAAACCUACAGUCCAAUAAUUAGACCCCAUCACUUUCUUGGUCUUUGGCAGCUUGUAUUAUUGUGGUGAUGACCAUUGUUUUCAUUCACGUCAUUUCCUUGAGGCAAAACAGGAUGAUUAUGUAAUGCCCUUUGCAGAAAUCAUAAGAAAAGUGCUUGUAAUGUUCAAACAAAAAAUUGCUGCAGUAUAUUAAGAAAAUAACUUUUGUUAAAUGUUGGAAGUUUUUUAAUUGAUUAUGGUGCUGUUGUGAGUGCAAAUUUCGUGGGCUAAUUACUUUUAGGUUAUAGCUAAAAGAAGGAAAAAGAAAAACAAUAAUGUGGCAUGUGGAUGCUCUUCUUUUACACCUAGUUAUGAUAUAAAAGCUUAAUGAAAAUUGUUUCUUUCCCCCACAAUUUUGAUGCAUGGAAUUAGAUUUUUUUUUAUAUAAGGAAGGCCGUAUUGGUGAUACAUCUUGCAUUUUAGUCUAGUUAGAAUUCCAUGUGACCUGAACAUUUUCGUAUAAUUCUGAACCAAAUAUUGGAAAAUUCACUGUCUUUCAUAAACUUUAUAACAUCAAGUUGAAAUAAAAAUGAACGAACUGAAAAGCCACAACCUUACAUUUUGUUAAAUAAAAAAUACAAUUACUAAUAAACGACUGAUUAUUAAAUAAAACUCUUACAAAUUGAAGCAUAAUUUUUUCCCUUACAUUUUGUCAUAGACUUAAGACUAACAAAAUAUUGCACCAAAAUCAUGUCCAAAUGAUGCUGUAUUAGCUCUUAUGGAGCUUAUGAAAUGGCCUAAUUUUCUACACUCCGAGAUAAUGUCAAAUUUUUUGGGGAAAGCUAAACUAUUGACAGGGAUCGAAUUGAUUUGUCUAAUAAAGCUAAAGGACUAUAAUGUUUAAGUACGAUUUCCUGAAUGAGUUUAGGCACCUUAGGGUUACGUACCCAUUUUGGUUUUUGACCAUUUAUAAGCUACGUGAUUCACAUGCAUAGUGCUAUUAUUGCACACAUAAAAGUUCAAAUACAAAUAUUCUUAAAAUUGAAGGGUUCCAUCCGUCCAAUCAUUGAUAACGUUGGCUAUUUGUUGUAUUAUAGUAAUAUGACAAUAGCAAAUUAUCAAAAUGUUAUGGUGUUGCAAUUUUCAAAUCGAAGAAUCUUCAUAUCUUAAAAGAAUUUCAUUAUAAUUGAUUAAUAGGAUAGGAGAAAAUUGAAAGACUUUUCAGUUUCUUUUUUGAUAAGAAAACAACAAAAAAAUUUUAUUACUGAGAUUACUGGAAACCGUCCAGUACGAUUUGCUUGACAAAAUUUGGAGGAGCAGACCAAAGAGAUUCAUGAAGGGUGGCAAUCUUUGCUUGGUUGGCUAAGGUAUGCGCAACCUCUUAUUUACCUCCCUUGGUAUCCAUUUGACAUCAAUACAAAGUUGAUCUAGUAAGGCUAAGCAUAUGUCCUCAAGAAUCAAGCCUAAGUCAGACAGGAUGUCUUCCUUAGCGAGAAUGAGUUUAAUAAUUGAAGAUGCAUCUUCCUCUAAAAUAAAGCUUGGGAUCAUUAGAUUUCGAGCCAAGCAGACCGCUUUCCUAGCAGCAUGGGCUUCCGCUAUUUCUGCACUCACCGAACCAACAAAUUUCUUUGCGAGGCCAGCUAUAAAAGAGCCUUCAUGGUCGCGGACUACUACACCAAUGCCAAAGAUGCUUUGAGCUGUGGAUAUGGCAGCAUCAAAUUAAUUUUAAAAUGGGGGGAAGGCGGGGCUGACCAUUUCAAUUGAGCAAUCUGUGAUGGAGUCAUAGUAGGACGAGCAUUGGCCUCAUGAAAUUCACUAAGACUGUGCGUUGCCAAGUUGACUAAGGACAUGGGAUGCCAAAAUAUGCCAUUGAACAGAGCAGAAUUCCUGUUGUUCCAGAGUGCGUAGUACAACACAGCAAAAAUUUCACAUUCAGCCCCAGUCAGCGAACGAAUAAUUUCCUUGUACCAAAGCUCAAAACUGGAGUGUUGGCAACUCUGAAUUUUCCGCUCUAGGAAGACAAGUGCCCAGACUUGCACUGCCAUUGGGCAGUAGAAGAAAAUGUGGGAUAGGUUGCCAUAGGUCCCUUUGCAGAUAGCACAAGUGACAUCCGAUAGGAUUCUGCGCUUCAUGACGAGGUGCUUUGCUUUUGUUGGGGAUAUCGAGGGCCCAAAUCUUUUCAGUUUCUAGAAGAUAUCCCUGUGUAGCAAAUCCAAAAUCUUUAGAUUGUUCAAUAUUUUGUGAUCAUCUAUAUGUAUUUGAAAUUUGAAUAUACAGAUGAUCACAAAUCUGAUCACACAAACACACACGAUAAAAAUAUAUACAUAUACAUAUAUAUAUAUAUAUCACGAUAAAAAUAUAUACAUAUACAUAUAUAUAUAUAUAUAUAUAUAUAUAUAUAUAUAUAUAUAUAUAUAUAUAUAUAUAUAUAUAUAUGUCAUUCAAAAAAGCUCCAUUCCAGAACCAUACGUGAAAUUUUAGCUUUAUACGCUCCUGCCCUCUGUGUAUAAGGAAAAUAAUACAAGGACUUAAAAAAGAUUAAAACAUUCUCAUUAUGAACUGGAUGGGGCUAGUGUUUUUACAAAAAAUAUCUAGCCAACCUUCCUACAAGAGAUCCAAACCUGUUGGGACUAUAAAUAAAAAUGAUACCUACAACAAUUUCUUUGUUUUCAACGCUUCCUAGUUUUUAUCCUACCAAAAUAAAUAAAUAGAACUUAAGCCCCCUUUUGAUAUGGGAAUGAACUUAUGCCCCUGGCCCCUACCUCUUUGAGAAGAUAUUUUAAUUGUAUAUAAAAUGAAAUUUCCACAAUAAAUGCAAGUCCUUUUUUCGCCUGUUCCUCAUAGAAAGUCGAUCAAACAAUUCCCAAUCAUGGUCCCCUCAAUUAUUUUCACCAUAUAGAGAUAUAAGCAAGCAUUGCGAGCAGGUGAUGCGAGAUAAUAUAUAUAUCCCUAAGUGUAAAUUCACAUGGCAAAAUCUAAAUCAUACGUUUAAAAAUUUAGAAUGAGCGGCCAAAUCAUGAACACUAAUCGCAAUUGAGAGUCGACAACAAGUGUGACUCUAUCCAUUUAAAUGGUAAACUACUUCCACCAUUGAGAAAACCCACAUUCAAAAUAUGUUAAUGUGACCAGGCUAUUUUCUAUUCACCAAGAUAUUUUAUUAAGGGAGAUCUGGUCUCUAUCAGCACGCUACAUAAUUUGUACUAUCGGACUUUGUGUUGAAUAUAUUAGAAACUUCGAUAAUUAAAAAAAAUAUAUCAAAGUAAAAAAAAAAAAAAAAAAAGAAGCUAAAUCUCAAGUACUCAUACAAUUGGUGCACAUGUCCAUAUUAUUAUUAUGUCACUUAAGACUGUAUUUCUUGAUUGGGGCAGCACGCAUUACGUAAGCGAUUCUCCAUAUUUUGGAGUUUGGCUUUGGCAUGCGCAAAAUAGUAGAACUUGUCUAAUUCAUUGUACUAGGCAUGAUGAUGGAUGCCAUAGUGUCAAUUGCAACUUGCAGUGAGAAAUGCAAUAGUCAAUGAUGAUUGUGCUAAAUACGUUACAUAUAUACAUUAUAUACACAUAUACAUAUACAUGUAUAUUUGUAUUUGUCUCUUUGCAGAUUGUAGAACUUGUAUAAUGGUGAGUCACAUCAUCAACUGCUAAGAAAUUCUUGCAAGUAAAGAGAUGCAUAUAUUGUUAUCUGACCACUAUAUAUAUAUAAAAAAAAUGUAUGUGUGUGUGUUGAUAUCAUAACUAAAUCAGGUAGUAUAGCCUUGCGAAUAAUCACGUAGUGGGUGUGAAAGGACAAAAUUUGAGGAACAAGGUAGGGUUAAUUGAAGAUUUGCAUGGAUUAAUUUAAAUUGUCAAUUGUCUUUUGAAUGUGCAAUAAGUUGCAAACAAAGUUUAACUCACGUUUAUACUUUAUAGGUUUGGAUAAUAGAUGCCGUGAGCGCAUUCUUUAAAUAUAAGUGUGUGCAUUCAUAUAAUAAAUUAAGUGCAAUAUAUAUGUACUAACGAGUGUCCCAAUGGCACUCAUUAAAAAUUGGAUGUUUAUAUACUUAGGUAUACUUGUAUUAAAAAUAUAUUAUAUCAAUGAGUAUAGAAGAUUAAUCUAAAUAUAAUGGAAUUGCCUUAGAGUUCCAUAGUAAUUCCCUCUCCCAUGUACGCAGAGCACACAAUUCUAUUAUCAUUAAUAACAGUAUUGAUUUUUUUUAAGUGUGUCCUGCAAGGAGUGGACCCCGCAAACUAUUCACCACCCUCAGCAACUUGCUAGCAGCAAGGUUCGAACCAGGGACCUGAGACUCCAUCUUCAGCAACCUCAACCACCAGACCAAGCCCCUGAGGGCAAUAACAAUAUUGAUUGAUGACAAGCCACUGCCAAAAAUGUGAAAUUCGUAUGAUGUAAAUUGAAUAAUUACUUUUUUGGGUAGGUCACUACAAGAAAUUUGACUUUUUGUGAUAACAUUCUCAAUGACAAAAGAGAAAUUUGUUACAAUUGCGAAAAGGGUAAAUUCCACUUUGUCCCCUCAAACUAUAAGCAGAAUCCCACUUCAAUCCCUAAACUUUAAAAUGGGACAUUUAAAUCCUUAAACUAUAAAACAUGUCUCGCUUUACUCCAAUUUUUAACAGAAUGCACGAAACUUAACGGAAUAGUUGCCAAUUCUGUUAGUUAUUAUUAUAAUUAAAGUUAACCAAAUCCAAUAGGGACAUAAGUGUAAUUUCUUGAAAUCCAAAGCUUUUGAUACGCUCCAAAUUUUUAAAAAUUAUUCAUUCACCUUCUUUCUCUUCCUCCCCAUCUCUCCCUUCAUCCCAGCCACACACCACCCAUGCCACCCACUACCACCUUUUGCCACCAGAAGCUCUAACCCUACCCUUGACUCGUAGCCUUGCAUUAGUUAAUUCUUGUAACAUAAUCACAAAAAAAAAUAAUUAAAUAUCAGAAACCAAAUCAAUAUCAACAAAAAAUUUUACAACAAAAAAAAGGAAAGAAGAAAUUCAAAGAACAUGCUUGGUAUGAACAAUUUUGGAGGGUCUGACAUUUUUGGGGUCAUUAUUAACAAGCUACGAGGCUCAAGACAUGCAACUCAGUUUGGACAACCUAGAGCUAUAGACAACAAAGAGGAAGAGUCGAAAAAAGAAUCUCCUCCAACUCCAACAUAAUUACACAUUCCCAAACCCAAUCUGAAUCUCAUCAAGACUACCUUCUGUUGUUGGUUUGGAUAUGAACACCCAUUCAUCUUCUUACUUUUAAUCUAUUUUCUUAUUCACAGAUCCAAACCUAUGUAAAAGAUAAACAUAUUCACGAAUCCCACAAAAAUUAGUCGUGCCUAGAACAAAUGGAAAUGAAUUUAGGAGAUGAUAUAAAAAUUGAAAAAAAUAAUAACAACUAAAUACUUUUAUUAGCACAAAAUAAAUGUGGAAAAAUAAUGGGUUUUAAAAGAGAGAAAGGGAUAGGGGCAGAACUUGGUGGUGGGUCAUGUGGUGGGAAGAGGAGAGCAAUAGAGCAAUGGAAGGCUAGGCUGAUAGAGAAAGUAUGGAACGAGAGAUUUUUGGUGGGGUGAAUGAAGAAGAGGGGAUAAGAAAUUGGGUGGGGCGGCUAUUCAAAGAGGAGACAAAAAACAAGUUACAGGUUGUGAUAAGUACAAUUGGUGAUGUAUUGGUAUGGCAAACAUUUUGUGAUUUCUUCUGUGAUAAAUGUCUUAUUUUUGGAUUCAUCACUGGGGAGUGGGGAGGAGAAUGAAGUAGUAAAGCGUGGCGGACGAUGAUGGCAGGAGAAAAGGGAGAUGAUGGUGUAGCAGUGGUGGAUGUGCAGUAUUGGAGGAAGAAGGCAGUGAAGAAAGAAAGAAAAAAAAUAGAAAAGGAAAUGAAAGGAAAAUAGAAAAAAAGGUGGAAAAAAUAAAAGAAAAGGAAAGUUUAAAAAAAUGGUUUUUUUGUUUAAAAAAGGGAAAAACUUUAAUUAUUAUUAUUAAAGAGGUAAAAUUAUCUUUAUUUCUCUGUCUCUUUGUUUUUUUUUUAUAUUGGGUCUCAUGAAAUUAAAUUUAUGUCCCUAUUAGAUUUGAUUAAAUUAAAUUAUAAUUAUAACCUAAAUGAAUUGGCAACUAUUCUGUUAGGUUUUGUGCAUUCUGUCAAAAUUUGGAGUAAAGUGGGACGGAUUAUAUAGUUUAAGGAUUUAAAUGUCCCAUUUUGAAGUUUAGGGACUGAAGUGAGAUUUUGGGCAUAGUUUGAGGGGACAAAAUGGAAUUUACCCUUGCGAAAAUUAAGUGAUAACUUUUGAUGUCAUCAUAGUUGACCAUGGGUACACUCAUCAACAGUGACAACAAGGGAUCAGUCGUCACAAUAUGGAUGGCGCGCAACUAACGGGUGUGGCAGGAGAUCACCACUGUGAUGACUGGAAAAUAGGUUAUACUGAAAAAUUCAUACGGGUGCAUAGUGCACCUGUCUAGUCUGAUAGUGGUUUAGUUCGCAUUAAUUUCCUGUAUAUCUAGUUAGACCUCUCCCUAAGAUUAUAUUAGAGUAGGGUAGUAUAGAUAAAGUGACGAUGACAAAAUAAAAAAAAAAAGAUGAUUGAGGAGAAAUUUCAGUACUCUAGUCUAAGCAAUUGUAGCAAAGUUAUAUAUUGAACCGUGUAUAGAAUAUGUCUUAUCAAAUCGAGUGAAGAGGACAACUCUUUCUUUCUCCUAUUGACAAUUCCUUCAAUUUAUGAGAAAAUAAGAUCGAUUUAUACAUUGACUUUUUUUAUUUUACAUUUACAGACGAGAAUUUUUCAAAUCUCUAAUUCUAUUUGUUUCAACAAAAAAAAAUUUAGUAAAAACUUGACUCGAUUUUUGAAUGGUGAAGCCAUGUUAAGAUAACACCAUUAGUUGUAAAAAUCAAAUAAUGCUAAUUCGAGAUAGUUUUGGGGCAGAACUAUGAUUAUACACGUGCUACAUUAGACAGAUACUAGCAAAAAUUAGAGAAGACAAGGGACUAAACUCAUAUUAGUAAUUAUUAAGUCUAGUUAUAAACAAAAAAUUGUAAAUGCAUAAAGCUAAGCAAGAGCGGACUUGUGCAACUUUUAAGGGUACAAAUUUGUCCACUUGAGCUACGUUGAUAAUUCAAUCAAUUUAUAUAUAGUUCAUAAAUAUUUAGAAUAUCAAAAUAGAGAUUCUAAACUUUGCAAAGGGAAGAAAAGAAGGGAAUGGUUAAAUGUCAAACCAUUUGUUACUUUUUUUUUUUUUUUUUUUUGUUGCUUGCGGAGUGGGUGUUCGGGUCAAUCCUUACGGGGCCCGACUAAUCCCACUUCGGCUAGGGAGGAGAGGCCCCAUCCCCCCGAACACGAUAAUCACAGGACUCGGAUCUUUGCGGGUACUGGACACCAGUUCCUAAGAAGGUUUGCUGAAACCAACCGAAUUACCCAUGAGGAACAGACAAUUUGGUGGCCCUGACCUCCCACCGGUGGCCACUGAGCUUUAACCAUUUGUUUACUUGGUCAUUGUCCUUCUCAAUUCAAUUGAACCGACCAUUAUAUUCAAUUGGACAAGUAAUUGUUGUAUACCUUUUAAUUUUACCUAAUCAGCCAAAGCGGGGCAGGUCUGGUCCAAGAACACUCAGGUCUGGGCAGCGACAAAUGAGCUAAGUAGAACCAAUUAGUCCAUGGGCAUGAGCCCAAGCGUGGCAUCAAAUGAUGGUGUCAUUGAAAUUUUUUUUUUUUUUUUCAAGUAUGAGUGGAAGAUCUCGAAUUCGGAACUUCUCAUUUACGUUCUCUUCCCGUACUGUUCAAUCUCUCCCUCCCCCUGGUGUUAUUGACUUGAUUGUUCAUUUGUCACAACAUCGAAAACAAUUGAUUGUAGGAGAGCAAAAAGUUUAAAUUUCAUCAUUAGUUCACAAAUAAAAGACACAUCAAUUUUUUUCCUAGAAGGAGAGGAUAAAAAUUUAUAUAGAAAAUAUCUUCAGAUAGUAUUAAAUUAGUAAUUAACAAUAUGUGGAGAAAAAAAUCAGUUUCACAUAUACUACUGUUUCUAGAAAACCCAAGUUAAAAAAAAAUUUCUUAGAGCGUUCUCUGACUAUAUAUUUUAAUUCACAUAUGAUCUUCACUAUAAAAUGACUAUAGUAAUAAUUUAAAAAUAAAAAACACUUUAAAAACAACCAUUCAAGUAGAUCCUAAGAUUUGCUGAUAUAUGGUGUUAGGAAUAUAACCACAUAUUAUUAUCUUUCUUUCUUGUAUUUUUAGGUAAAUCAAGAAUUUGCACUUCAUUUUCAGGAAAAAAAAAAUCCCCAUGUGCUAUCAAUUAUUAAGAUGAUUUCCAUAAGAAGAAAGCAAUUAGGUCAUUCAAAAAUCAAAGAAGGGAAAGGUCAAAAUCCAAAAAGGGACAAAGAGAAGUGAGAAGACAAGAGCUACAACUUGGAUAUACAGUUGGCAAUCGGGAACAGGAGCACCAGCAGUUGCUGCUACAAAUCACGGGUUUCCUUUGUGUUUCAGUGCGUGAAUGUGUGUGUUGGGGAGGGGGUCACUCACUGUUCAGCCAAACCUUUCUACGACCUUCCAUGUGACAAAUUGACCAACAACACGUUCGGAUGCUUCCCUGAUCGAGGGGAAUGGACUGCACCACACCUUGCGUACUUGAGCUGUCGCCUGUCUUGUACGCGCAACCAUUUCCAGCCAUUUCUUGAUGUGAAUGGUCAUCAUUAUUAUAAGGGAAGGAAAAAAAAGGGUUAAAUUUUGUGAGAAAAUUUUAACAUUCUCCUAAUAUUAUAUUAAUUUUGAAGGUGUUUUUUUUAGUAAUUUAGUGGUGGUUUAAUGUUGUUUAAGUGCUUUCACUUUGAGUUGAAUUGUAAUAUAUUAGUAUUAAUUUUGUCGUCGUGACAUAAUUGUAAUUUCGUCGACAGAAGUGUUCUUGAUUUGAUGCAAUUAUGAGAAUUGCUUCUUAAAUUCUACUCCUCUUUUGCUAAUUUUUUUUUAAUAAAAAAAAACUGCUUUCAGUUUGAGUUGCUGAAAUGCUGUUUUGUAAUCUAUUGAUGUUGAUUCUGUAAUCAUGAAUGAUUAAAUCCCAAUUUCAUCAAUAGAAAUGUGUUCAAUUUAGGGUAACUAUGGGAAUCAUUAGUGGGCAAUCUAGACUUAAUAGGGGAAAAAUAAAAUUUAAUUUUUUUGGGGCAAGAAAAAUUAUGCCAUAUCUUAGACCAAUAUUUAACAAAGAUGUUUGGACUUCAAAUCCCUAAAAACAUAACUAAAUGGAAAUUUGAACUCUCAGUGUUUCUUUCUUUCCCUUCUUAGCUAUUCACAAAGGCACGCAUGAUGUCUAGUAACGGUUGACCAAAUUAUAUGCUCUCUUUUCCUAAGAAUAUCACAUGAAUUUGUACAAAAGCAACUCCAUCCAAAGUCUUCAUUCGAUUUUUCUUAUGAAGGACAAUCAAACUCUUUGAGUUCAAACAUGAGCUUUAGAAUCUACUUUCAACUUACGUUUUAACUUUGGAGAACUAUCCUUACCAACCAAAAGAGUUAAUGGAUUUUGCUUGCCUGAGUGAGUUUUUCGAUCCAGGCAACUGCAUUAACAACCCCACUUUUAGUUCAACUUCCCACGGGGCCGGUUUUGCCUUUCCCAAUCCUUACCUGCUUCAAGAAAGUUUUAACCAAAAAUGAAGGGAGAUAUCAGUUCUAGUUGAGUUGCUUUAGAGAGAGAUCUGUGAGGAUGAGCAAGGAGGGGAAGCAAUUGCUUCCCCAUCAGCAAGGGAAAACAGGAGUGUCACCCCAAAAAAGGAAAAUAAAGAAAUGGAGACCAAAAACCAUUCAUUACAAGCUUAUCAGUUGCCAAACUUCCAAGUGAAACCCUCAUAACUUUUUACACUUUCGGCCUAGGGACCGGCUCAAACAUAUCAAUCAACACCCUUUUGGUUGCUUUGACAUUCCUGGCUUCCAACUGGGAUGAUUAGGAGGGCUGCACUUGGCCAGCUCCUCCUCAUGUUUAGAUGCCUCUUAGAAAGGGGAAACCUGAGAACCACUGCUACAAAGCCAUCAAAUAUGGUCACCUCCCCAAGAAUAUUAGCCACAAAGUCAUGAAUUGGUAGCCUUUGGACCCAAAAGAUUUGCAAACAGGGGGCUUAGAAUUUCCCAGUUGACAUGUGCCUGAAUAUUCAGAAUAAGUUAAUCACUACAGGCUUCAUAAGAACCAGAAUCAAACAGUGGUUUUCAGCUCCUCCAAGCAUUUUCUGACCUAAAUUUCAUUUUCUUAGUCCCCUUAUACCGUGAUUUGCUGACUGAAAGACCAGUCCCACAGACCUAAAAGAAUAAUUCAAUUAGAAACAUAUGGAAAUAUGGUAAAGACCCUGAAUUGCAGUAGAUUCUGGAGGAUAUAGGGAUCAAAGAACUGUUCAGCAACAUAAAACAAGCCCAUUUGACAAGAAGAAAGGCAAUAUAUAUACCCGCCACACUAGUUAAAAUUCUUAGCCAUUUCUUUUUAUGCAGGGGGGAUAUGAUAAUUAGCAACUGCAUGCCAGUAGUAAGCAGGAAUGAGAACAUUAUUCCAUCUGAAGCAACUCCAGCCAGAAAACAAAGCUAGGACGGGAAUAAUAAAGCAUUAGAUAGCUCGCAUGCAAUGCCUUAUGCAUCGCCAGAUGACAAAAAAAAUCUAAUUAUCACAACACAACAACCUCUUGACUACCCAUUUUUAUUCUUUAAAGCCAGUUACGAACACUUUCACACAGAAACCAGAGGGUAAAGUAUAAGACAUGGAAAACGCUCACUUUCAGCAAAUGGAGUCCAUGUUUUGAUUGCUAACCUGCCUAUAAAAUAUGUAGUUAAACUCCUAACCAAUAAUCAAAAUUUAAAUCUGACAGGAUCGGGAAUCUGAUAAUGAAUAUCGGGAUUGUUUUCCCUUUGGACUUUGACCAAAUCAACAUUGAGUAAUAGAAAUGCCAAAAGAAGCUGGUGUCAUCUGGCAAGUCCAGAGAAGAUGUUUCUACCGCACAGACAACAUUCCUAUAGACGUCAAAGUACCUCAGCCUUAAUAAAACAGGUAAUUCUCACGUCCAUACAAAUAAUUACAAGAGGGGAUAACGGAGGAUAAUAAAUUACAAAGCAUUACUAUUAACUGGUUCACUUCUCUUGCUCUAUACCACAUCGUACAUAAUGUGUCUUUACAGGAGGCCUGCAAAAUAUUAAAAUAAAAUAAACCGAAUGCAGCUUUUGUCAUUUUGAAUGGCACAUUCACCAUAAUUAAAACUAGAACUAACUUCAUAUACUGCUCAACGAGAAUCAUAAGUGUCCUUUGAUGAACUAAGUUUACAUUCAACAGAUCGUGAUUUUACUGAUAAAAGGACAUAGACAAGGCCUUAGCUUAUAUACUUAUAAGAGAACAAAAAAUACAUUUAUCUACAAACCUGAGUAACUCUGAUGAGCAAGACCAAGAAUCAUGGAGAAAAAGAAAGGAAAUAUGGAGAAGAUAUCUUGUCUUAGGUUUUCCACACCCGGAUAGUUCCAUCAACAGAUGAAGUCACCAUACAGCUAUCUGUUGGGUGAUAGCUGACGCUAGUCACCUGCCACCAGUGAAAGCAUUUGAUGUCAGUCCAAUUUUCACAAUAUAGGAAAUUUAAAAAUACAUUCUUUCUUCAUGUACAGCAAAAAAUGUAUUCAGAUUUUUUCCCUCAGGAUUAUUCUUGGAAAAGGUAGGCGAUCCUUUACUUUGUUGACUAUAUUCUUUUUGGUAUAGACCAGUAGUGAAAUGGCAUAGUCAUAAACUUUUGAGGGUUCUGGAACAUUUAUCUUAACUCCUCUAGGACUCCCACAUACACCUUUGCCCAAGAAAACAAAUAACAUUAGAUUUAUUUCUCCUCCAACAAGCAUGACGUUGGGUUGUAAUAUCUAAUGCAAUGAUUGAAACCAUAAAUGGUUGGCUGCCUAAUCUGUUAAAGAUGAAGAUAACUUCUACAAAUUCGACAAACACACAACAAAAUGUUGUUGAUUGAAUCCACUCACCUAGUACCAAUACACAAGUGUUAUCACAUGUUGUUGAAGCUGAAAUUGUGAAGACUAAUGUGAAGUUCCAAAAUGGGUCAGGUAAUGAUAAUCACUCGCUGCAGACACAAAAUACUAAAUCUUCAAUUUCCAGUUUUCCUCAUUUAAAAAACCAUCCUAACAUCUAUAACUUUUACAUGGGAUUCUGCAGAUAGGUAGAUUAUUAGUACAAGCCCCAAGUGGCUUGAAAUUAAACCCAAAACUUAAAGUUAAGAAAUCUUUACCCACCUAGAGAUCUAACCAAAGAUCUCCUCCCUUCAGAGAGAGAGAGAGAGAAAGAGAGACAGAUUUACCCAGAAAAAGGUUAAACUUCAUAGGGAAAAUUCAUGAAUGCGUACUUUAUGAUCCUGGAUUAGAAAAUCAAUAAAUAAAGGCAUACGAAAAUCUCAAGUGUCAUGACACACCCUCAACGUAUGCUAAAUAAGCUUUUUAACAUACGCAAAGCAAACACUAAAUCAUGCAAAAUUAGAAAUAAGGCAUAACUUUCUCAAAAGGGUAUUUUGAAUUUCAAAAAGGCUAUGAUGCUUCACGUAUCAGAAGCCGCAUUCAUCUAUUAAAAAAGAUAAUUAGCCAUUUUCCUGAAAAUAUAAACAGAUUAAGAAAAGUGGACUGAAAAAUUUUACUUCGUGCACUAAAAGGCAGAACUUUGAAUAUGAGGGUUGCCCCAAUUGAGAUCAACUAAAACUCAAAACAGUUAUAUUAGUUAAACACUGAGUAAAUGCAAUAACAGAUAUGUCAGUGUAGAAUGUUACCACUGAGGAGUGAGCUCGGAAGCUUGAUAUGGCAGAUGCAUCCACCAAAUCCCAGAAGUAGAUAAAGCCAUCUUCAGAACCCCCAGUCACAUGCGCAUCACUAUUUGUGAGGCAGCAGUCCAUCUUAAAUGACUGAUACGGCAAAAACAAAACAGAGAAAAUUACUAUUCACAGACAAAACACUAAGACACCAUAUAAACAAAGUCAAAACUUGCUUUGAAAUGGGGAAAAAAUGUAGCAGUGUCAUCACAGAAAAGAAUUGAUCUUGAGUAUUAAGACGGAGAAGUGCAGUAUGUUCCUGUUCAAAGUUUAGGAAAAGAAGUAUAAAACUUAUACUAUGUCUAUAUUAAGGACCAAAAUGAGGCUCCACAAGCUACCUUGCAAGUAUGACCUUUAUAUUCUUGCAAAAGUUCACCAGUAGAUCUAUUGUCAUCAGAGAGAAAACGAGAUCAUGUCAACGAUUCAACAGAUAAAAUACAAGGGCAUUAUACAAAAGUAUAUGACAAAAGAAAAACUCCCAAGGCCAAUUACCUGUCCAAUAGUCGUAGAGUUGAAUCCAGGCAGCUUGCUAAGAUACAAUUACUGUCAUUUGACAGAGAGAUACAGUUGACAGGUUGGCCCAAGUCAUCAGAAAUUUCUCUAAGAAGCACCAAAAAUUUGUUAAAAGAUAAUCCCUAAGGAAUCAAUCCUUAAAAAGAUUAAACAUUGCUAUAAAGUCAAGUGCAUACCUACCAAUUCGAAUAUCAAAUGUCCGAACAGUUCCAUCAACACUUCCAGCAAUUAUCUCAGUUUUUGUUAAACAAACAGACAUGACAGUAUCCCGAAAAGUAUCAAUGAUCUGUAGAGUUAUUAAAAUAUUCAGUUCAAAGUAAUCAAAUUCCAAUUAUUAGAACUGUGAGAGUAGGGCAAGACACAGUAAACAAGGAGCAAACUAAAGGAAACACCAAAAUAGUGCUCCUAAAAGUGAAGCGACAUAUGAUAUCUUUUCUUAGAUCUCAAGAGUUCUGGAAUUUUCAUUUUCAUGUAAAGCUAGAGCCAAAUGUUGUUGAAGCAAAAAUUGCUGCUAUGAUGAUGGUCUAUUAAUACUUCUAGAGAGUCAAGAAACUUUAGGAAAUUUGGCGUCAAGAAUUCCUUGCAAACUCCAUCUAUCCAAUCUAUCUACACAAUGUAACCAAAACUCCGAUUGGCACACAACAUUGUCGUUUUCACCCUUGAGAUUUGGCAUUAGGUAGCAACAUAACCUUCAGCUUUCACAUUUAAAAUGGUCACUUAAAUAAGUCUUAUCAAUGCAACCAUUCCCAUGCCUUUCAGCAAUUACAGGAAAUGCUUAUCUUAACAAUCCAGAAACUCCUAUCUAUCACCCCCAGUCAACAUCACUAUUCUAUUUAAACAAGUCAAUGGAAGAAUGAAUAACGAAAUUGACCUGAAUAGGCUCAGUACUAUGAGACCUGCAGUCCCAAGCACGCAAAGAGUGAUCAUUUCCUGCUGAUACUACUACAGUUGCAUACUCAUUAAACUUAACAGCAUUCACCUGUAAAAAGAUGAAAAUGGAGCAAAAUGUCAGAUAAGACUGAUUGACACGAUACUCUUCUUUAUUCUCUACAUUCUAACAUCUUGGGUAUCAAUGACAACCAAAUAUGCAUGCAAUCAUUACUUCCAAUGAGGCAAAAACAUACAACGAGACUUAGUUUUGUUGACUUAGUUUUGUUUAAAGGUUAUUAAGAACUCAAAAAACAGUUAAGUUCUUCAAGGAGAUUACAGGACUAUGUAAACUAGUUUUUAACUCAAAUUGUUACCUUUAAGCUUUAAAAUCAAGAAAAUAGCUUCAAAGAAUUGUAGAAAAUUGGCCACCAGUGGACUACAUGAUAAGGCCUCUUUUACUCAUUGCCACAAGUUUUCUCAAAAACUCAAAUAUAGAAUUAAAAAAGUGGGAUCGGACAGACAUCAUGGAUAAGCAUAAAAUUUCAAUGUCACAUAUAACUGUAUGAAAAUUAUCUGAGAACAAAACAUACACACAUUUCAUCUGAGGAACUGGGCAGAAGCUUUGAAGAUUUCAAUCUCAGCUUUAAUUGGAUAAAUGAAUAAAGCAUUGGACUGCAAUUUAAAAAGGUAACCAAUUCUUUAAGAGAUCAACCAACAUGUCAGUCCACAUUAUACACAUUCCAACUCCCACCACCAAGCACAAUAUAAUAACGCCAAAAAAGAGAAUCUCUAUCAUCAAGGAACCAAAAGGAAUCUUUUAUCAAAUUCAAAUCUGAUCUCUGAAACCUUCUGAAUUCAACAAAUAGCUACAUAGGUCAUUAUUGAUCUCUUAAAUGGAGUCAAUUGGAACUGAGUGCACAGAUUUUUUUCAUUUUUUUGGUGGGGGGAUUGCUUAAAGAACUGCUGCUAUGAGAAGUGAGACGAAUUUAUUAUUAAACUUAUUCUGAUAAAACUAACAAUUUACUACUCCAGCUGUAUCUAUUACAAAAAAAAAAAAAAAAAAAAAUUCUAGUGAUGGAAUUGCCAUUAACCUCACUGUCAUGGCCACGGAAUUUUCGAAUUACUCGACCACUUGCUACAUCCCAAUAGAAGACUUGUCGAUCACCACCACAAGAACAAAGCUUGGAAUUGUCCCUACAACACAAAUAACCACUAUUAACCCAAAAUAUCCACCAAACUCGAUAACUAUAAAAUCCACAUCAGAAUUCACCAUAUCAAUUUAGUAAACCACAGAUUCAAAAAUAAUAAAAAUUGCAUUUUGCUGGCGAGAAAACCAAAACAAGCUGAUAAAAAACAAUCCACACACAAAAAAAAAAACUUUUCAUCUAAUUCAACCGUAUUUUUUCCUGGCAUAAAAAAUAGAGUUUGGGAUUUGCAUUCGAAUUCUACCCAACCAAAAGUAGAAAAAAUAAAAACUCAAAAAAUUUAAAAUCUUGGUUCGAAAGAAUUAAAACCCAUGUCAAGGGACUACUGGAAAAGGGAGAGGAAGAGUUUUUACGGGGUGACAUGGACAUCCCGGACUUCACGGCCAUGGGAUUUGUAGGUUUUGAUGUGAAUUCCACGGUGGGGAUUCCAGAGGCGUAUGGUACGGUCCUUGCCGCAGCUCAGACAAUACUCGCCGUUCGAGUUGAAUCUUGCUGCUAAGACGGCACCCUCGUGUCCUUUCAGCACGUUUACUUCCUUCGUCGGCAGGCUCUCGGCGCCGGUGUUGCUCAUUUUCGGGUUUGUACGCCGGAAGGGGUGAAAGGCUCAGCUGAUGAAGCAGAAAAGGGCGGCAAAAAUCUGGGUCGGAAAAAUUUUCAGGAACGAAAUAGGAAAAUUUUAUUGGGCUUUAGCCGGAUUGGGCCUAACAGACUGUAGGCCUGUCAACUGAAUCAGAAAUUUAUGCCUGAGUCCAGCCUUCGAAAAGCUUACAAAUGCAAGAACUAAUCUUGGCCCAUCUGUAUUUGGGAUUUUAAUUCUACCGUAAGUGUAUGCUUAGAAUUUUUAAUUUUUUUUCCCCUAAUAGCAGCGGCGAGACGAAGGAUAUUAAGAGGUGGGGAAGGAAGAGGAGGAUUUGAACGUAGACUGAAGUCAAUAUUAGCCACUAACCAAAAUGCUAGUUUAGAAUACUAAUUUGAAAAUUAUUUUGGAAUAUCAUUUUUAGCAUAGUUUAGAUUCAGAUUAGCCCCUUAUGUUUAUGCUUCAUUACAUGUUGUCUUGUCCCUUUCUUUCUUGUGCCUGUUUUUUAACUCAAUCGCUCAUCUUUUGGCUUCAACACUUUGGACCCUCACUCUCACUAAUUUGUAAUUUUAGUACGUUGUUCAUCACGUCAUUGUCCUCCCACCGCAUUGUUCUAGAAAGGGAAGGGUCCAAGUAUGCUAGUAUUCAACAUGAGUCACAAAUGAAUGAUCCAUAUAAAACUCAUGCAACGCCUCCAGGCGGGGUAGCUCAGUGGUAAUUGAUCUUAUUGGGUUUUUACUCAUAUGUCACAAUUUCGAGUCCCGCCUGUUAACGUGUAGUGCAUUCUUGGGACGGGUUUUACACUAUCGCUCUGAAGGAUUAGUCUGGUGUAAGUCAAAAUACCUUCUGCGUCAAGAAAAAAAAAAAAAACUCACAGAACAUAUCAUUAUUGUAAACUAAAACUACUUCAGAUGAUGGAUAACACUAAUAUUACUGUAAACGAAAAAAAUGUGAAUUUUCCCUAAUAUUUAUAAUGCUUCUCUUAGUAAGAAUCACAAGCUACACCGCGACACUUUUGUUGUUGGAAGUUAGGAACACAAUUAGAAUAGUAUCUAUUGUAGUUCAAAUGUAAUAUUUGAAAGUUAUAGGCUGUUCAAUCUGGCUCCAUACGUGCAUAAGUGGGCAGACUUGAGGACCAAACAAUUCAAACUUCUCAGGUCCAUCCCCAUUGAAAAGCUGUCUUCAAUGUACACGCCGCGUGAGAAUCUGUGUUCUAGCACAUAACAGCCGAUGAAUCUCAAGAGAUUCAACUAGAUUGCCUUCUCCUACUUAGUUAUUACUGAUCAAAGCUGCCUCAAAAGUUCACAUAUUUAAUGAAACUCUAGCGCUCCAUAUUGUGUUGCUUCCAUUACUUUGUAACAGUUAUGUCUUUCCCUAUGCCCUUUUGAUUAUUUACCAUUGAAUUCACUUAAUAAUAACAUGUCCUCUCCCUCCUUCACCACCCUAUAAAUCCCUCCAAAACCCUUCAAUUUUCUUCACAACUCUAUUCGGCAAAAGAUGGCUCUCAAGUCUGUCAAAUUGCUUUUUCUUGUCAUAACUUGUUUUAUGGUGAUUUCCUGCUCAUCAUCAGCAAGAAAGAUACUGCCAAGAAACCUUUCUGGAUCAGAUGAUCAAUCCAUUUCCAAGCUUAACACCCGGCCUGAGACCAAUAAUGGAAGUGUGCUAGAUUGCUGGAAUGCCCUGUCAGAGAUAAAAUCAUGCACAGAUGAGAUUGCUGCUUACUUCACAAAUGGCACAACUGAUAUUGGACCAGGAUGCUGCCAUGCCAUCAUUGUGAUUACACACAAUUGCUGGCCUACAAUCUUGUCUGCACUUGGUUUUUCAGCGGAUCAGACCUAUAUCCUUCGAGGCUAUUGUGAUGCAUCACUUUCCUCCUUUGGACCAGCUCAAGCUCCAUCAGCAUGAUCGUUAGUCGAUAAUCACCAAUUAAUUACCACAAAUAAUUAAGACUAUUAUGUUUAAUGUAAGAGGUCUAAGUAAUUUAUUUCCAGUCCUUUGAUGAUUGUGGUUGUGUUGCUCUAUUUCUAGAUUAUCUUGCAGGUGUUAUCACUGAUUAGGUAUGUUGUUUUGGAAAUUAUGGGAGGUUUGGUGGCUUUCCUAGCUAGUCUCUUAUGUACGAGUUUGCUUAUUGAAGUAGUAAUAGUCAUUUUACCACUUCAAUAUGAAUAAUUGUCUUUGCUAUAAAUUUUUGUCUAUGCUUUGUGAUUCCAUUAAUUAUCACACUUGUACUUACCUACUUUGAUGAUUAUUGUCGAGAUUAAAAAAAAAAAUGUUAUCUCUGGCUAUGACUUCUAAAAUUCAAGCGUGAGGUUUCCUGAAAUACAGAAAAUUCGCCUUUCUUAUCGAGAUUAAUUAUGAAAAUUCCCCGAAAUUAGUUACAAAUUCCACAAAUACGGUGAGGAGCCCUGUAAUGGUAAAUUAUGAGAAGGCUAAUUAAAUACUACUUACCUCAAAAAAAAUAUGUAAGGGUUAAAGCAAAUUCUUCAACCAAGAGGAAACUUUGAUAUAAAAAUAAAAAUAAGGAAAAAAAGACAGAUGGGUAAUUGACCAUGAUUAGAGAAUUUGCCCUAAAAGAAAGCAAUGAAGCAAAAUGAAUAGGAGAUAAUGAAAUCAAACCCCUCAAGAUAAUCAGUUGUCUGGUAGUUUUUACUUUUUACUGGAAAAUGGUUUAUGUAAAUUGAUGCAUGAGAUACCUUAAGGUUCCACUCUAACUCUUUUUUCUUUUUCUUUUUCAAAGUUGCUUGGGUGAAAGCUUCUUAUUCUUGAGUACAAUUUUCUGACAGCCAUAUCGUUUAACCAUUUGAAAGAAUUUGAUUGGGUACACAAAAAUAAAAAUGGCUAAUUUUACUGCAGUAUAUCCGCCUAUCAUAUAUCUAUAUAUGCACACACAUAUCAUCUAACACAAAGUAUUGGCUCAAAAAAAAAAAAAAGAAACCAUUCUAUCACAUGAGGAGACAUUCAAAGUGAUCAAAAUACUACUUUUGGGCAAAAUCAACAUAACCUAUUUUCCUUUACACAACUUAUUUUCCCUAGAUGAAAUAAUUGAUAAAUCAAAGGAAAAUUUGCCAAUUUGGUCCCUCACAUUUUCAUAAAGAACUUUUUUAGUCCCUCACAUUUAAAAUCAGUCAAAAUAAUCCUUCAAAUAUAAAAAGUUUGCAUGUUUGGUUCCGAAACUCAUUUUCGCUCAUUCCUCUAGCCAAGAAAUGCACGUCUCCUUCACUUGCACAAGCCAUCCUCACCAAGAUGAGCACAUGAGGUAGUCAUGCAGUUUUUGCAGAAAAAGUGAGCAAAAAUGAGUUUUGGAACCAAAUAGGCAGGUUUUUUUUUAUGAGGAAUUAUUUUGGUUGAUUUUGAAUUUGAAGGACUAAAAAAGUUUUUUUUGAAAAUAUGAGAGAGGGGUCCUUUUGGUUGGGAGUAAAAUGUUUUCCUUGAGAAAAUAUUUUCCAGGAAAAUCAUUUCACUUUCAUCAUUUUCAGGUGUUUGGUUAGCCUAUUGAAAAUAUUUUCUUACUUCAUUUUCUGGUGUUUGUUUAACUUUUGAAAUAUUUUCACUUUUACCUCUAUAUUUACUUUCUACACAUUAUAACCACAUACUUCUUCCCAUGCAAAAUAAAAAAAAUUAUCUCAUUGUUCAACUUUAAAAAAUUCUUAGAGAAAUGUAUAUAUGAAUAAAAAUUUUCUCCUUAAGCAAUAAACAAAUUGCUGGCCAUUCAUUGUCAAAUAUCAAUCAUACGCAAUGCUUAUUGUGACAUAUAUCUUGCACUCUCACUGCUGAAAGCUUCUCUAGAAAAGAAUGUCCCUAUUAUACAUAAUUAAUUACUAGAAUAGGGUGAGCAGGGUGAGGCCUUUUUUUGAUUUUGAAUAUACUACAAGUUUUGAAAGUUUGACAGAUACUUUUAUCAAGCGGGAUGCGUGCGUUUAGGAAAACAACUUCGGUAAGUUUAGAAGAGAAGUUGUUUUCCAUAGGAUGAGUGAAAAACUUUUACACAGUAAAAUAUUUUCAGUAACUUUUGUGCAACCAAACACGGGAAAUUAGGAAAAUAUUUUCCUGGGAAAGAUUUUCACCGGAAACAAACAGACCCCAAAUUGGCAAAUUUCCCUAAAUCAAAAUGCACUGUCUUAAACCUGAAACGCAAAGUGAUUAUAACUUGGAACUCAAGUGACAUUCUACUAAUUUUCCUAAACAGAUGAAGCAGCAAUCAGGGGACUUAAUGAGCCAUUUACAUCUGAAACCUAGCAUAUAUCUUGUCAUUUAUGAUGAGAACUGAGAAGCCCCAUGAACUGACGAACACUACCUAAAUUAAUAUCACCAAGCUUAACACGUUUAAUCAUUAUAAUUACUUCAUUUAAGCAUUAUCAAAUUUCCCAUGCAUGAUAAUCACGUCAUUUAAUUAUAAACAACUUUAUCCUUCCAUCGGUUACAAAAUUAAACAAAUCCCAUGUCCAUUUUUCCUUCACAUAAAUUGUUUAUAGUCCCUUCACCUCCCCAUACACAUAACUUGCCUUCUAUAAAUACACUAACAAGUACUAAUAUCCUCCACAACAAAUUAAAGACUUAAAAAAACCAACAAUGUCUUACUCUUCCAAAGUCCUCCUUCUAGCUCUAAUGGCAUGUUCCAUUUCCAUAACACCCUCCAUGUUCAUGGCUCGACCGAUAAACUCGAAAUCGUCAACCCUAAUGGGUAGGCUAAAAUUGGAAGAUGAAGAGGGUGAUAACUCGUUAUUGGCUACUUGUUGGGAAUCUCUCUUUGAGCUGAGGUCUUGCACUGGAGAAGUCAUUCUGUUUUUCCUUAAUGGGGAAACCUAUCUUGGACCGAGUUGUUGCCGUGCCAUCAGAACCAUUGAACACCAUUGCUGGCCUUCCAUGCUUGGCUCUCUUGGCUACACUGCUGAAGAAGGUGACAUCCUUCGUGGUUAUUGUGAUGCAGCUGAUGAACAUGAUGAUUCCGGUGGUUAUGGUUAUCCUCAGCCACCAUCUCCUCCACAUCUUGUGAAUUCUACCACAAAUUCGUCUUCCCACGUCUUGACGCCGUAGUUGAUGCUCAAUGUAUUUAUUCGAAAAAUAAAAAUCCCAUUAAAUAUUUUAUUUAAUGUUCUUGUAGUGACUUUGCCUCUUGAAUCUCAAUAUCUUACAUAUUUUUAAGUAUUUUUGUAUUCCUUCGAUUUGAUAAAUGUGUUUGAACAUCUAGCCUUAUAAUUAUCCAGGCAUACAAAUGUGUCUUGACUCCAGUAAAAUACAGGACGAACAUAGGGCAUUCUAGAGUGAUGUAGCAAGGGGCUUUUCAGCUGAUUGGGAUAAAAAGUACAAGAGAAUUGAAGAAAGAAUAGAAAACCAGAAAAUACAAACCAUUUCUAAAGGCUCAUAGUUUUUUUUUUUUUUUUUUUUGGGUAUGUGCAAUGAAGAGAUUCUACAAUUAACCAAACUGGAUCAAAAGGGUAGCAUGAAUAGGAUGUAUACUAGGAAAUCACUCUAUUUACUAAUACCCUGUGACAAAAUAAUAGAUCCCAUUUACUAGUACAAGCAUGAAAAUUUGAAAAACUAUUGAAAAGGUGAAUACAAGCACUAAAUCAGGUUUCAUUUGGACAGGACCUCUAACUCUGGCGGUUUAAAUCUUGACAACUAAAUCAGGACAUCAACGUACCUUUUUUUUUUUUUUUUUUAGCUAUUCUGAAAACACAUGGUUAGUGGUAAAAGAAACCUCUACUGUUUAGUGGUAAAAAUACUAAUCUUUCAAGUAGAGUAAUUGAGCGCUCAUGGGAAAAAAAAAACUGUGUUUUGUGGAACCACACUGUUAAUUCAAUCAUAAAGACAAUGUAGACCAAGGAUUUUUCUUGAUAAUGCUUUAGUAUUAUUAGUCCUUUUUCUUGGAUUUUUUUAAAUCGAAAUCUAUAAUUUCUUAGCACCAACCAAUUUAAAAUUUCUUAUUUUUUCUCAUCUCAAUGAUGCCGUGUGCAGUUAAUCAGACCAGUGUCUAGAGAACACAAAUCAGCAGAAGUCACUUGCUACUGAAAUUUGAAGUUACACUUCUCAUUUAGCACAGAUUUUUUUCUUUUUUUUCCUACUGUUCAAGUUCAACAUACCUUCCCACUGUAGCACCAUUUAAUUUUGAGCUGCUUGUCAUCAGAAAUGCUAGACGAUUGAUGAACAAAGAAAAGCGGGAGUUAAAUGAAGGCUAACAACACCAAUCCAAGGUUUGAAAGGCACACAAUUUUUUGUGACUAAAAUUGGUUACAUUGCAUUAAAGAGAUCCUAAACUUAACCAAGUUUUGGUGAUCACAGAAUUGCUGCUCCUUGCUUUUGAUCUGUAGGAUUUGCUUUCCCUCCCUUGUUCCAAGUAACUAUCAGCAGAAAAAUGAAAAAGAUAACAUCUCAGCAGUAGCAUGAAUGCAAAUUAUACUAAGAAAUCAUCCUCAUAACUACGAUCUUGCAACAAAUAAGAGAUAGUAAAGUGAUAUCUGAGUAUAAAGUUUCUACAGCUAGGAUAAUUUCCACUAACAGGGACAGCUUCAGAUGCAUGCACAAUCAUCUGAAUACAUUGCAACCCUGCCCAACCAAAUUUACUACUUCUGAAUUGGGUAUCAAGCACCCAUUAACAUCAGAAACUGUCCCUUGAACAUAUUUUACCUGCAAUAUCUUUUCUCAACCAUAACAUCAACGUGAUAUAUUGGAACUUCUGUCAAUCUUGUUGAUUCGUUAGCUCUUCUAUUAGCUUCUGUGAUUCAGGUCUAAAUAGUUUUAAAUCAAACAUUAUUAGCUCUUUUAUGAAGUUCUGUGAUUCGACUAAUUUUUCUGUCAUUUUCUUGCGCCAAAACACGAUUUGCUUGUUAACUGCCUUUGUGAGAAUUAGAAUAGCUGUUGGAUGUCAUGAAUUGGGAGUUCUAAAUUAAGACCUGUGGUGGGCUGGAAUUGUUUGUAGAAGUCUGCAUUACUCUGGUUGCAAUGUAUCGAAGGAACGGAAAAGGGCACCUCGCACAUAUGACAUGUGUUCUGCUGCUUUUAAAAAUCAUAUCAAUCUGUAGCAGCAUUUUGAAAAGUUAUAGCUGAAUCAAGUUGAGACCAAAUAAUUGGGAUCUCCAGAAAUUGCUUAAAGAAACAUGAAUAGCUGUCAUUGAACUAAUUCAGAAUAUACAAGUGGUACUGUGGUAGUACAUCUAACCUACUGAAUGGAAUCCCACUCUGAAUUGAUUCUAUCCAAUUCAAGAAAAGACAGGAAUGGCUCACCACUGUAAAAUACGAUGAGAGGGCGGUGAGUCUGUGACUCCUUUUGAUCUGAGUAGUAAGUAAACAGAAAUCACCAAUAACUUCAAUUUGAUCUUAGUACCAAGAAAACAUGGAUCAGCAAUAACUUCACAUAAUGAUCUUUAGACCCUGAUUUCCCAUUUCCAUCUGCUCUUGUCCAAUUUGCUUUACAGAACAUACAGCAGACUCACUACACCCUUUCACCUCAAUCAUUUCAAGAGUCGAACAUUCCCCUAAACAAGAAGGGGCCUCUUCCAGGGCCUCACAAUAAUGCAAAUCCAAUUUCUCAAGACGGGGAAAAUUAUCAGCAGAGGCAGUCCACCUGCAAAAGCCUAAAUCUGAUAGCUCCAAGCAUCGAAGAUUACAGAAUUCCCCUUCUUUCAUUUCCCAUUCUUCCCCCACAAAGGAAUCUCUAACUUUAAGAACUUCAAGGUUGGGCAGCUUUCCAAUUGCUGAAAUUUCACUCCAUGUCCGGUCAUUGCAUGAGAGAGUCAACUUUCUCAAAUUUAAUGGAAAUUCAAACUCGAAUGCUUCAAAUCCACAUACUACCUUUAGGGAUUCUAGUAGACUCAAAUGAUCCAGCAUCAGAGUCCCAUAGCAAAUUCCAGAAGAUGCUGUUUAGAGCCCUGAGACUCCAACACACUUUAGCCUGCGGAUGUUGGGUAACUUUUUCAGUAUCUUUUGCAAGCUUUGAGAAGAGGGAUCAAUUAUAAGGUUUAGAGUUUCUAAAUGAACUAAAUCCGGGGAUUCUUCAAGAUUGUCACUGGGAAAACUAAAACCGUAUAUAUAAUAACUUUAUACCCAAAGAUGCCUCAACGUCUUAAUAUUCCAGAUAGUCUUUGGCAACUCGACAUGAGUAAUGCUUCCAUAAACCACCAAAGUAUGUAACCUUGAGAGAUUGGCUAUUGCAGAUGGAACAAAGUCUAUUUUCAGAUUAAUCCCCAAGUAUCUCAAGUGAACAAGGCAUAGUACUUCCAAUGGAAAUGAUUCACAAAAGUCAAAGUUUCCCAAAUCCAACACUCUAAGAAGUUUAGACAUCAAAAACCCCAAAUCCAGAUCUGUAGCAUUCUGCUCAUAGCUAGGAAAGAAGAGCAAACAGCGUAAAUUGGGAAAAAAUUGCCUUGACUGCUUAACCACCUCUACCAUUGUAUUGUAAAUACACAGUCGGUGGGGAUUGUAGUUGCAAGGUCCUGUAGGACAAGAAGGGUCUUUAUACCUAUCAAUUAUAUGUACAAAACCUUCUAGUUUGGCUUUUUCCACACAAAAUUCAUGUACCAAAUCAUGAACUUGGCAGGCUUUGGCACCUCCCAGAGUUCUUUCUCGAGUAACCAUAACUAAACUUCUAGCAAUCAAAUCCAUCAAGCAGUCAUUGGCCACUUCCUCUAAGCUCUUUCUUUCAGUCUUUUGAACAAAUCCUUCAGAAAUAUAAAGCUGUAACAACCUUUGUACAGAAAUAUCUCGUUCAUCUGGAAAUGCACUAAAGUAAAGAAGACAUGGCUUCAAAUAAUCUGGUAAAUGACUAUAACUCUGCUCAAGAGUCUUCAUGCAGUUUCCAGUGUCAAGAAUAAUGCUGGCAUUUAGAGUUUCCGCAGUUUCUUCCCAGCAAUCUUGAUCAGUAGUAGCAAGAAUUCCAGAAACCAGGACAACAAUGAGAGGUAGUCCUUUACAGUUUGUUGCUAUUCGGAAUCCAACUUCACUUAGUAUAGGAGGACAUCCUUCUUUGCCAAAUAUCUUAGUCUGCAGCAAAGCCCAACACUCUUUAUCAGUAAGUUGGCGAAGAUGGUGAGGCUUGCAAUCUCCUUUAAAUAGCGAAGACAAAUUCUGAUAUUUGCUGGCGAACAUGAUCCUGCUUCCAUUGGCAUCAUCCGGUAGUGAAUUUCUCAACAAAUUCCAUGCCCCAAUGUCCUACACGUCAUCUAAAACAAUGAGAUACCUAUGUCCCUUCAAACGCUGGUAUAGUUCUACAGCCAAAACAACUUCUUCAAUCUUAACACAUUGGUUAGGACUCCUAGAAUCAAUGCUACAUAAAAUCUGAACUAACAAAUUGUGAUUGCUGUAUACUUGAGAAACAUAACACCAAGCAUGAAUAUGAAAGUGCAGUUUAAUUGAAGGAUCACUGUAAACUUUAAUGGCUAAUGUAGUCUUACCAAGCCCAGGCAUACCCACGAUAGGAACAACAUCCAACUGCUUUGUUCCUCUUGUAAGUCUGUCAGUGAUAGUUUCCACCUCGUCUCCAAGACCCAUAAGAUCUUCAUGGCGGCAGUUAAUUGAGAUGGCAUAUGAACGGAAGCCCUGGUAACUCUCUUGAUUUCACCAUUAUAACUUGUGCUGUCACAGAUCUCUUGGGCCUCGAUCUUCAUAAGAUUGAUGUCUUCAGCAACAGCAUCCAAAAAGUAAUGACCUUUAUCACUGACAACUAUCGAGUCAAUUACUAACUCUGCCUUGUAUGCAAUCUCCAUAACACGAUUCCAGCAAGUUUUGAGUUUGCCAUUCUGAUUGCGCUUCUCCUUCAUAUUCUCGAGGAAAGAUCUUAAGAAUGUGAGAUUUUUUUGGACUAUGUCGAUGCUAUCAACUGGGAAAGCAAGUGAAUGAUCAGUUUCAUCGCAGCUUGCUAGUUCCUUUAGAUUUUCUAGGAACAAAUCAACAGAGCCUAACUCAUUGGUCCUGGGAAAACUAAAUGAAGAUGAUGAUGUUAGUGGAUACAUGUGUGCUACUUCUGCCAUUAUAUACUUGAGCACUUUGAGCAAAUGGAAAAGUGCAAGAUCUGUUUCCUCAGCCAAGCCUUCUUCAUUUCAUUUGGAGAAAGGGUGAACAUCAAAAUUCCUGCAUCACAAGCCACAACUCCAAUAAGAUCCUUCAAUUCAUCAUGUAGCUCAUUGAACUUCUUCUUGAGUACGAUACUCAUGAAUCUUAUUUUCUGAUGGAGUUUUAGCAUUUGCUCCUUCACUUGAACCUGAAAACUGUUAUAAGAUCCUAGUAGAUCGAUAAGGUAAUCUAGGAGAGAAUCAACAAAGUUGGCCGCUGCAUAUUCAUUCUCCUCCAGGGCUGAAGCAUAUGAUGAUCUCGAUUGCUUUGAAGCUGUCAGGACAUGGAUAUAAGUUUCUUGGACCUGGGGGUUAACAGGAUUAAUCUUCUCCUGUAUCAAUUGAGAAAUUUUGUACUCCAUUUCAUCGAACACUUCAUCAUCUCUGCAAACCGACAUACAGAAAUCAAGCGUGCAGCCACAACUUCAACGUGAAUCAAGAGAUCUAUCAAUUGCAUAUGCUCAACACCUUGCACUGUGGCCAAGCCAAUGAGAUUCCUUAACAACAUUAGCUUCUCUUGAAGGGUUUCUAUUAGCUUCUCCCAUUUUCUCCCGCGAAGAUCAUCCAGAUACUCUACAAGGGAAUCAAUGAGAUCCAUAACUAGUCGUGGAUCACCUAGCGAGUGGUAGUCCAACAAGGUGAGGAUGCAUGAUUUCUUGAUAUCAGUUUCAAGAAACAACUUGAUAUUUUCCCUGGACCCGUUGAGCUCAAUUUGGAUGAUGCGUCUACGAUCCAAUGCACGGGAAUGGAUAUAUCUCUGAUAAGCUAAGUGAAGAUGAUGCGUCAUCCCAUUAAGCAAUUCUUGGAUCCUCAAAGAAAUAGUACUAAGCCUUAAAGUUUCAGACAUGGCAUUACCCUUGUUCUCGUGACCAUGCUCCACACAGGUUUCCCCAUCCCCACUGUUCCUCCUUCUCCUCCUCCUACAAUUUCUGACAUACAGAAAAAAGGUUUUCAAUAGCCUUACCUCCAUCUUCAGCUUCCAAAUAUCAGGAUACCAGUCAAAACAGGAGUUACAGGACUUGUCCAGCCAGGCCAGAUAAUCUAAAGCAAAAUCAAAGCAACAAGUGUUAUUGAUGGAAGAUGUCUCCAUCAUGGUAUCUUCUUUUCCCUUGGACAUCAGAUUUCUAUCUGGUUUAGCAAUCAAAUAAACUUAUCUGAAGAUCUGCAAAUUUCUGUGAUCUAACAAUAGCCAGUACUACAGGCCAGACUUUUUAUUUUUUUGGGGUAAAUGGUACAAUGCGCUAUUUUGUUCACAAAAGAUGCGGUACUAUGAUAGUAAAAAGUUGAAUAAGUGUUACAACACUUUCCCAGCAACUUCUGUUGUGGCAAACAAAGACCAAGACUUCUACACACACAAGGACCAAGACCAAGAGGUCCAAGAGAAUUACAGGUGUUUUUGUUCAAACCAAUGAUUCGUAUGUAACGGAAAUCAUUCUAUCAAAGGGAAAAAUUAUCAUUUUUAUUCCUCAUUUUUGAGGCUUUGACCAGUAUUGUUGUCCCUUAUUAGUCACAAGGUACUAAUUUGCUAGUUUUUUACUGAAAUUUGAGGAAGUCUAGCAGAAGACUUGACUUCAGUUGCAUUUGCUGGUUAAAUUAGAAUGAAUAACAUAAGCAAAAGCAAAGUCAAAUUUCUGACUUUUCUCAUUAUUCCAAAUCCUUAUUCUCGAAUUUUACCAAUUAUCGAAGAAACCAACUCUAACCAUAAAAUUUCCAAGAUGCCAGGCGCAAAAUCUGGACUGCGUUUUCUAUCUUGUUUAUAAAAGAACUCUGUCACACUUCUUGGCCACAAAACAGAGCUUUUUAAAUCAAGCUGCUUGUCUUGCAAUAAGUUCUCAUGGGAGUUUGGAACCAGGUUUCGAUUUCCUAUAAAAAUAUCAAGGGGGUAUCUUAUUUAUGAUUAGAGGUGUCAAAAUGGGUGAAUUGAUUGGGUUUGGACGGAUCAAUAUAAUUGAAUUGUGAUUGACACCUUUACUUAUAAGCGAUUUUCAAUAAUUUUUAGUGCUUAUAAAUUUGAGGGUACAAAGCAGGCUUAUUUGUUCUUCACAUGGAUAUCUAGAAAUCACAAAUGAUACUUUUAGACAAAUGCCCUCUCUCUCAUCCCAAUUUUUAUGAUCCCUGUCGUCCCAAUUCUUCUCAAUUCCACACCCUUGACAAACGAAGGAAUCCCAUAUUUUGAGCAACUAUAUUGUACACUUAUUGAACAACUUUUGGACCUCUAUAGGCUGAAAAGGAAGGGCAAAAAAAAAAGAAAAAAAGGCCCUGCAUUCCAAAACCUUGAAUAAGUGCAGUAAUUAUUACUUCAAUAAUGCAAAAUAAAAGCAGUACAGGGAAUUGUACGCAACCAUUAUUUUUCACUGAGAAACAACAACCAUCAAGCCAAAGUGCAGUUAUUAUUACUUAUUAAAGAUACUUAGAACUCCAAAUUUUGGGCGUAACAUAUCCCAUAAUUAUGCCACAAUAUCUCAGUUUUUCUUGAGAACUCUGAUUCCAGUCCAACGAGACUCCAUAUAAUCAGAAGGAUUGUCUUGUGUAUACACUCCAAACUUGAAGUAAUGUGUAGCGGGACCAUUAUCAUUAGUUUCGUACUUGAAAGCUCCAUCAAUGUACACUCUAACUCUCCCAGCACCUGUGUCAUGUAUCACAUUGACGCGAUACCAUUUGUUGUAGACGUUGGGGAUUAGGACAGGACUUCUGUAGUAUGUGAGGGAUGGAUUGUAGACUCUUAGCAUAGCAGUUGUGGCCUGAGUGCUUGCUCCAAAAACUUGCAUUACGCUAACACCAGUGGUUCCAGAGGGUACAUAGACACUACCCUCGAAUUGCCAUACACCUGAAGUGUAAUCGUAGCCCUGAGAAGCAAAGUAACAUAAUUAAUGGUACUCAAACUUCAUUGUUUUGCUAUGUAUUGUCAAAAAAGGGGUAAAAGUUGAACGGUAAAUAUCGUUUUCUAUUUGAAUUGCCGGAAGAAGAGAAGAAGAGAAAAACUUACAGUAAUGCGAACUUCAGUACGAGGUUUGGUAGUACUACCAGCAGAAAAAGGUUUGUCUGUCUUAUAAACCCACAGUUUAUGAACACCACCAACGUAGGAAUAGCGUUGAUUGACAGGGACAUCGUAAGGCUUCUGAACUUGAAAAUUUGCAGUACUGAGCGAAACAGGGCUGAACCCAUCAGUUGGAUCAGCCUUCAGAGCCCUCAGCAGGGUUAGGAUCAAAGUGGUGAAGAAGAGGAAAGUUGUCAUUGCUAACUCAAGAAAUGAAGAGCAAGAAAUUGUUUUAGGUGUAGUGAAGAGAUGGAGGACUGAAACUGGGCAUGGGUUUUUAUAGGUGGUAGAAUCUGAUCUUGGAUUUUAUUUUAUUUUAUUUUUUUGGGGCGGCUUAAAUUCGAUUUGAAGGAAGUCUUGAUAAUAAAACUGGUCAAAAAUGCAAGCAGUGCCCUUUUAGUACAGAAAUUCUAAGCGUCUACUUUUGAACUCAAGAAGCCCAUAACAGGUAAGGAUAAGAUAAGGGAUAAUUGCAGAAGCCUACCUUGAGGUUUAAAACAAUUUCAUUUAGCUCCCUCAAGGUUUUAAAAAUUAUAUAUACGUGCCUUGUCAUUUAAAGUGACAAUACUAUCCCUAAAUAUUUUAAUGAAAUUCCCUUAUUUGGUAUGCUUGUACUUAGAAUAGCUUUCAAAAUUAUUUUUUCAUUCUUUUUCCUUCAUAUUCCUUUUUUUUUUUAAAUUUUUUGCUAGUAAAACUGUAUAACUAGCACUAGUACUUCUAGUUUCUAUUGUAACCAAAUGUAGAACUAAUGAUUUUUUUAUGAGUUAACUUAUAUGUAAUCCAAUGUUUUUGCUGAUUUUUGUUUUCUAUAUUUUGGUAUUAAAAUUGAUAAUAAAUAAAAAGAAAUAGCCCAAAACCAUUACUAAAUUAUGAUAAUCUUACUUCUCAAAAAAUUCAUAAAUUCUAAAUGAAUUAUUUCAACAUUUUCUUUCCAUCUUAUAAAUCUAAAUCCAUAAUAAAAUACCAUCAAAAGUAUCAUAUCAUAGUGAUAAAAUUAUUAUUAUAGUUGUUUAUCAAACAGUAGGUAUGGAUAUGAAAAUUUUGGUACCUUUUCCUUAUAAUUAUACUAGAUAAUCUUAUAAUUGUAUAGGAAAAUAAAUUAAAACUCAUUACACAAGGGCAUUUUUGGGUAUUCAUUUAAAAAUUUGAGCAAGUCAAUAUUAUUUUAAGAUUUAGUUACUAAAACUAUCAAAUCAAGAGAGAUAAGUGUAAUUUUUCAAACUUCAAGGGAGCUUAGUGAAAUUGUUAGAAACCUUAGGGAAGGUUUCUGAAAUUAUCCUAUAAGAUUAAUUUUAUUAAUCUUCUACUAUGGUUCUACCUUGUUUUUUAAUUUUAACGAAGAUUGCAAUCCUAGUUUGAAAAUUUGUCAGGUAUUAGAAUCUUAGAAAGUGUUUUUCUUUUUUUGGGUGUGUUGUGGUAUAAGACCAUGGAGAGGGGAGACUAGAUAAUUUUAAAAAUCCACAUAUAAGUACAUUUCAAGACAUUGGAAAAUUAAAAUUUCGAAUUGUGCUCUUUUUGGAGGCAUUUCAAAGUCGAAGUGCCGAAGUCCAGAAAAUGGGGCAAAAUUUCAAUCAUGAAGAAGUAAAAUUGCAUAAAUUGAAAAGGAAAAGAACAGUCAAGUCCCAAAUGCCAGAAGAGUUUUGCAUUAUUGUAACCUACUUGUUUUCAGAACACAAGAAGUGUUAGUCUUUGCAAAAGAGUUGACAAAGUGAAAAUGUCCAACUAAAAGACUAAUUCCAUUCAAUGAUCUCAAUGACAUCAAUUUGUAACUGGAAUUAAUGUUUUAAAUGAAUCCAUUUGGCAACAAUCAUGCAAAAUUAUUGCACGCUUAGUAUUGGACUUUGUCCCUCUGGUACAGUUGCUUGUGACGAAUGUGUAAUGCCCAAAUCUGAAUUCUUUUGAAAGUUGACUUAAGCCGGCCAAUAUUAUAAGUUUUACACAUUCUGUUACACCAAGCAUGAGGCUGAUGAGGGUGACGCCCUUUUUUUUUUUUUCCAGUUAGAAUAAGGUAACGGGUAUGUAUUAUAAUAAAUAGUGAUAAAUGUAUAUUCGAUAUGUGUGAAAUAAAGAAAUGCAUAAUAUUUAAAGUAAAUGAAUUUUACAUACAUAUGUUUAUUGUUAAAGAAAAUUUUAAUCUUCUAAAUUAUUUGGAUAAAUUACAUAUAACCCCUCUAGUUUCAUCUAUUAUCAUAUGACCCCCUAACAUUUGAAAAUAUCAGCUUUACCCCCUAUAGUUUUAUGUAAAGUGAAAAUUUAGUGAAAAAUAAUCCAUGUAACAUCGUUAAUUAAAAUACCAAUAGUGUCCUUAUUUAAAUGAUAAAUCAAUCAACAGCUUAACUACCUUGUAUAAAAGUAUAGGGGGGUUAUGUGGAUAAAUGCAAAAAUUAUAGGGGAUAAGGUGGAUAUUUAUAUAAACCAUAAGAGGAUUACAUGGAGAUUAAGAUUUUAUCACACGUGUUCUUAGAGUACGUUUGGUGUAAACUUCGUAAUUGAUUGUGUAUUUCAUCUAUUUUCUACUUUACACAAAAUCAUAGGGGAGUUAUGUGACUAUUUUGAAACCUGAAGGGGAUCAUCUGGGAUUAUAUAAAAUCACAGGAGAGUUGUCAGUAAUUCAUCCAAAUUAUUUUGAUAAAAUGAUUGUUAUGUUGGCAGUUAUUGCUUAGGGGAUGGUUAUAUUGAAAAAAAAGUCUAAAUAGCAAAUUAAGAAAUGCUUAAUGGUAGUUAUCUUGACAACAUGUAUUUAGGUAAUUAAAGUAAAAUUAGUUUUUAUAAGGGCGAAAAUGAAAGUGCAUAAAGUGAGAUAAAUUGAAAGUAAAUAAAAUGUAAGGAAUAAUCUUCUAUACAUUGACAAUGUAUACACUUUCACCAUUAGAUGCAUGACACAUAAAUCGAAUUUAAAUUUAAAACUCAAAUUUUACAUAUGUGUCGUAUAUCUAACUGUGAUAGUAUAUAUACCGUCAAUAUAUAUAUAUAUAUAUAUAUAUAUAUAUAUAUAUAUAUAUAAGAUUUACUCAAAAUGUAAUAGGAAGUCUGACACCAAAAUUUUGAUAAAAUAUCCAAAGCCAAGUUAGAGCACAAUUCCUUUCAAAAAAAAAAGAAAAAAAACUAAAGUUAGAGCACAAUUGUCACAAUAUAAAACUCACUAUAACAUGUUGAAACCGCAAGAAACCAAGGCGGCAAAAUCACUUAAGUUUAUGGAGAUUAAAGGUGAUUUGCUCCUAGCAAAUGGGUUAUCAUGCCCCCCAUUUGUUAAAGCGCUCUACUAUCAUAAUGUUAGAAUUAUUUUGUUACUCGAGGACCGAUAAAAUCCACUAAGAAAUUGUUGAUGACACUCCACUUUUUGUUAAUGAUAUUUCCACUAUAAUUUUUUAUCAUGUAAUUUUCAUUUAUUAGAUUAUAUAAAAAUAAAUGAUAAGCGUGUGAUUAAUAAAAAGUAGGGUGCGAUUACAUUUUCCAAUCCACUAUUAUAUGGUAUGUUAAAUUUUUGCAUUGCCUUUUGGACGAGGCUGAGAAUUAGGGAGUAAUAUAAUUAAGGGUUAUUAUCACUUCACCUCCUUAACGUUUGGUGUCACUAUCAAUUUCCCCCUUAACGUUAUCUUUUAGUCACUUUACCCCCAAGACUAACGGUCAAACUUAACGAAAUUUGUUAAUUAAAGUGAAAAGACAUGUUUAACCCUUAAAAUUAUUAUCGUUUUACCCCCAUAAAAUAUAGUCUCAUUAUCAAUUUACUCCAUAGAGUUAUUUUUUAGGCAAUUUAUCCUACCAUUAAACCAACUUAGCAAGCUAAAAAUCUUUAGAAGAAAUACCCUCCUCUUUGCAUAAUAAAAAAUUUAAAGUGACUCUUCUCCAUUUUAGUAUCAAGAAAAAAAGUCAAAGUAUUAAUUUCUUUCUUUUUGGCAAUCUUAUUAAUAUUGAAAAAAUUAGAAAGAUGGAGAGGGAGAGGGGGAGGGGGAGGGGGAGAGAGAGAGCUCAAUUUUUUUUUAAAAAAAAUUACAAACAAAAAAGAAUUAAAUACUUUUAUUAUUUUAAAAUUAUUUCAUUUUUUUGUUUACCACCAAAUUCCAAUCCUAAUCUCGACAACCUUAAAGUAAUACGAUAAUGUUAGACUUUUCUUUAUUUUCUUUUUUUGCAAAAUCUAAUUUUUUGUCUCCUUCUUUCCUAUCUCUUUCUCUUUUCCUAGUAUUAAUAAAUGUGAAAAAAGGAAUUUGAGAAAACCCUUUUAUUUUUAUGUUUUUCGAUCUCUUAAAGUGAAAAAAAAGGAAAAAAUAACCAUUCCAACUUUUUAUUUUUAAUUAUAUAUAAAAAGGGUAAAUAUAUAUAAAAUUUCUUGACCAUACUAUUUAGAUUAACGAUGAGGUAAAAUGCCUAGAAAAUAAUGUUAGGAACUAAAGUGAUUGUAUCACUAUAAUCUAAACGAAUAAAGUGAUAAUAACAAUGUCGUAAUGCUAUAAAAUAAAAGGAUAUUUUUGUCUAAAAUUUCUUAAUAUGUUGAGUUGACUUACUUAUGGGGGUAAAGUAAUAAAAAGAUAACAACGUUAGGGGGUAAACUGAUAGUAAUAAUAUAGUUUAAGGGGAUAAAGUGAUAAUAACCCUAUAAUUAAUCAUUAAGUAAUUUGCUUCUAUUAGCGGACUAGUUAAUUGUUAAACCAAUCAUGUGGUGGAAAUAGGAAAGCUGACUUUUUGACCAUGUUUCUUAGCCGCCCACGCAAUUUGCCUUUCCCACGGACCGUCGGGUGAGCAUCAAAUUAGUUAUCCGAAUUUUCAACCCAAUAAAAUUUAAUUAUAUGCCCCCAAAAAAUUGGUUAUCCGAAUUUUCAACCCAGUAAAAUUUAAUUUGGUUAAUCGAUUUUGAUUUCGGAUGUUUGAUUUCAAUUUUAAAUAACAAUCGAUUUUUUGGGGGUAUAUUUGGUAUACAAAUUGAUCAUUCAUAAAUUUCUUUGGACUUAGGAUUUACGUAUCCCAUAUUGCACUUUAGAACUUAUGAUAGACAUAAAAAUACACAUAAAUAUUUAUUAGCAAUUAUAGGUAGGAAGUUCUGGAUUCAAGAUACCACUUAAAAAAAAGAGUGUAAUUGUAGACUUUCAUCAACUAUCAAUAAUCAUAUUUAUGACUUGCAAUAACCUCACCUGCCCGUAGCCUCUAGGUCCUCUACCCUAAUUCCCCCUCAUCACUGCCUAUUGACUCCAUCCAAAUUAAUGCUACCAGCUGUGGGUGUGUCUAUAUAUAUAUAUACACCAUUUUUUCUACUAGGUUGCUUUUAGGAUCUUUUUUUUUUUUUUUUUGUCAAUACAGGGGGUGUCCGGGUCAAUCCUUACGGGGCCCCGACUAAUCCUCAUUGCGGUUCGGGAGAAGAGGUCCCACUCCACACCGAACAAGUCAACAACGGGACUCGAACCGUGACCGAAGUCAGGUAGGUUACCAUACCCUAAAGAGGGGGAGCGAACCGUCACGAACUCAAGAUUUUUGCAAAGCCUUUUUUCUCCCUUGUUUUUUGAGCAAGGAGGCAAAAUACAUCAACAUAUAUAAAUAAAGGAUUACUAUACUAUUUUUCGGUUUUGAAAUCUGGAAAUGGUCCUUAAAAAAAAAAAUCUAGAAAUGGUAAACUUGUAUUAUUCCUCAGAAGUACUGAAAAUUUGCAAAUUUCAAAGGAACCAUACAACAUUUGACUUUGCAGGCGGCUUACCAUCGUGUAACCAUUUCUAUGUCUACAUGUCCAGGGUAACGACAGAACCUGGCUAAGGGGUUGAAUUCAUUGUAUGUUUCACAGGAAAUCUAUAUCCAUUUGAAAUUUUUUUUGAGAUAAAAUAGAAGUCAAUAUUAUUAAUAAAUUAAUUAAAAAUCUUCCAAUUGAUUACUUGAUUAAAAAAAAAAUUGUAUUAAUGGUAGAAUAUACGUAGAACAUGUCACAGGCAUAUCUAUUAGAGACUUCUUCAGUUAUUCAUUUGUAAAUACUUAAAAAAUAACUAACUGCAAAUGCCCACACUCAACACAAUGUCUCUCCGCCAUUGCGAUGAAUGACAUCAACAAAACCAAAAUUUGAAGCAUCCAAGAAGUACAUAAUUAAGGGGUACAAAGUCUACAUACUUUUGAUCCUUUCUGAAAUAAUUUCAUUCUGCUAAUUAGUGAGCUAAAUUGUUAUCUUGAUGAGAAUGGUUAUGAUGAACAAGUGGUUAAAAAGAUGGAAAUAGACAAACAGAACUCAAGGUUUAAUUGUCGCUUUUUUGUUUCUUGGUUUACAUGAAGUGAAGCUUUCUUAUCAUCCAUGAGACAAUACUUUGCCUUCCAUUAUCUUUUUCAUUUGUGUUCAUGACACAAAGGGAUAUUGUAAGAUACAUACGUAUAAUAUAGUUCAGGGGGCAUUGAUAUUUGCAUCUUAAGCUGUUUUUGUGAUGAUUUAGUACCCAAACUAUUAUUCUCUGCCAAUUUCAUCCAGCUAUAGCAAUUAGAUGCUAAUCAUUGAAGUAAAUUCAGCAAUGAGAUCCCCUUCAUUUGUAAAUUCUGCUUUACGCAGUGACAAUUCAAUUUGAAGUCAUAGCAGUCAGUUAGGUGGGGUGCAAUUGUCGCCACUUACUGGUGCCCAUCCAGCAGUCUUCUCAACUUCCUUGCUGCAGAUGACAAAUAAGUUGGACAAAAUUUCUACUCGUAUCGAGUCCAAUCAUCUAUUGAAUUUCCACAUAAACGAGUUUUUUUUUUAUUUCUUCCAAAAGAAUAUGUAAAUGUGUUCGGAUAGUAGAUUAUUUGAAAUGACCAUGAGAUUAUUUGAAUAAACUUAGUCGAGAGGGACAUUAGUCAGGUAAUCAUGAGAUUUCCGAUUCCGUUCUCUAAUCUUGUGUUUUUUCGAUACUUUAUAGUAGGUUUAAAGUUUCACUUAAACCAACAAAAAAAAAAAGAUGAAAAACAAAACCUUUAUUUUCCAUUAUUGAGAAAUAUCAACCAUCAAACCCAAGUACAACGGUUAUUAAUAUUAUUAGAAGUGCACAUUGGCCUUCACAUAUAUAUCCCAUAAUUAUGCCACAAUUAAUAUAUCUCAGUUCUUCCUGAGAACUUUGAUUCCAACCCAACGGGACUCCAUGUAAUCAGAAGGAUUGUCUUGUGUAUACACUCCAAACUUGAAAUAGUGCGUAGCAGGACCAUUAUCAUGAGUUUCAUACUUGAAAACUCCAUCAAUGUACACUCUAACUCUCCCAGCACCUGUGUCAUGUAUCACAUUGACACGAUACCAUUUGUUGUAGACGUUGGGGAUUAGGACAGGAUUUGUGUAGUAUGUGAGGGAUGGAUUGUAGACUCUCAGCAUAGCAGUUGUGGCCUGAGUGCUUGCUCCAAAUACUUGCAUUAUGCUGACACCAGAAGUUCCAGAGGGUACAUAUGCAUAACCCUCGAAUUGCCAUACACCUGAAGUGUAGUCGUAGCCCUGAGAAGCAAAUUACCAUCAAUGUUAUGUCAACUUCAUUUUAUUUUAUUUUUUUGCUAUUUAUUCUCCCAAAAAAAAAAAGGAAAAAAAUGAGGAAAGGAAACAAUUUUAUAUACAAAAAUAUUUCAAUCAGGUUACUUGCUACAAAAUGGAAGGUCUAUAACUUAAUCAAGUAAUCAAGUAGUCGUAUAAUUUAAUCGAUUAAAGGUCUAUAACUUAAUUCAUGGUGAAUUAAUCAACUCAAAAAAAAAUUUUUUUUUUUGGGGGUAGCUUGUGAGCUUGGUAGAGCAAAGUAGGGUCCUCUUCCAAAUUCAAGAUUGGGUUUGGGGCCUCUGACGUUGCAAGUGCAACCACAGAGUGUUAUUAAUCACUCAAAACAUGUCAAUUUCAGUUCGAUUCAAUCUGAGUCAUUUAUUUCAAUUUUUUUUAUUUUAAAAUGAAUGGUAUAGAUUAGACUGAAUUAUUGUGGCCUGAUUUGGACCGUAUAUUCAACGCAAUUGCAACCGCCCAUGUCCCUUUCUGAAUGAAAAAAUUAUUAUCAUGGACAAUACUCUCUUUUUUGGAUAAAAUACAAUAUUUCAUUCCAUGAAAUUUAUACUAAUAACAGAAAAUACGUUAAACACGUCACAGACAUGACUAAUAUGAAAACCAUGGACAAUACUAUGAGUUCAACAUCAUUUCAUGCAUUUUCAUUCACAGUUCAUCGUUUAGUUUGAAUGUUUUCCUACUCUAUCCCCAACCCAAAAUUAACUUUGCUAAUGCCACAAGCGUAUUCGGGAUAAUUUUUUUGAAGAAAAUACUGUAACAUUUUUUUAAUCUGAUAUAUGUGAGAUAAAAAUGUGGUUAAAAAAUGUGUUGAUGAUGCAAUUCAGUGUGUGUAAAUAAGAUAUAAAUAAUAUACUAUCCAAACAAGUGUUAUAUUGGCUGGAAAAAAAAUACUUACAGUGAUGCGAAUUUCAGUACGUGGUUUGGUAUUGCUAGUUUGAGAAUAAGGUUUAUCUGUCUUAUAAACCCAGAGUCUAUGUUCACCACCAAUGUAGGAAUAGCGUUGAUUGACAGAGACAUCGUACGGCUUCUGGACUUGAAAAUUUGCCUCGCUCAGCUUAACAUAGCUGAACCCAUCAGUUGGAUCAGCCUUCAGAGCCCUCAGGAGGGUUAAGAACAAAGUGGCUAAGACGAGAAAAGGCGUCAUUGCUAACUGAAGAAAGGAAGAGCAAGAAAGUGUUUUAGGUGUGGGGAUGGAAGACUACACUGGGGCAUGGGUUAUAUAGCUAGAUAGUGGAGUCUUAUCUUCUUUUUCAUUUUAACUUCGUCUGUAGAGUUAAAUUGAAGAAAGUCUUUGAUAUAAAAAUGGUCCAUGAAGCAAGUAGUCCCCUUUUAGUACAUAAAAAAAAUUCCAAUAUCCGUUUUAGGUUCAAGAAACUUUGAGCCUAAUUACUAAUAAGUUGCCCAUAUAAGUUGGCAAUAUCAAGUAAUAUUCAAAAACUGCAAUUUUAAUGCGAAAACAGCAUGAGGUUGUCAGGACUUGGAAUCAAAGAUAGUAAUUUACUUAUUUUUUUCAGUUUGUUUAUUUUUUGUGUUGUGGGAUAUGACCAUGUACAGAUGAUAUUUUGAAAAACUUAUAGAAUAUAAGUAAGUACAUUGAAGGUAUUUCAAAGUUAAAGUGCCAAAUUGCAAAAAAUGGAGCAAAUUUUGAAGAAGAUGCAUGAACUGAAUACUAAAAGAACAGUGAAGUCCUUAAGGCCCGCAGACGUAGUUCUCCAUUAAAUGUUGACUGCACUGGCCUGCGCAGUGGGUUCUACAUGUAGAUAGUGGACUUUUACUGAUCUGGGGUUCAAUUAUUUAAGCAAGUAAUCCACUUUUAGUACAGAAAAUUGUUUUAAGAUUUUCCUUUUAAUUCUAUAAAUUUUGGGUCUACUAGGGAACUAGUUUUCCACACAUACACACAUAUAUAUCAACUAUGGAAAUGGAGUUCCAAGAAGCAUUUGAGGGAUUUUCUUUGUUAAAUUUGCCAGGUGUUUUCAUAAGUUAGUGCAGUCCCAAUGUGACAGCAAAAUGAGGUCUUAGGAAUUAGAAUCUUAGGAAGUCAAUUAUUAUUGUUUUUUAUUGUGGGAUAAGACCACAGAAGAUAUGUUCAAUUAUGAUGACUAUUGAGGAAUUGAGCAUUCAUUUUCCAGAACUAAAAAAAAAAAAAAGAAAUGUUGAAAAACUUACUUUGCAAAAGAGUUGACAAAGUUCAGUGCUCUCCAAUUAUUGUACUUGUAAUUUUUGCAGUCAAAAACCAAUUUGUACCUCAAAAUAUAUUGUCCUCAAUGAAUCCAUUCCGUUUGUGGAAUAAAACCAAUCUGUACAAAUUGUCCACAAUUUGUACCAAAGUCGUUUGUGACAAUCCAGAGAUGGUUUUAUUCCAAAUCCGGAUAUUUUGUUAAAAGUCGACUCAAGUAGACCGGAUUACAUGUUUAGGACCAAAAUUCUCAAUAAACAAUUUUGGACUGUAAUUUAUUAGAGUAACACUUUGGGUCCAUGGGUUAGUCCAAAUAAAUUUUGAUUAAAACUACAGGUUCAAAAUGGUUAAUUCAAAUUACUUAGUAGCCUCUGAGCUCAAACUUAUAUAUCAUUUAUAUUUCCUUCCCCUUUCAAUGUGAAAUUAGUUGUGGGAUCAUGCAUUCAUCCUUAUUUAAGGACGUUACUUUCGCGCAAAACUCGUCACAAUCCAAACUGUUCACUUAAUCGUACUCAAAGUUUAGAGGUGACUCAUACGAGUUCUAAAUAACCUUCAGCCUAUCAAAAAUUUGAAAUGAAAAAUAAUGAAAUAUAAUCUUGGGGCUAUGGACUAUUAAAAAAUAAUUUGGAUUAACAAUUUUGAAUCCAUGAUUUCAAUUAAAAAGUUACUUGAACCGGUCCAUGCAUCUCUGCAUCGGAUGAGUUGGGACCAGUACAGUUAUAGGUUCGACCAUGCAAUGGAGUGUAAGGAGUUAAGUGCUAUAAGGGUUGAGUACAACGUCCAAUGGGGGCUAUCUCUAAAAAAAUUUCACAUUGACCAAGGGUCAUCUCUAAACUCUGUACGAGCCACCUAUAGAUUCUAUGCAUGAUUAAGUGUAUAGUUUGGAUUAUGAUCCGAUUUUGCGAAGAUGCAAAAUUCUUAAGUGGGGAUGAAUGUGAGGAUCCGUCCCACAUUGAAUUGAAGUGGAAAGGAGUGAAAUAUAACUUUGGGUCCAUGGAUUAUAAGUAUAAUUAUUUUGAUCCCAUGGUUUCAGUUCGAAAGUUACUUGGGUUAACCCAUGAACCCGAGACUUUUUCCGUUGGACAUAAGAAACACCAGCUUAUUCAUUCCGAAAUGCGUUCAUCUAUUCUUUAAACACAUUUUUUUUUUUUGAAAAAUGUUGCAAUUCAGGGGUGAGUUGUAAUAUUAAUGGUUAUAAUAGUGGGUCACCUUUUUUUUUUUUUUUUGUGUUCUUAUCUGCUGUCCUAAGUGCAGCAAAUUAAAAGAAAAAAAACUUCUUAAGAAAACUACCUUAUGUUCGUGAAAUUUUUUAUCAUGUCAUGAAAUAAUGCCAGUAAUACUUACAAAAUUUCAUUCUACUCCUCAAAUUGGAGAUAUACAUAAGUAUAAAGUAAGACUGAAAGAUAAACCAAACUAUUUGAUAUUCGAAUCGAACUUAAUUUGGUAAGAAUUCAUUCAAAUUUAAUUCACUAACUAAUUAAACCAAGGAUGAACAACAUUUUAUAUUUGAUAAUCAUUCAAACUUGAUAAAAGAUUCGGUCAAACUUGAUUCAGUAAAUAAAUAAACUAAGUUUGUACAAAAUUUUCAAUUUGUUACAAUAAUCAAAUAAAUUUAAACACUAGAAUGCUCGACUUAAUUAAACUUAUUUACAUCCCUAGUUAAAUUUGACAAAAUACUUUCUCGUUGCAUUCAGUAUAUCAGAUUAUACAGUAAGAUUGUUCUAAUUUGUCACUUCUUAAAUUUUGCAAAUUGUCUAAGAAUUAAAGAGUAACAUUACGACAUAGUUUAGGAUUGAGCUGCCUCUGCUAAUUAACUGACUUUUUUUUUCGGAGACGACAACAGUUGUAUAACCUAAUUUAUUCUACACGAAGGGGGAAGGGGCGGACCUAAGGAGGUUCAGGGAUAAUCCGGAGGGGACUGAAUCACCACUGGAUCAAACGGGUACACAACACACCCGUCUGGAUUUUUUGAAGCAAACCACUUAAAUGUGACUUGCUUGCUUUACACAAAAUUUUUUGUCUAGAGGGUAUCCAAAAAUUGACUAUUUGGUCAUGUUAGGGGGCCAUCCUCUGAACUUGAAUCCAUAUCCGCCGCCCCCUCGUGGUUUUGUCAUCCCUAAUUCCCUAUCACAAACGAAGCUAGAAAGUUUACUUUGACAAUGCAAAUCUUAAUAUAUUUGCAUUCAAGUAUGUGAUAUAAGAUAUUUUUAAUUUUUGCAUGGGCAAAUAUCUAAACUUAUAGGGAAUAUUUUUAAAAAUUUUCAAUUUUCUAAGGGACAAAAAUCUAAAAUUACAGAACUGUGAAGGAUCAGGGGGUUCAAACGGUUGUCAAAAAAAUCAUUUGGACCAAUUUUGCUUCAUUUUUCACGGGAUGUAAUUUACUUUUAACAACUUGUAAAUGUAAAAUAAAAUUUUAUAGACCUCAAAUAUGGUGUUAAAAUCGAUGUACAAGAUGUAAUUUGGGACAUAUAUAUAUAUAUUUAUAGCCAAAUUAUGGCUGUCAAUCUUUCGGUACGAUUAGAGGUGGCAAUUUGGAUUGAAAUCCAUUUAUCCAUCCAUAUAAACCAUAAUUAAAUGGAUUUGGAUUAUCCAUUUAUAAUAUUGGUUUUAAAUGGAUGAUCAAAGUAAAACCAUUAAAUUAAAUGGAUUUAUAUGGAUUAUCCACAAAAACCACAUAUAUCCAUUUACUUAAAAACCAAAUAAAAGAAAUGGACAGCAAAUGACUAAAAAAGGAGCUAUCCUAAAAUUGAACGUUGGGGUGUGAAAAUGCCGUCCCCGUGCUCCCUCGUUUUCACCGGUUUCGUUCCCUCCUUCACGGCCACCGCCAUCGCCUCCCAUUCCCCUCUGUUCUAAUCACUACUUAACUAAAUCCAUCCUCUCUGUCUGCAUCCUCCUAAAAUUUUACCCAACCCAGGAUCCCAGAUCGAGUGAGGAUGAAUUUUGCGGGCAAGUGAUCGGGGGUAAAUCUUCAUCCUUUUCUUGCUAAUAUCUUCGUCUUUGUUUUCCGUCUGCGCUUAAAUUGUUUGAUAAUUAGGAGGGAACGGGUCUGUCUCUGUUUCUGGUUCUAGGUUGUUGAGUUUCCAAUCAAUAUUUGUUAAAUCAAAGCUUUUGGGCUGGCUAAUUAACUUGAAUUAUUGGGGUUAUCGCAUUUCAUUUGCAUGUAGCUAGCUGCUGUGACGACUAGGAGUUGUAGGUCUUUUGGUUGUAAUGCUAAAACGAGUGAGAUUCGGUUGGCUUUGAAGCAAACCCAUUACUUUUUCCCAACGAUUCCUUGUGGAGGAUUAGAGUGCAAGCCUGGCACCACAGAAUUUGUGGUUCAGAAAUCCCAACUAAGUUGGGAAGGGACUUGUCAAUUGGCACUACAAGAUAAAAUGGAUACUUCAACGAGAGCUUCCCUGGAGUCACUGAUACCUGGAAUGAGAUUCUGUACAAUAUUUUUCUCUAGAAUGAUUCAUGUUAUAGCAGACAACUAAUUCCCAGGUCCUUAUUCCUAGUUGAAUUCAUUACUGUGAUGAGGACAUUAGGAAAUUUAGGUAGAGUUGUUAUGUCUAACAUUAAUUAGAAGACAUGACAUAUGAUUGCAUGCAUCGAAAUCUGGCAAACUGAUCAAAAUUUAGUUUUUAGAGUAAGUAAUGCAUGAUAAAUUGCAAGCUUGGGAUUUCUGGACUUCUAAAUGCUUAAUGUUAUCUUAAUCCUUUCCUCUAACUAGUAUUUUUUUGCUGUCAUUUUGCACUUAAUGAGAUCUGAAUUUUUUUUUCUAUUCUUUGGUGCAAUGAAUAUUAGGUACUUGUUCAAAUGGAAGGAGAAGAAGAGCACAAUGUUGAGCGAGUUUCAUCAACAGAUUCUAUACCUGAAAGUGGAGAGGCUAACGGAGAAAGUUCAACCAAGCGAAUUAGGAGGCAAACAUCAAUUGCUUGGGAUGGUUUUGAUACUGUAGCAGUGACUGCUGAUGGAAGGAAAAAAAUUAAGUGUAAAUGGUGUGCACAAACAUAUUUAUUAAAAGGUAAUUCUGGAACAUCUAAUAUGCUCAAGCAUUUUGAAUCUUGCAAGUGGAGAGAGUUGAAGAAUACAAGCUUUGGGGCUCCUUUGGAUCAACAUAUGUAUCGUGAAAAAAUUGCAGUUGCUAUUAUAAAACACAAUUACCCUUUUGAAUUUGUGGAACAUGAGGGCAUUCAAGAUCUGCAUAACUUCUUAUGUGAAGAGGUAAAACCUGUAUCAAGAAACACAAUCAAAGCAGAUGUUGUGAGAAUGUACUCGAGAGAAAAAGAAACUCUUAAACAUGCCUUAGAGAAUGUGAAGAGUAGAAUAUGUUUGACAUUCGAUCUAUGGAGUUCAUCCACUACAGAUGGUUACUUGGCACUUACGGCUCAUUAUAUUGAUGAAAAUUGGGUGCUCCAAAAAUGGAUAUUGAAUUUCCGUCAUAUUCCUCCACCACAUAAUGGUGUCUCUUUGGCAACAAGGGUAAUGGAUUUACUCAGAGAAUGGGGAAUUGAAAAGAAAAUUUUCUCAUUGAGUAUGGAUAAUGCAGCCUAUAAUGAUGUUUUGGUGAAUGUUUUGAAGCGUCAUUUGAAGAUUGCUGGUCCGUUGGUGUGUGAUGGAGAAUUCUUUCAUGUGCGUUGUGGAGCACACAUUCUAAACUUGAUAGUAAAAGCAGGUUUAGAAAUAGUUGAGCAACCUCUUUAAAAAAUACGGGAAUCUGUCAAGUAUGUUCGGUCAAGUGAAGCAAGAAAAGUCAAAUUUGCUGAAUGCAUUGCUAGAGUCUCUAUCAAUUGUAAAAAGAAAGUUCGACAAGAUAUUUCAAUAAGAUGGAAUUCAACAUAUCUUAUGUGUGAAUCUGCUUUGGAGCAUCGAUGAACAUUUCAAGAAUUGCAGUUAGUUGAUCCAAAUUAUAAAUGGUUUCCAACAGAUGAAGAGUGGAAAAAGGUUCAUCGCAUAUCUCUGUUUUUAAAACCGUUUUAUGAUAUCACUACAUUGUUUUCUGGAUCUCAUUAUCCUACUGCUAAUUUAUAUUUUCAUGGGGUUUGGAAAAUUCAGCAGUUGAUUUGUGAAGAAAUGCAUAGUCAAGAUGAUGAUUUUGUGCAAAUGGCUAUGAAAAUGCAUGAUAAAUUUAACAAAUAUUGGGAGUGUUACAGUUUUGUUUUGAGUUUUGCCGUGAUAUUGGAUCCACGUUUUAAGUUGCAAUGGGUAGAAUUUUGUUUGACAAAGAUAUACCCGAGAACUUUUUCUACACGUGUGAGGGAGAUUCGUGAGAAACUGCAUUUGAUGUUUGAUGAUUAUAUGCAAUUAUAUCCCUCAGUUAUGGCAGAUUCAUCACAAGUAGCAUCUUUUAGUGAGGGAGUUUCUUCUAAUCUUGUUGAUGAAAUAGAUGAGUUUACCAUGUAUGAAAGUGAACACUAUAAUUUGAACAGGAAUACAUCACAGUUGGAUUUGUAUUUAAAUGAGAAUAGGUUUCCAGCAAAAGAAGAUUUGGAUGUUCUUCAAUUUUGGAAAGAAAAUAGAAAUCGAUAUCCAGUGAUUUCAUUGAUGGCACAAGACAUUUUGAGUAUUCCUAUUACUACAGUGGCUUCAGAGUCCGCUUUCAGCGUUGGCGGUCGGAUUAUCAACAAAUAUCGUAGUACCAUCUUGCCAGAGAAUGUAGAAGCUUUAAUAUGCACUAAAGAUUGGUUAUAUGGUGAAAAAUGUAAGUAUUUUAUAUAUUCUUUAUUUUGUUAAAAAUUUCUUUUACUGCACAUAAUAUUUACGGUAGUUAAAUUAUUAUUUUUCUUUAUUUAGAAAUGACUUAUUUGCUGUUUUAUGAUAUUAAUAUAGUUUCACAAGAAAAUGCCGAGGAAGAAGCUGCAUUAAUUACAGAUUUUGCUCCAUUAGUUACAAAACUUCUUGGCUCCAAUAGGGAGGUUUACGAAGAGGAAAUCUAGUCAUGUGACUUAUUGGAUUGCUCAAAGGUAAUAUGGUUACUGAUUUAUGAAGCAAUUAAGUAUUUUAUUAGAGUGCCUUCAUGGAUGAUUGGAUGGGAUUGUAGACUCGUAGCUGUUGCUUAUUUGGUAUGGUUUCUAGUUUUGCAGCUUCUUGAUGGGGCCCUUUGUUCGUGUCUUCUUUCACUCCUUAGGGACUAGUAUUCACUGCCCUUGCUGGACUAAAAGAGGAGCUGUGUUUUGGGAAGGUUAUGAUCUAUAGCACUACAAACUUCUCAGUGGCAGCAUCAUAUGCUUCCUAGGCCAUGUUGUGUGUAAUUUUUUAGCAUGCAUACUUUCUCUGCACUUUUGUUUAGACCAUAUCUCUACCAAGAAAUUUUAAUCAUAUUAGCAUUUCUUUAUAGCAUCCUCUAAUCACUUUUUCUGUUUGUUCUUUAUUUCUUGCAAACUUUUGUGUUUAAAUCUAAUUUUUGUGAACUUUUUUUAAUGCCGAAGUUAAAGGAGUAUUUAGCUCAUAUGCACUACAGCUGAAAUCAAGUACUUGAGCUGUAAUGCAUUUCUGAAUUAUGACAAGUAGUUGGAAUUGCAUACAUAAAUUGUAAAGCAUUUAACUUCUGCAUUCAUAUGCUUCCUUUGCCCGCUGCAGGUACCAUGCCAUUACCAGUGCUUACUACAGAGGAGCUGUUGGUGCUUUACUCGUGUAUGAUGUCACUAGACGUUCUACCUUUGAGAAUGUUGAGAGAUUGGAUGCUGUUCAAGCUAGAGCUUGCAUGGAAAUCUUCAAGGACAAUGGCUCUUGCUGCAUAAGUCCUGUACAUUACAUCGUUCAACCAGCAAUAUUGUUCAUUUGAUUGUCCUCUUUGUCUUGGAUCAUAUAAGAUGACAGUUACAUGGAAAUACUUUAGUAUUUUCAUGAAAUUCUUACUUGGUAGGAUCAGGAAUGGGUAUAGUUACUUGGUAAUACAAAAAAAAAAAAAAGUAACCAAAAUAUAUAAAUGGAUUAUAAAUGGAUAAUUGGUUUUUAUAUAAUCCAUUUAGAUCCAUCCAUUUAGAUCCAUUUAUUAAAUGGAUCUAAAUGGAUUGGAUAAAUUUCAUCCACCAUCCAGUAAGUCAAAACCAAUUAUGAACCAUUUAUCCAUAUUGCCACCUCUAGGUACGAUUGCUACUUGGCCCAACCGUGGGGAAAUAGGGCGGUGGCUCCUCCUGCCACUCCUCCGGUUCCCUCUAUGAUCGCCUCACUACCUAUUGACUCAAUCCGAAUGCUUCAUUCUAGAGUUUUUCUUAGCUGAGAUUAAUACUUGUGAUAAUUACAAGUCGGCAGCUGAAUUUUUUUUUUGUUGAAACGAUAGAAUUUUUCUAUCGAAAUUGAUCAAUAAAGACCGUCACAUAUUUUAAUAAAUUUUGUGAGAGGUAAAAUUUGAACCCUUAAACUUCCGCACCAGGUUUGAGAUGACCACUGGCGGCUGAAUUCUUUGACGAAUAAUUUAACAAAGGUAGCUGUCCCUACGGGCCUACGCAAUUUGACAAUAUUGCUCCAUAUUGUCAUUUAUGGAAGUGCCGGCAUUCACGAAGUGGGAUUUUUGCUUCGGCAGCCAAGGCUUCCCCCCCCACCAGAGGGACAGAUAAACAUAACGCAGUGAUGUUGUUUUGUUGAAACCACUGAGUUCCAAUCUGCAACGGAUCUUCUGUCCCAAUUCAUAAUUUUGUAUAUUAUUCAAUUAAUAGUUAUUGGAUCUUUAGAUAACAAAAAAGAAUUAAAAAAUGAUAUUUAUGUAAAAGAAAUAGAAAUAUAAUAAAAAGCAACACAGAGAGUGACACAGAAUAUGGGACAGAAGAUCCAUUGCGAUUCCCAUCCUCUUAUAUGAGAGCAGUUACUCAGGGCCAUAAAAGAUCUUCAAUACUACUCAAUGAAGAAUUUAACUUGUCACAUCCUGAGAUGUCUAGAAAACGUAGAGAUUGGGAGUUUUCCAUAUCUAGGGAAGCAUCUAAAUUAGAGCAGUUACUCUGGGUCAGGGUAAAGUGUUGAAGAGAUGCAAGGCUCUUCAAAUUCCUCAUAUAAGCCAAACUUCCGCAUUUCUUUAUGCUUGAGAGAUAAUCAGAGUUGGUGGAUAUGAAAAUAGAAAAGAGUUAUGUGGAAGAGUUUUUUUUUUUUUUCCUUUGUUUUUUUGAACAAAAAAAAUACCCAGAAGACUGGAGGAAAUCUAAACUUACAGGAAGCAGUGAAAGUCCAGAGUUAUAAAUAUAAUGUCAUUGAUUUUAAUCAUGGGCAUGUGUGCAAUCUCCUCUGCAGCAAUCGGUGACAAUGUCAAUUAGUAGGUAUUUGAAACUUAAAAUGAUCAACAGGUGAAGAUUUAAGUAAGAUUAAAUCCUAUAUACACUGACAGUGUAUACACUAUUACCGUUAGAUCUAUGACAUAUGUACAAAAAUUAAAUUUCAAAUUCAAAUUUUGCAUAAUUGUCAUUCAUUCAAUGUUGACAGUAUAUACACUGUUAGUAUAGGAAAGAUUAAUCUUUAAGUAAGUAAUGGAGUCAGCCCAAAUUUGUUCAUCAAUGGGUGAAAAUCAUAGCGUUUUGACCUUUUGAACAUCAUAGGCUAUGAAUACAUAAGCAAGCUUUUCUCAUUGCUAACUUUAUGCAUCAUUUCCAAUUAGUCUGAAGGAUGAAAUAUACUACUCAAUUACCUCAUUUAGUUUCCAAGCACCAAGAAUCUGAUAUGGGAUUCUGACCCCUUGGAAGCACAUUAACCUAUUACUCGGCAUGUAGCCACCACGAGUUGAAUGAGCAACUAAUCUGUCCAAAGAGAUAGAGAGUUUCUCAUGCACCCAAACUAAAUAGCAUUCAUACAUUUGAUUAAAUAUUAAUGUGUCGUUUUUUUAUCCAUGAACACUAAUUAGAACCUUACAGCGGAAUCAAGAACCUUCUCAUUUCUUACGACUACUUUUGGAAUCUCACAUGAAGCCCAUUGGCAUCAUUACACUAGACAUUCUGAAUUAGAAAUAGGGAUCCAAAGCAGUCCUCAGCCCAUUGUGUGUGCGCUGUGGCAUGCGUCUGUAAAUUACCACAGAGUAGUUCAUUUUGACAAAUGAAAGAUCUUCUCUUAACAACUGUUUCAAGCAUUAUUCUUGUUCAAAUGCACAAUCCGCUAGCCUUAUUGGAUCUCAAUAUAAUUCUAUUGUUUGCAUAUAUACAUGCCGUUGUAUAGUUUCAUCAUUUGCAUAACUGUUGGUCCCAGUACAAGUGCACAACAGGUCCUCCAUGUACUUGUUCAACAAUCUUUAUCAAGUUCCUCGCAAAAUCAGAAUAAAUAAAGUUGGUAAUAGCUAGUUCUGAAAGCAAGACUUGGAAAUUUUACAAGAGGUAAUAACCAUGCUGUUCAACAUAGUUAGAACAGGUUUCAUCAAAAUCCCCCAAAAUGUCCAUCUGGCCUCAGCUCACCGCAUGCAAGCUCUGCUGCACCAUCGUCGAUUCACAGGCACUCAGUCAUUCAUAACUGGACGGAUGCUGAUUCUCAAUCUAACACAACAGGGCACUCAAGGACACUUAACACCGUAAAAUGAGUUGUCUGGUUGCAUAUAACACUGUAAAGCUGUAACUCAGGUGUCCUCAUGGAAAUACUUUGGUCGGUCUUGGUGAGGAAAGGUUGUUGUCCCUGCAGCAUAACAGACAUGAGCUCAACAAAUAGGCAGUCAUUUGCUGAAUCAGGAAAGGGAAAAUAGUAGAACGUGUAAGAAUUAGCUUAGCAAGCUAUUAAAUGCCAAAAACAAAAUCAAGCUAAGUGACUGCAGCUCAAUUAUGCGUUGUUCAUAAAGGAGCAGGUCAGAGAUGUUAGAUUUUGUUGGCCCGAAAAUGCCAAUAAGGUUGAUUACAUAACAGAGAACAAAAGUAUUUCUAAGCAUUUAGCUACAACCUUGUUUGAAAUUGUGAGCAACUGCUUCUAAUAAAGAAUCCCCAGAGUCGAGAAUGAAUGACAAAGGGUCAAGUAGAUAAGUUGUUUAGGAUCAAAUGCAGUUGCAACACUGGAAAAGCCUCCUUUGGCUCAGGGAAAAUACCUAUACUUGGGAUACUUGAAAAGAAAAUUUUUAUUCAAUUCCUAAUCAUUUGUAAUUUUUCUUUUAAAAAACAUGCUCAUGUCUAUUCUACCAAUUCGAUGGCAGGGCUCACCCAAAAAAAAAAAAAAGUAAAUUUUCAUAGUCCACUACUAAAAACCUGGUGCAUUGAAGUUUUUUAGAUGAUGUAAUGAAUCGUUUUAUUUUUAAAAAAAUAAGUUUAUUAAUACUUAUAAUCUAUGUUAAAUUUUCUGAAUCGUGUCCAAGAAUCAGAAUAAGACAAUCAGCAGACAUCUGGUAUCAAUAAGGCAGCUUGAGAAAACAGAAUAAGUAGGAUAAAACAUUGGCAAAAUUAACUUACAGGGCGGUUUGUUUCCCUAAUGUGAAACGAGUCAAACUUUGUUCAAUCGGUAUCAAUAAGGGGAAUACAUGCAAUCUUGGGCCACUUUUCGCCACUUCCUUUGGUGCAUCUCUCUGCUAAAAGAGGACAGUCGGCGAUAUACAGUAGAUUUAAACUGGUGAGGUGUUGUAUUGCUUCUGCAGAGGGCAAUUGUUUGAGGUUAGUGCAAUUGCCAACGCACACUUCUCGAAGAUUUUGAAGGCUACCUAUCCACUUUGGAAGAACUUCCAACCCCUCAAACUCCCGUAUCUCUAGAACUGUCAAGGUAGAGUGAUGCUGAAUUGGUCUGGAAGAGACGUGAUUUUUGGCCAUCCAAACAAUUCAAGUUUUUCCAGAGAGAAGAAAUGUUGUUUUGCAGAAUCACCAUCAUUCUUGGUGAUGGAGUCUGGCCACGGGAAAUAAUCAAGGUUGUCAGAGAAGCCACCGAGUUCCAACUCGCAGAGGUUGGCAAGAUAUUGUAGACCCUUUGCCCAACAACCAGGGUCGUCAGAAAAGAUCGUCAACCGCUCGAGCAAUGUGAACUUCUCAAGAUUAUUACUCAAUGAAGUAUUCAACUUAUCACAUCUUGAGAUGUUUAGAGUAUGUAGGGAUUGGGGGUUUUUCAUAUCUAGAGAAGCAUCUAAAGCAGGGCAGUCUUCUAAUCUAAAGCAGGGCAUUUUUCUAAGGAUGAGGAUUCAAGAGAUGUAAGGCUAUUCAAAUUCCUUAUACAUGCCACAAUUCCGCAUCUUCGUAUCUCUAACUCCUCAAGAGAUGUCAAGUUCUCCAUAUCUGGUAAAACAGCCAAACUGGGGAGCCUUUCGAUUGCCAAGUACUGGAGAUUAGGGAAUACUUUAAUUGAUGAGGAAGAAUUCGAGGGAACCAUUGCAUUUGACCACUCCUCUAGACUAUCCAUGUCCUCCAACACAAAACGCGAUAGUUUUGGAAACAGAUUGAUUGGUUUCGCCUCUCUACUACUGCUCCUGGCACUAUCGAGAUGUUCAAGACCGUAGAAUUCAGCCCCAAUGCGUUUCACAUUGUGUAAGGACACCAUCUCUAAGGACUCGAGACAAAACAAGUCCCCCCAGUGGUAGUACUUGUUCACACUUACCCAAUAUCUCCAACCUGAGGUGUACCAGAUUCCGAAGUACCAUCAAGUGAUCCUUUGCUACCAUCCACAAUGGAAACCUUGAACCUUUGAAACCCCUAAUACCUAAACUUUUCAAGUUUGGGUGAGGUUGGAGACCUUCCAUGGCACUAUUGAUAUUGUUGUCGUCACAAUGUUCUUUCGUGUCAUCCCAUGAAAGUCUUAUUUUUUGGACAAAUUUGCUUUUGCUGCUGAUUCAAAGCUGCUCACAUUCUCCAGUCCAAAUAUUUCUAACUCGCCUCAGAGGUUGCUCAAGUGUUCCAACUCCUCAAGUUGACAUCCCUUGGCUUGGCUUACCACAAAGUAGGGCAAUGUCUGAAGAUUAGACAACUGCCCAGUUCCAGGGAACAAACAUGAUUGGACCAAAGCAGCACGAAAUAAAAACUGGAAAUGCCUCAAGUUAAUUAAAUUGCUAAACUUCUUAGGUAUCUCCUUCACGCAAAAUACUUUCAAGGUUAUCAAAUUGUAGAGCUUUGUGAUGGAAUCUGACAGAGCAGUGACACGAGUUUUGCUGAUAUCAAGAUGUCUUAAAUGUUUCAUAUCACCUACUGCAUUCGAGAGAUGAGUACCAUUCGUGCAGUCUACUUUUAAUACACAAAGGUGUCUAGACAUUUUGGAGAUGUCUUCGAGCAUGCCAUCACCCACAAGAUAAAACGUCUGCCAAUUUGGAGGAAUCCCUUUGAUAUUCUUGAGCAUCUUCCCUCGACUCAGAAUGAUGGUCAAAUGCAUAACUUCAUCAUCAUGACUGACUUCCAUGCCAUCCUCCGUAUUUAAGCAACAGUUAUUUGACACUUGCAAUGAAAGACCAUGCACAAGGUCGUGCAUCCGGCAGAACUUGGUUUUGUUAAUGGAAUUCCCAAAAGUGGCUUGCAACAAAGAACUCCGAAAUAAUAUGUUGAAAUAGUCACUGCCUAUAUCCUCCAUUUGCAAAUGACCUCCUCCCUUGGCAUCAUUAAUCAAUCCUUGGAUCAUCCAAAUCUGUAUCAAGCUUUCUUUUUCCAUAACAGUGUCCUUCAGGAAAAUGGAACAACUUGCAAAGCAUUGUUUCAUUGACAAUGAAGGUAAGUUUUCAUAACUCAGCUUCAGGACAGAAAAGACUCCAUCUGCAACAUUGCUUGACUUAUUCCAUAUUUCACUUUUCUCAAUCGUCAACCAUUCUGAGGCAUCCUUUUUAGAGUACAAUAGACCCCCAAUCACUUUGAUCGCUAGUGGCACAUCACCACACUUUUUCAGUAUCCUUCUGCCAAUGUCCACUAGAUCUAGAGUCUUGGUUGCACCACCGUCUGCAAAAGCUAGUUUUUCAAACAACAUCCAGCUAUAAUCAUCUGAGAGGAUCUCUAGAUGAUACAAACCAGAUGUUUGCAUUGCUGAGGCUACCUCAUCACUACGUGUGGUAGCCAAUAUUUUGCUUCCUAGAGCACCCCCUAUUGCCAGCAAACAUUUCCUCAUGCGAUCCCAUUUCUCUCGAUUGUCAUUCCAAGCAUCAUCAAGCACAAGCAAGUAACUUUUUCCUUGCAAAUUUUCUUGAAGCCUCCUCACCAAUGCUUCCCUGUUUGUCGUCUCAGCGUUCUUUUUCCCGAGGGAUUGAAGCAUCUCAUUCAACAGCCUUUCCACUUUGAAAUCAUCAGACACACAAAUCCAUAUUGUUUCAUCAAAAUGCUUCACUACACUCCCAUUUUUUAGCACCAGCUGUGCAAGGGUUGUUUUUCCCUGGCCACCCAAACCAACUAUUGACAUGACAGGUAAAUCCUUCUUAUAGUCUGAGCUAAUUAACAUCCUUACAACAUGAGAUUUCUCAACUUCCCUUCCCAUCAUUUCCGACUCAUCCAUAAAAGGAUCAGUCGACCGAUCCUCUUUGUGAUCAGCAGAUGUCAUGGUUAGCUGAACUGGAUGAAGCCCUAUCUGAUUUGCUUCUCUGUAAGCUUCCUCUAGAGAUGCGCUAACAUUCUUGAUCUUGUUAGCCAUCUCUAGAUGAAAGGAAAUAGGAUUUGAGGAAGAAAAGAAGUUGCGUACCUUGUCGCGCUUCCGAUUCUCAACCUUCUGCUGCAAAACUUCAUAUCCGAAGUCAUCCAACACGAUCUCAGCAUCACGUGCUACGGACUGGAGCCUUUUCAGCCAAAGCUGCACGGCUUUGCUUGUUGAUUUCUUGCAUUUAGCAUCAAAAAUCAAAGCUUCCACCAUCUCUACUUUCUUGGCAAGCUUCUGAAGGUCUUUCUUUACACCCCAUACCCGGCUGAUCUCGUCGGCAGUAAGCGGAAGUAUCUUAUUCAAGAUUACACUAACAAAACUGAGUACAGCUUCAGCCAUCUUCAGGGAAACUCUUAACAGAUGGAGGUAAAAUGCUUUGGUUGAAUAGUUGGACUACUUUUUGCAGCCAGAGAUGGUCAACAUUCAACAGGUAAAAGUUACAAAGCACCGAAUCCAUUACUUAUCUUUCAUUUUUUCCAAAACGAAAUUUCCUAGUAUUCACUGAAAGAAUUAUUAAUUAUAUUCUAGCCGUACAUUUUUUUGUUUGUCGUUUUUUUUUUCCUUGGCUUUUGGUAGGGUCUUCACAUGUUAAAGCUAGGACAACAAUAAUUAGAAUAGUACGAGUGAGAUUCCCACACAAAGGGUGUGAAAAACUAAAGAAAAGUUUUGCCCUUGCACAGACAAAGGGUGUUAAACGACACAAUCAACUGAAUAUUGCAAAUAUAAUAUACACAAUACACGAUGCAUAUUUCAAAUAAUGAGAUUACAAGGACUUCAUUCAUUUAAUCCAAGUGAAGUUUAUUUAAUGACUGAAUUUAUUGUAUUGAGAUAUGUGACUGUUCUACAGAUAUUUUAGCACAAAAUUAAAAUAAAUUAGUAAUUGACUAAGUCAAGUUCUUAGAGUUGUUCCACACUUGUUGUUUUUGACUAGUUCAAGUUUGUUUUUUGUUCUAAAUAUUAUGUUGAGAUUUGUUAGGAGAGAUUUGGAUAGUGUGUUGAGGUUUGUCACGAAAAAUUUGUGUAGACUUAUUACUUACACUUUCGAUUAAUAGAGACAUAUUUAAUGAGAAAUCUAAAAUCGUUUUUCAACUCUCAAUACAAGUCUUAGUAAACUAUUUUUUUUUUUUUUUUUUUUGCAGUUCUAAAUAUUGUUUUAGUAGUUUAAGCUCUAAAUUCUAACAUAUUGGUGGGUACUACAAAAUAGAGAUGUUCCAAUUUCUCUUCAGUACGUGCAAAUAUUAUCACUUACAAGAAGCUAGUGUUGAGUAUAGGACCAAGAGUUUGCUUCAAUCCAAUUGAAAGCAAUCGGGCUCAACAAACCAUCAGGAACGCCAAUGGAGCUGACCAAGAAAGGUGCAAGUGGUCUCAGUUCCCCUCAAAUCCAGCAUUUUCUAUUGAAAGGUGGAAAUCUGAGUCAUCUUCCAAAUUCCAAAGUAACGAGGGCAUACAUCGAUUUUAAAAGACCUAAUAUGCCCUGCAAAAAGAUUCAUAAACAACCGUUCACAUGGUGAGAUCUGCUGGGGGAUGGGCAUCCGUCCCACAUCGCUAGGAUGUGGGUUCUUUGACCUGGACUUAAGGUCCACGGGUUUGCCUUCCAGUUAUCAAUUGGUUGGAUAGGUAAGCUUUGUAGGUCCCCUUAGAUUACCUCUUAGAUCCUCCUAGCUUUAACCCUCAAUUAUAUUUAAUUAGUUGGGUGUGUGUGUCUUAUAUUUUUUUCGAUAAAAAAAAAACUAGUCAUGCAUUGUAAGUUGACAUUUAACCGACUGUGGAAAUUGUUCAUUUUAUUUGUCAACAAUCAAUUGUCAACUAAUUUCCAUCCACGAACCUGCAACAUGAACUCAAGAUAUGAGGAUAAGCCCUGGAGAAAUAUCCUUCCCUUACGCAUUGUCUCUAAUUUAAAGCCAUAAAAACACUCUCUGCUCCUCUUGUUUUUCAUAUAGAAAGGGUAACCCUAGAGCUUCUGUUUAGGAUGCAUUACACCAGAGUACUUCACAAGCAUGACAAUUGUUGUUUAAUCUAAACACGCCGACACAUACAGAGCAUAUGACUCCCAUAGAGCUGAAGAUUCUUAAUCAUGUCAUUCACAGGGAAGAGAAGUGUUCUGUUGAGAAAUUUGACAAUUGAGAAAUUAGGAAGGUUGGGGGUAAUUUGCCGUUAGACAUAAGAAACACCGGCUUAUCCAUUCUGAAAUGCGUUCAUCCAUUCUUUAAACACACAAUUUUUUUUUUUUUUUUUUUUUUUGCAAAAUGUUGCAAUUCAGGGGUGAGUUGUAAUAUUAAUGGUUAUAAUAGUUGGUCACCUUUUUCUUUUUCUUUUUUUUUUUUUAUCUUUUUUGUUCUCAUCUGCUGUCCUAAGUGCAGCAAAUUAAAAAAAAAAAGGGUAAACAACAAAAAAGUCCUCUAUAGUAUAGCUAUUUUAUAGAAUAAUCCCCUAUGAUUUCAAUUCAUACACAUCGGUACCUCAUGGUUUGAAGUAAAGUGAAAAAUCAAAGGAAAUUGUUAAAUUCAAUGCGUGUGAUGUAAACGCGCUGGAAAUGGGCGUGGUUCUUCCAAAAAAUAGUUUUUGAAGGCAAAUUUUGAUCUAAAAUACCUAUUUUAUCCCUCGUACCUUAAUAAAACAACCAUGAUUCUUUUUCAAAUUUGUUCUAAUCUUGUAGAAAUCGACGUUUUUUGUUUAUAUUAUUAGUGAAUGAAACUAAUGAAUCAAAAAUCGGUUGUUUUAGGCUAUUUUGUCGCUUAUAUUAUAUGGGCAUUUCUGUCAUUUCACUCAAAAUCGUUUCUUUUAACGAUUUCCGUCAAUGUUCAAAUUACUUCAAAUCAUGAGAUACCAACACAUAUGAUUCGAAAUCAUAGGGGGUUUUCUGUAAGAUAGCUAUACCACAAGGGUUUUUUUGUUGUUUACCCAAAAAAAAAAUCUUCUUAAGAAAACUACCUUAUGUUGGUGAAAUUUUUUAUCAUGUCAUGAAAUAAUCCCAGCAAUACUUACAAAAUUUCAUUCUAGUCCUCAAAUUGGAGAUAUACAUAAGUUGAAAGUAGGACUGAAAGAUAAACCAAACUAUUUGAUACUCGAAUUGAAUUUGGUUUGGUAAGAAUUCAUUCAAAUUUGAUUCACCAACUAAUUAGACCAAAGAUAAACAGCGUUUUAUGUUUGAUAAACAUUCAAACUCGAUAAAAAAAAAAAAACUUGGUCAAACUUGAUUUAGUAAAUAAAUAAACCAAGUUUGAACAAAAUUUUAAAUUUGUUAAAAUUUUAAACUUGUUAAAAUAAUUAAAUAAAUUUGAACACUAGGAUGUUCGACUUGAUUAAACUUGUUGACAUCCUUAGUUAAAUACAACGAAAUACUUUCUCGUUGUCGUUGCAUUCACUAUAUCAGAUUAUACAAUAAGAUUGUUCUAACUUGUAACUUCUUAAAUUCUGCAAAUUGUCUAAGAAUUAAAGAGUAACAUUAUAACAUAGUUAAGGAUAGAGCUGCCUCUGCUAAUUAACUGACUUGCUUUACACAAAAUUUUUUGUCUAGAGGGUAUCCAAAAAUUGACUAUUUGGUUAUGUUAGGGGGCCACCCUCUGAACUUGAAUCCAUAUCCACGCCCCCUCAUGGCUUUGUCAUCCCUAAUUCCCUAUCAUAAACGGAACUAGAAAGUUUACUUUGACAAUGCAAAUUUUAAUAUUUUGCAUUCAAGUAUGUAAUAUAUGAUAUUUUUAAUUUUUGCAUGGGCAAAUAUCUAAACUUGUAAAGAAUAUUUUUAAAAUUUUUUAAUUUUCUAAGGGAUAAAAAUCUAAACUUAUAGAACUGUGGAGGAUCAGGGACUCAAACGAUUGCUGUUUGAGUCGAUUUUGCUUCAUUUUUUACGGGAUGUAAAUUACUUUUAAUAACUUGUAAAUAUAAAAUAAAAUUAUGUGAAAUUCAAAUAUGGUGUUAAAAUUGAUGAAUAUGAUGUAAUUUAGGACUUAUAUAUAAAUAUAUAUUGGUCAAAACACGGCUGUCAAUCUUUCGGGACGAUUGCUACUUGCCCCAACCGUGGGGGAAAUAGGACAGGUGGCCCCUCCUGCCACUCCUUCUGUUCCCUCUAUGAUCUCCUCACUACUUAUUGACUCAAUCCGAAUGCUUCAUUCUAGCCCCUCCUGGUACAUCGAGUGGUUUCGGUCCCUCAUCAGGAUAUAUCGAUCACGAUUCGAGUCUCAGGAGUACCUUGCUCGAAGUUCAGCUUGGACGCCUUUCCCCGGGCCCUGGGGGAUUACUCGAGUUUCAAGGCCCGGAUACCCUUAGGCGAAAAAAGAAAAGAAAAGAAUGCUUCAUUCUAGAGUUUUUCUUAGCUGAGAUUAAUUCUUGUGAUAAUUAUAAGUCGGCCGCUGAAUUCUUUGACGAAUAAUUUAACAAAGAUAGCUGUCCCUACAGGUCUACACAAUUUGACAAUAUUGCUCCAUAUUGUCAUUCAUGGAAGUGCCGGCAUUCACGAAGUGGGAGAUUUUUGCUUCAGCAGCCAUGGCCUUUUCUUUUCCCCCUUUUUGGGGCAUGCGACCAGAGGGAGAGUUGCAAUAAACAAUUUCUUCCUUAUUUUUCCCUUCCAAAAACCAUUAAAGGGUUAAACUUUAUUUUAUUUUAUCCGAAAUACUCAAAAUUAAAGGUAUUAACCACAAUCCAAUUAUAUUGAUCCGUUGAAACCCGCUUACUAAUAAGUGGACUUGGGUCUGUAAUGAACUUUAAAUGGGUCUAAAUAAACAUACAAUUAAGCCCAUUUAAUUGAUGGAUAGUGGGUUGAUUUGGUUCAUCAAUUUAUAUCGAUUUAAAAAUAAAUAUGCAUUUAAAUUCAAUUUUUAGUGGAUGUUAAGUGGACAAAUUUGAAUUUUUUUAUCAAUCUAAUAUUAAAAAAAUGUCGUUAUUUCUUGUUAAACAACGUGCAAAAAAUAAGAAAAAAUAAAUAAAAUUUCAAGUGAAUCAUAAAUUGGUAAUUGAAUAUGUAUCUAUACCCAUUUCUUAAAUAGAUAUAAAUAGACUGACUCAUUUUGACUUAUUUAUUAAAUGAGUAUAAAUAAGUUGAUCUAAUUAUAUUUAUUACUCAAUUAUGACCCGUCCAAACCCUCCAUAAUUAUCCAUUUUGACGCCUCUACUUAAAAUUGUCGAAGUUCAAUGGAACUAUAACAUUUGAGUCAUUGAGGCGGCUCCCUCAAGUGGGGGUUGGUUAUUGGAUGUAUGCACCACGGAUGAUUUAUAUCCAUUAGAAACCUUAUUGAGUUAUCCACUUGUAGGCCUUUGAAAAUACCAACUUGCAAUAGAUGAUAUGUGCGAAAUCUGGUGUAAGUAUAGAUGCAUGUCAGAUAUGUAAAAAGAAAAUUUUGAAUUUGAAUACAUGGGCUAAUUCAUAAAAAGUUUAAAAUUAAGUAAUUAUAUCUUUUUUCAAGCUAUGGCUGAUGGUGAUCCAACCAUCUACAUUAGAAAAUUUUGUUAGUGACAUCCAUAUGGCUAGUGAGCAAUAAGAAGUUUCAAAUCACAAGUUGACAAAAACUUAGCAAAGCAAUCCUAGGUCUGUGGUGCCACUUAAUUGUUGUCUUGAGGUUCUGUCAUUUAUCAAGGAGUUAUAUUCUCAUUCUUAUUGAACGGACGACCAACUAUUUUUAGGUUUAUUCAUUUAGCGCCUGUUUUUAUCGGCCGUCGGCUAGGGUUCCGUCAUGUCUAGAAGAGCCAAAAUAGAUAAACAAUUCUAUUUUCUGGCCUAAGUCCUUGGUGCAUCUCUCCGUUGGGUGGUUCCCAUUUAUUUUUUGGAGGAUUUUCUUCUUUGUCUUUCACUUCUCCUUGCCGGCCAUUUGGCAACCUUAUCUUCUUCCUUCCAGUAGACCAAGAGAACAAUGAAGUAUUUUUGGGCUUUAAUAUAGUUCUGAUUUGUGUAUUUUUUACAACAUUUGGUGUUUCCCUAAAUAAUUAAGUUAGUAUUCUUAUAUAUUAAGCUGUUAUAUGUGAAUAAAAUUUACCUGUACGACAAAGUUACACAAAAUCAUUUAAGAAAGAUAUCAACUCAACAUAAAAAGUCAACUAAAUUCUUACUAAACUUGUCACAUUCCAAACUUUGGAUUAACUGUUUUUGGGGAUAUUUUUGAAAAAUUUUGCUGUAGCAGAGUUUUUAGAUUAUAUUUUGGGAUAUUUUUAGAAAAUAUUUUGGGAUAUUUAAGAGUAGAUGAGUCUCUAGAAUAUAUUUUGAGAUAUUUUUUAAAAUUUUAAAAAAAUUUAAACUAAUUUUUAGAUUACCUUUUAGAGUACUUUUUAAAAUUUUUUAUUAUUUUUGAAAAACACUCCCAUCCAAACAGAGCAAUAAUUUUCCACGACUAUAUUUGAAGCAUUAAUUGGGUACUCCCGAUUUAAAUUCUUCAUAGUGGCCAUCCGGGAUUACAGUCACCUUCCUUGUAGCAGAUCAAGAAAAUGUACUUCUAUUUCUAAAAGAAGAAAAUUGUGUAGUACACGAUUUCAUUUGAACCGUUUAAAGGUUAAGAAUCAGAUUAAAAAAACGAAGCAGCAUUGUAAUAAUUUUCUAAAACUAGAAAUGCAUUUGGAAUUUCCCGAGUAAUUAGAUGCAAAGUUUUAUGAGUGUACAUUUUUUAAAAGUAUUUGUUAUACUUGGUUUUAAAAAAAAUGAAUUGUGCAUGUGAACUUUGUCUGUCAAUUUUAUGCUUGUUUUCGUAUAAAUAAAAUGCAAAAAUUAGUAAUGAAUACAGCACUAAAAUUUCUUUGAAAAAAAAAAAUUCUAUUCAGGUAAGUUAGUCAAAAAAGUUCCAAUUUUUUUUGAGAUUCUUUCCGAACAGGUUAAAAUUCUCUGAGCUUCUUUCCGCACAGGUUAAAAUUCUUGAGGAGGGAAAAAAAUGACGGACUUCAAAUGAUAUGAAGCUGAAGUGUUAUAGCCGCCUUAAUACAAUAAUAGAACAACAGGGAAAAGGAUGAAAUUUGACCACCCACUCCAUAGGUAUUGAAGAGGUCGUUUUUGCCCUGCUGGAGUGAGUCACCCGAGUUGGAGAAGACCUCUUAUCCUGGGUAGUUAUCUUAGAUGAGGUCACCUGCUUAAAUUGUAGGAGGGACUAAAGUCCCCGGUAUAACUCCGAAACUUAAGUCAGUUCGGGAGUGAAAGAGUAAUAAGUAUAGAGAAGACUAGUAUGCCUUUACCAGAAAUUUGGCCGUCCCACUUCUCAGUAGAGGUGCUGAGUAUUUAUAGAAGUCAGAUAGGAGAGAGGGACUGCUUGCACGGGUCCCUAGAGAUCUGGCAGGGUCAGCGUAUCAAGAUGACUUGAUGGACUCUGCGGAAAGGUACGCCGGAACAGUUGUGUGUCAGGCGGCGCAUGUCAGGGCAGCUUUAUCAGAAAUGUCAGAGGUAUCAGAGACCAUGUUCCACAACUCCGGUUGCCAGGUCAUUAUACUUGACUUCGGCUUGGUGAGGGAAAACCUUGGCCGAGGCGGUAACUAGGCCGAAGUCGAUUCCCGAUGGUGAAAGGCCGAGGCAGUCGGAACGAAGAAACACAGGACGGGAUCCCAGCUCUAGGCGAGCUGGAAAUACCCUCCUCACUAAGCCCCCCAAGCUUCGGGAAGAGCGAGAUCGUGGUCUCACGAGGUCAUCACUUCCCGAGGCUGACACGCGUGUGGAAUACGGAACAGGAUUAGGACACGUCACGACUGUGGAGAUGUGACUGGGGAAAGGUGAAACGGGGGCUGGCAGCUUUAACGUCGGAUCAAUACGAUCGAUUGUCAGGUGAACAGUACCUUCAUUAAUGAGGGGAGAGAGAGAGCUUUAGGGAAUCCCAAAGAUCGCGUCUCUUCGGUUUCCUCCUAUGGCCUAUAAAUAGGGGUCUCUUUUCACCGUUCCAUUUUUUACCAAAAUUCGAAAUCACCUCAGAGCUCCGUCUUUCUGCUUAUUCAUUUCGGCAGUCUUUCUGAACCACAUCUUCUCCAGCAACUUCUUUCUGCAUUCCCUAAGUAAGUUCACUUCUUCUCUUUGUGUUAAUGGCUAGAACAGCUCGCACAUUCAAAGAGACGGUGAGGCCUGACUUCACCGAGGCAGAAAGGCCCGACCCUUCCGAGGAGAGAACGACCUCCAACGCCGAGGAAGGAGGUGGGGAAGCGUCUGAUCGAGCCCGGGGAGGAGGUGCGGAGGCAUCCCGCCGAUCUGAGUCUCCGGCAGAGCAGGCCGAAGAGAUUGAGAUCGAUCCCGAGGUCUUGUACAAUGAUGACCUCGGGAAUGAAGUCCCUAGGGACGUAGGUGUACAGGAGCUCUCCACUCCUCCAAACGUGGCCACGCUAAACUAUGGCCAGAUGCCGGCCUUCACCAGUGCGGUGGAUCAAGCUUCCAUAGCCGAGGUGAUCCGCAAGUACCCGUGGAGGAGGGAGUACAGUAUUUACCUCACGCGCCCACAUCAGUCCGCCGCCCUGCCUCCAAAGGGUAUGGUAGCUAUCUACAUAGAACAGCUGGAGGCCGGACUCAGGGUGCCCACCACAAGGUUUCUUCAGGACUGCCUGAGGUACUGGGGGGUGAGGAUUACUCAGCUCACCCCAAAUGCAAUUCGUAUCCUCGUCGGCUUCCAGCUACUCUGCCGACAUCAAGAGAUAGAGCCGAACGUCAACCUCUUCCGCCGUUGUUAUUCACUCAAGAACAGUGGGAGCGAGAAGGGGUGGUUCUACUUCGGGAACAAGGUUCCCAAGUUUGUAUAUGAUGCCCCGAGCUCAAUAAAGGAGUGGAAGAAUAACAUUUUCUUCGUCCCGGCUGAGGACUUCCCCAGGGGAUUCUGGUGGAGACCUCCCAUUUCGGUCAAAGAAACCUCCCCGGGCAAAUUGGAAGAACGCAACUUCCAAAAGUUGACGGGGUCGGGCCUGAAGAUUAACUGUUGGGACUUCCCUGAAAGAGUGCUCGUGAAGGGCGAGCUCAGCCGAGCCUUGAUCAGCUCGGACUUUCCCGUCCUCAUCUUCACUAGGCUUCACAUACCUCGUACUUUUCCACUUCUCACUUUCUUGUUUGUUUUCCUUGAAUUCUAACUAACUUCAUUUCGUGCUUCGCAGUAAUGAGGGUUUCCGACCUGAUUAUCUCGGGAGAGGUCGAGGUGGCAAAGAGGCCAGCAAAAAAGCGCAAGGACGCUGGUGAGUCCUCUUCCAGGCCGGCUAAGAAGACCACUGCAGCGGCAGGCACUCGCGAACCUGCCGUGGUGAUUAUAGGUGAGGGGUCGCAUACCUCGGACACGCCGGGAAGAUCCAAAGCGUCCAUUCCAGUGGGAGUUCCAUCCCAUGGAGUAACCAUAGCCUCUCAACCUCGGGGGCGGGGUCGAGGUGCGACCGUUGUCCAGGGUGACUCCGUCUCGGGGAACUCAUUAUUCAACCUCCACCACGUGCCCUCUCUAGCAGCCGGGGAGGACAAGAGGCACUCCGGAGCACAAUUUUGCCCGGAGUGGUCGGUCAAUGUCAAUGACCGCUGCAAGAAUCCCCAGGUCGCGCACGAGCUCCUGGUGAAUUCAGUCCUGCCACGGGACAAUACUUACACCAGGAAACUCAAUUCGGCCGAGCUGAUGCAGGGCGCCUCGGUUUCUUGGGCUUCCACCACGGCGUUCCUCGCUGAGAUGUACCAACGCUUUGGUGACUUCAUAGAGACUUAUGAAUCCCCUGCCGAGCUCCAGAAGAAGAUCGCCGACCUGGAGGGGAAACUAAAGGCCGUCGAGCUGGCACGUGACAAGGCCGAGGCGGCGAAGAAGAAGGCCGAGGUCUCGAAUAACUCCCUCAUAACUGCUCUUGAUGAGGAGAGGGAGAAGAGAGCUCAGGAAGAACAAUCAUCCAAAGUGGCCAUAGACACAGCCGGGGCCACCGCCGUGGAAGCAUUCCGGAAGUCGGAGUCUUUCAUUCGCGACCUCGGUGAACUCACUCGGCCGAGCUUCAUGUUCAGCUAUACGUCGGCCAUUAAUGAUGCGGCACCCUUUCUUCCCCCUGAGCAGCUGGAGUCCUUCCAGAGUGCCUCACACUACAAUGAGGAUGCCAAGAAAUUAUGUGACCGCGUGGGUGAGGGCAUCCAGGCUGGAAAGGACCUGGCCGAAGUCCGAGCUGAAUUCAACAAGUGGCUCCAGGAGUUCGAGCUGGAUGGUGACAGUGCUGAAGGGGACCAGGCCGGUGGAGGAGAGGAAGAACAGCAGGAUGCUGGACAGCAGGAUGCCGAGGCAGGCGGAGAGACCCUGGGAGGACAGGACCCCAGGGCAGGAGGUGCUUAGAAGCACUCAUGUUUUGUAAUAGAGGGCCGAGGUCAACUACGACCUCGACAUUUCACUUUUGUAAUUAUGACCUCGGCCUUUUGCUUUUCAUGCUUCAAUAAAGUUGGGUUUUGCAUAUUGUCUUCUUUUCAAUUGAGUUCAGUUUUUCUUUCUUUUAACUACUGCUUUGUCCCCUUAUUUGUUACUUGUAAUGAAAUAAGAACGAGUGAGAAAUAACUUAAAGAAGUGGACAGAAAGAACACGUACCCUUCAAGGGUAGUAUAAUUUAAGAUUUUCAGCAUGCCAAAUUCGGGGUACCCGAGAUCCAUCUCGGUAUGCCAAUUUACGAUAUCCGUUUUGGCUGGAUUCAACAACACGAUAUGGUCCUUCCCACUUUGGAUUGAGUUUUUCCUGAGUCUCAGCUCGGCUAACCGAGUUCUUCCGGAGCACAAGGUCUCCCGGACUGAACCUUAAAUGUUUGACCCGAGCAUUGUAAUAGCCAGUUAGGAUAUUUUUGUAGAUCGCAACUUUGGCCGCGGCCAUAUCACGCUUCUUUUCGGCGAGGUCGAGGUCAACUUGCCGCUCCUCUUCAUUGACUUCGGCAGCAUACGCAGCCAUUCGCGGGUUGGGUGUGAUGAACUCGGCUGGAACGACGGUCUCAGACCCAUAAGUUAGGGAAAACGGCGUUUCUUGAGUCGCUGACCUCGGCGUAGUCCGGUAGGACCACAGCACGCUAGGGAGCUCUUCCAUCCACGAUGAUCCAGCUCGGUGAAGCCUGGUCUUGAGGCCAUGGAGGAGAGUUCGGUUGAAAUUUUCGGCUUGUCCAUUCGCCUGAGGGUGCCCCACCGAGGUGAAAUGUUGUUUGAUCCCUAAGUUCUCGCACCAUGCCUUGAAAGGGUUAUCAGCGAACUGCCUUCCGUUAUCCGAGAUGACAACUCGAGGCAGUCCGAAGCGACAGACCACGUUUUUCCAGAAAAAUUUUUGGACAGCCAUUCCGGUGAUGCUUCUCAGGGGCUCUGCUUCGACCCAUUUAGUGAAAUAGUCCACUGCCACCACCACGUAGGCAUAGUUGCCUGGGGCUCUGGGGAAUGGACCGAUUAUGUCAGUCCCCCAUUGCUCGAAUGGCCAUGGCGAAGUGAUGGGGAUCAUAAGAUUAAUCGGUUGGUGGUGCUCAGAGGCAUGGUGUUGACAAGAAGGGCAACAAAGAACCAUGACCUGGGCAUCUACCCUCAUGGUGGGCCAAAAGUACCCGAGGAGCAGAGCUUUCUUCACGAGCAUCUUGAAGCCGACGUGGGCACCACAGAGUCCCUCAUGAAUGUCCUCGAGGAUUCUCUCGCCUUCUUCCGGGGUGAUACAUCGUAGCCAGGGGCCGAGGUAGGAUCUCUUGUACAAGAGGCCUUGCCGGAGGGUGUACCGAGCUGCUUUUCGUUGAAGCUUCCGUGAUUCAGCUCGGUCUUCUGGGAGCUCACCCCGACUGAGAUAUCGAAUCAGGGGCCCCAUCCAGGUGUCCCCAGGGUAGACGGGGUACACGACCUCAGCUAAAUAUCCCGGCUCAGCUAGAACUUCUACGAGAACUGUCUUGUUCAGAUCGGAGAAAGAGGUAGAAGCAAGCCGGGAGAGGGCGUCAACCCUUCUGUUUUGUGACCGCGGUAUUCUUUGGAUUGCAAAAGACUCGAAGUGUGCCACCAAUUGAAGAACCUUGGAGAGGUACCAAUGCAUCACCUCAUCCCUGGCCUCGUAUUCACCUAGUAUCUGGCACACAACGAGUUGGGAGUCGCUGUAGACCAAGAUAUGCGCGGCCCCGAGCUUUCGAGCUAGUUGUAAGCCGGCAAUGACAGCUUCGUAUUUGGCUUUAUUAUUUGAGACUACGAAAUCAAACCUUAAGGCAUACGAGCAAAUUUCUCCUUGGGGAUCUUCGAGGAGCAGGCCGGCUCCACUACCCUCACUAUUGGAUGAACCAUCCACAUGCAAGGUCCAUCGUUGAGGCUCGGCGCUGGACGAGGUGACAGCCUGGGUUGUAGCCGGGAUGGUCUCACUCACUUUCUCAAAAGUAAGCUCGGCAAAGAAAUCCGCGAGAGCCUGGGCUUUAAUUGCCGUGCGAGGCUCAUAAGAUAAGUCGUAUUCUCCCAGCUCGAUGGCCCAUUUGGUGAGGCGUCCAGAGGCCUUCGGCCGCGAUAGGACCUGCUGAAGUGGUUGGUCUGUCCUUAGGCAGACGUGAUGGGCCAAGAAGUAGGGCUUAAGUCUACGAGCUGCAUGGAUUAAGGCCAGCACAAGUUUCUCCGCCUGAGUGUACCUGGUCUCCGGAUCUCGGAGGACUCGGCUGACAUAAUAAACAGGUGUUUGGGCAUCUUCCUCCCUUAUCAGUACGGCACUUACGGCUUCAGCCACAGCAGACAGGUACAAGAAUAACCUGUCCCCUGGACGAGGUGAGGUGAGUGUUGGGAGGCGGUUGAGGUAAUCCUUCAACUGCUCAAACGCCCGUUGACACUCUUCCGUCCAGGAAAAUUUGUCAGCUUUCUUGAGAACUUUGAAAAAUGGCAGUGCCUUGGAGGCGGAUUGUGAUAAAAACCGGUUCAGGGCGGCCAAUCGCCCCCUGAGCCUCUGGACGUCGCGGACGCACCGUGGUGGGGACAUUUCUUGGAUGGCUCUCACCUUGUCCGGAUUUGCUUCAAUACCCCGCCUAGAGACGAGGUAGCCCAGGAACUUUCCCGAAGUGACCCCGAGAACACAUUUCUUGGGGUUCAGCAUCAUUCGUGUCUCCCGAAGAACUUCCAGGACUUCUUUCAGGUCGGCAAGGAAUGUGGAGGUUGUCUGGCUCUUCAAGAGGACAUCAUCUACGUUAGCCUCGGCAGUCCGGCCGAUUUGAGAUUUAAAGGCUUGAUUAACCAAGCGUUGAUACGUGGCCCCGGCAUUCUUCAAUCCAAAAGACAUGGUGGUGUAACAAUAUGUGCCUCUGUCGGUGUAGAAGGCGGUCUUCUCCUGAUCCUCCGGACUCAUCCCAAUCUGGUGAUAUCCUUUGAAGGCAUAAAAAAAGCAGAGGACAUCAUAACCCAUUGCCGAGUCUACCAAGGUGUCGACCUUGGGCAACGGGUAGCAGUCCUUGGGGCAAGCCUUGUUGAGGUCGGUGAAGUCGACGCACAUUCUCCAGUCCCCGGUGUCUUUCUUUACCAUGACCGGGUUGGACAAUCAGGUCGGAUAUUGGACCUCCCGGAUGAUCUUUGCAGGGAGGAGCUUGUCUACCUCCUCGCCCACAGCUCAGCUGCGCUCAGGGCCGAGGCGCCUUCUUUUUUGUUUGACCGGACGGACUUGGGGAUCGACAUUCAGCUCAUGUAUCAUGAGAUGAUGCGGGACUCCUUGAACCUCUUCUGCGGCCCAAGCAAAGACGUCCCGGUACUCUUUGAGGAGGUCCACCAUAGCUCUUUUGACAGGGCCGGGCAGUCGGGACCCAACACGAACUGUCUGGUCAGGCUUCGUGGGGUUGAGAGGGAUCUCCUCCACCUCAUCCCCAGUCUCCAGCCUUGGGAUCUUCUCAGCUCGCUGAGGAUCAAUGCUAUCUAUCGAGAGGAUAUUUGACCUCUUCUCGGGCCUUGCCCCGGAGGUUGAUGGGGAGGCUGCUUGUAGAGUGGCGAGGUAGCAUUCUCGGGCAGCGCAGACGUCGCUGCUGACUUCGGCCACUCCCGCAGGAGUAGGAAACUUGAAGCUUAAGUGGUAGGUGGAGUAUACUGCCCGCAAAGCAUUAAGUGUUGGACGACCUAGGAGUAGGUUGUACGGCGAGUCAGCCCUAACUACUACGAAGUUAACGGGGAUAGUUCUGCAGCGGGGGUGACGCCCUACAGUCACUGUCAAAGCCACCAUCCCUUCGGGGUGCACAAUGUGUCCCCCGAACCCAACAAGAGGGGUUCUCACCGGGGUUAUGCACUCCCUAACCAGUUUAAGGCUCUCAAAGGUACGGAGGUACAUGACGUCAACUGAACUUCCCGGGUCAAUGUAAACCUUUUUCACGAUGUAGUUAUUGGUGAGGAUUUCAAUCACCAAGGCUUCAUGACUGCUGGAGGCAGCCGGGACGGGGUCAGUAGGACCAUAGGAAAGGACUUCGGACAGGCGAGAGCUCGAUUCUGCCUGGUCCGGAUUAGCCUGCCUGUAGGUCCUCUUCCGGGAGUUCUGGCUAUCCCCUCCCGUCGGACCUCCGGCAAUCGUAUUGAUGACCCCGACUAUGUUGGAUCCAUACCCUAAUCCAUGUCCAGAAGAUCCAUCUCGGGGAGGCCUUUUUGUCUCCCUAGGUUCCUCUGGAGGCCUGCAACUGCUCCUAGAGGGUCGCCUUUCAUCUCGGCGUUGAUCACCCCGGCUAUCUCGUCGGGGUUCAUUACGUGGCUGUCCGCCACUUCGGCGGAUGAACUGCUUCAGGUGACCCUGUCUGAUGAGGUUCUCGAUCUCUUUUUUGAGAUCGUUGCAGUCCUCAGUUUCGUGCCCGACGUCCCGGUGGUACAGACAGUAGAGGUUCGAGUUCCUCUUGUCUCUGUUGCCGAACAUUUUGGGAGGGGCUUUCCCGAGGUUGUUCUGUUCCAUUACAGACAGCACGCGAGAUCGGGAAGUGUUUAAGGGAGUCAGUUCGGAUUCAGGAAUGGGUGACUUUCCCUUUGAGAUCCUGUCGAACACACUCCGGCGAUCUCGGCCGGGACUCUGGAAGCCACUUCCUGUCCCCGCUUCACUUCAGCUAGGCUCCUUCCCUCUUCGGGCGUCAACCCUCGGGCGAGCAGGUUGGACUUCUUUUUUCAUGCGGUUGAGGUCCUCGGCCUGUAUGCCCUUCUCGACCUUCAACCACAAUUCGUGGAGUGAACGGGGAUACUUCUUGUGGAUCCCCGUGUUGAAUACCCCGGCAACGAGCCCAUGGGUGAAAGCGGCAAUGGUGACCUGCUCAUUAGGGUUAGGUAUCUGCACGCUUUCUUCGUGGAACCUCUGGACAUACGACCGAAGUGAUUCCCCCGGGUUCUGCUGCAUAUUCAGCAGAUAAGCCGAGGUCCGGGUCGUCGGUCGGGAGGAAACAAAACGGUGAAGAAAUUUCUCCACUAAUUCCCCCAGAGUUGAAAUGCUUCUAGGUUUUAGACCCCAGAACCAUUUUCGAGCUGUCCCCUGGAGGAAUACUAGAAAAGCCCGGCAUAUGACGGGAUCAGGGAUGCAAUAUAGGCGGAAGGCCGAGAUGAAGGCAUGAAUGUGGUCUUCCGGAUCACCUCGGCCGUCAUAAGACGGUAUCGAGGGAAGCUUGAAGUUGGGAGGAAGUCUCUCCUCGUUGAUGUCAUCGGUGAAGGGUGGAUCCCUCUGGUAAUCCACCCCGGCUCUCUCCAUGGGCCGAGAUUCCUUAGGUCGUCGGCCCAAAAGCCCUCUUGAUAAAGACCUGGUCAGGGAGGAUACCUUAGAGAUGGCCUUGGAGAAUGCUUUCUUCGAAGCACUUCGGCUCAAGCGUCUCCCAUCGGACUCUUCUUCGGACGAACCUUCAGGGGAUCCAUCCGACUUCCUUUUAGAGGACUCGAGCUUUUGCUUGCCUUGUCUCUUGAGAUACCUCCCUAACUCCUCGAAAAUGUUAGGGUUCUCGGUCACAAACUCGGCCAUACGGGUUAUGGCUUCUCCGUUUGCGGGCUGGGUCCUUGGGGAUUCUUGCCCUUCAGAGAUACCUUCUUGCUGAGCUACAUUACUCUGCUCAGCCCCAAUAGUGAGAGCUUUCCUGCUCCUAGAACGCGUAGGCUUCAUUCUUUGAUGUCUUCGCGUUCCCACAGACGGCGCCAAUUAAAGAGGUCGUUUUUGCCCUGCUGGAGUGAGUCACCCGAGCUGGAGAAGGCCUCUUAUCCUGGGUGGUUAUCUCAGAUGAGGUCACCUGCUUAAAUUGUAGGAGGGACUAAAGUCCCCGGUGUAACUCCGAAACUUAAGUCAGUUCGGGAGUGAAAGAGUAAUAAGUAUAGAGAAGACUAGUAUGCCUUUACCAGAAAUUUGGCCGUCCCCUUUCUCAGUAGAGGUGCUGAGUAUUUAUAGAAGUCAGAUAGGAGAGAGGGACUGCUUGCACGGGUCCCUAGAGAUCUGGCAGGGUCAGCGUAUCAAGAUGACUUGAUGGACUCUGUGGAAAGGUACGCCGGAACAGUUGUGUGUCAGGCGGCGCAUGUCAGGGUAGCUUUAUCAGAAAUGUCAGAGGUGUCAGAGACCAUGUUCCACAACUCCGGUUGCCAGGUCAUUAUACUUGACUUCGGCUUGGUGAGAGAAAGCCUUGGCCGAGGCGGUAACUAGGCCGAAGUCGAUUCCCGAUGGUGAAAGGCCGAGGCAGUCGGAACGAAGAAACACAGGACGGGAUCCCAGCUCUAGCCGAGCUGGAAAUACCCUCCUCAGGUAUCUUUCCAUCUUAGCAUAUGCACAACGACAUUACGUUCGGGCUAUACUGGUAGUGUACAGUAAAACUUGUACUCUAUCCGUUUUAUUUAAUUUGUUACAUGGUAUAAAGUACAUUAAUUCUUUUGCAGUAAUGUUCAAUUUAGUGGAAGAUCAGUAGUUGAAACUGAUCAAUAUUUAUAACAUGUUUGAGGAACAAAAAAAGGAAAGGGGGGCAGUAAUAUUUGUGAAAAAUUAAAUGAGAUGAAUAGAUAUUUCCAUAGCAAUAUGAAGUUAUAAAUAUCAAGGCAAAUCCUUUGCAGGCAUAGCAAGCAACUGUAUUAUUAUAUAGUCAAUCUCAUCUCCCUUCUCUCUUUUCAUUUUGCUGAGUAACUUACGAAAGUAAAAGCUCUGAAAAAUGGAUUCUGAAAGCUGCAAUAGUCUUUCUCCUAACCCUCAUGUUUUUCUAGUGUCGUUUGCAGGGCAAGGACAUGUUAAUCCUCUGCUCAGACUAGGCAAGCUCCUUGCUUCAAAUGGUCUUCUGGUGACCCUUUCAGCACCAGAGAUCAUUGGUGCACAAAUUAGAAAGGCCAAUAGUAAUAUCAGUACUGAUGAGCCGACCCCAGUCGGUGAUGGAAUGAUCAGGUUUGAAUUCUUUGAUGAUGAAACAGAAGUGAUUAGUGACUAUGACCUGUACAUUCUUCAUCUUGAGUUCAUUGGCAAGCAAAAACUCCCUGAACUGAUCAAGAAACAAGAGGGAGAAGGUCGCCCUGUUUCUUGCCUAAUUUACAGCAUUUUUGUUCCUUGGGUUUGUGAUAUAGCCGAGACCCUUCACAUCCCUAGUGCUGCAUUUUGGAUCGAGUCUUGUGCCUGCUUUUCAGCUUUUUACCACUAUCACCAUGGCCUUGUUCCUUUCCCCACUCAAGCUGAACCCCAAAUCGAUGUUCAACUGCCCUGCAUGCCUGUGCUGAUGCACGAUGAGAUACCGAGUCUCUUACAUCCUUUCAACCCAAAACCAGUUAUGAUCAAGGCCAUCUUGGGCCAGAUCAAGAACCUAUCGAAAAGUAUUUGCAUAUUGAUGGAUACUUUCCAGGAGCUUGAAGAUGAUGUCCUUGACUAUAUGUCAAAGCUUUGCCCAGUCAAGCCUAUAGGGCCAUUGUUCAUCAAUCCCAAAGUCUCAAGCUCAAAUAUAAGUGUUGAUAUUUUGAAGGCUGAUGACUGCAUGGGGUGGCUCGACUCAAAGCCACCGUCUUCUGUCGUGUACAUCUCUUUUGGAAGCGUCGUUUUCUUGAAGCAAGAACAAGUCACGGAGAUUGCAUAUGGAUUGCUGAAUUCUGGGGUCUCAUUCUUGUGGGUGAUGAAGCCGCCCGAGAAACUAUACUCCAGCAAGCCACAUGUUUUACCAGAUGGUUUCUGGGAAAAGGUUGGUGAUAAAGGGAAGGUAGUGCAAUGGAGUCCACAGCAACAAGUGUUGGCACAUCCUUCCAUUUCCUGCUUUUUGACUCAUUGUGGAUGGAACUCGACUCUGGAGGCACUUGCUUCUGGAGUGCCGGUUUUAGCUUUUCCCCACUGGGGUGAUCAAGUCACCAAUGCCAAGUACUUGGUCGAUGAAUUUAGAGUUGGGAUAAGGAUGUGUAGAGGAGUGGCGGAGGACAAAAUUAUUCCAAAGGAAGAGGUGGAAAAAUGUUUGGUCGAGGCCACAUGUGGUCCGAAGGCAGCAGAGAUUAAAGAGAGUGCGUUGAAGUGGAAGAAGAAGGCUGAGGAAGCCGUGGCACUAGCCGGUUCCUCUAACCAAAAUAUGCAAGACUUUCUCAAUCAAAUCAUCUUGAGAUCCAAGGUCAAGCUGUAAAAUACGUUCUCGUGCCACUGAUGACACAUGACCAAGUAUGGUAGCAUGAAACUAUCAAAUGUUAACUAAGGGUGGUGGAUUUUGAAAGAUGCCUAAAUGUAGCAAUUAUGGACAAACUUAUUUAUAGGUCUAUAAGUGGAGUCAUGAACUUAGUUCACCUAACUAUUUUAUGGACUUUAGAAAUGGUAAAUGUAAGAAAAAUUUUAUUUGGGUUAGUGACCAAGUACUUAGUCUUUGAAUUUUUUUUUUUAAGAGGAUCGAAACUCAAGAUCUCUUACUUGUAAUUUUGCUCAACUUACAACCAAUCCAAUCCUCCUCCUACUUAGUCUUUGACUUGAUAACACUAAUUGGACAAUAAUUUCCCACCAAUCUUAUUUAGAUAAUAUACUUCACAAUCUUAUUCAGAACAUUUUCGUUGGUCAAAGAUCAUUAUUAAACAUGUUAAGUACUCAAUUGAUCUGGAUUGACAUAAUUUUUCGUUCAAUGUCUACAAACACAAACCGUGUAUUGAUUAGAAAUUACACUGAACUUAUUUGUUGCUGUAUAGAUGAUAGCUUACUCUCCUCUCUAUUUUAACCCUUCAAAAAUGAAAAACAAAAAGAGGAGAAUGAAAAUCAUACAUUGUCUAAAAGAAAAUGUUCAUGGACUAUAGCAAUUAUAUAUAUAUAUAUAUAUACAUAUAUAGUUAAGGAAAACAUCAAAAGAUAGACAUAGUGAUUUGGAUUACAACCAAAAAAGCAUCAAUAGCACAUUUCUUGUCGUUAAUAAAUUAAUUUUUUUUAAGAAUUUUGAUUCCUUUCCAACGUGACUCCAUGCGAUGAGAGGCAUCAUCUUGUGUAUAAACUCCACACUUGAAGAAAUGGUCACUUCCACCUCUCCCAUCAGUUUCAAACAUUUGGACUCCAUCAAUGAAAACUGUGACUUUGCUAGCUUCCACAUCAUGAAUUACAUUGAGUUUGAACCACCUGUUGUCGAUGUUAGGGACUAUGACAGGAUUUUUAUAGUAUGAGAGGUUUCCAUUGUAAACUCUAAGCAUUAGAGUCGUAGCAUGAAGCUGUGCUCCAAAGACUUGCAUGAUGCACACACCAGAUGUUCCAGAUGGUACAUAUCCAUAACCUUCAAAUUGCCAAACCCCCGAAGAGUAAUCGUAACCCUGAAAGCAAAUUAGUGAGAAAAAGAUAAUCACCAUGUUUCUUUUAAUCUGUAGAAGGUCUACAAAAAAGAAAGGGUGAAAAACAAAAUGUUAGAGAUACAUGUUACUUUUAUUUCUUUAAGCUGCUAUAUGGACUUUAGGAGACAGGUUAUACCAACUAUGUACAUGGUUUCGCAAAACACAGCAGAAGAUUAUGUAUUUGAUAAAACAAAAAGUGAUUGUCUCGUCUUCGAAAGCUCAUAGGUCUUGGGAUGUUUUCCUCCCUUCUUUCCUUUAGAUUCGGAUUUUGGCUCUCAAUAAUUGAUACGACUCUUGACGAGGAGCUGUUUAUUGUUUGAUUAUUUCAUCUGAUUAUAUAUUUUGAUUUUUAAUGAUCAAUUUUCUUUUUUUGGUUGAUGUUCUCGUCUAGUACUUUUGCGUCUAGGUUUUAUAUUUUUCUUAUAGCAAAGGAUUUAAUACCGAAGAGUAGUUUUGAUUAAUUUUCAUUAUUCUCUAUAAUUACUUUUCACAAUUAACUUUAACAAAAUCUACUGCAAUCAAGAACAAGCUCAAAACCCUUCACUACUUUACAGUGAUCUCUUUGUAAUUAAAUUAAUUAACUUGAUCAAUAAUUUCAAACCUUGUGCCUCGAAGCCUAUUAACUAGUGAAAUGAUCACGCUGUGUGCUUCAAAAUUCAAAAGGUGCAAAACUUGUUUGUGUUAGAGAAAGUCCAAUUUCAGAAUUUACCCUUAAAUUUUCAGAUAAGCACCAUACGUAAUUGCUUUUACAAAACAUAUGCAGACUUGCUACCUUUUUUUUUUGUUCCAUAUAAAACUUGACCAAUAUGGCAAUCAUAAAUUUAGCUGCAAUAUGUAAACUUACCUCUAUUCGAAGUUCAGUACGAGGUCUGGUAUUGCUCGCAGGAAAAUGAGGUUUAUCGGUAUCGAAAACCCACAUUUUAUGAACUCCAUCAACGUACGAAUAUCGCUGAUCUACUGGCACGUUAUAAGGUCUUUGAAUUUCAAAGUUUGAUUGAUUUAGUGGAAGAGAAACGAAGCCAUCAGUUGGAUCAACAACCUUCAAAGCUUCUGUUUUGUGAUAUAUUGUUACAUUGAUGAAAAGGGUGAACAAGAAAGUGGUUAAAAGCUGAGGAGAAGAGGCCAUUGAGUUUGUUUUAGAUGAAAUGUCGAUGGAAGAGAAAAGCUAAUCAGGGCCUGAGAUUUAUAGGCAGCCUACAAUUGAAGGUGCAGAUUAAUUAUGCCAUUGCAUUCAUUGGUCUAUUAUAUAUUCUCAUGGGGUGAAAUCCAGAGGCAAUUAACCUUUCUUUUUACUGAAGAAUUCUUUACGUUCGGUUGAUGUUUCAGUUGUGGUAUGUGACAAAAUUUCAGUCAGAGGAUUUACAAAGUAUUUGGAAGAAACCAAAUUGUUGGAGAACAGAAUCAAACUUACAAUGUUUCCUUUGAGGUAUACAUUAUAUUAAGGUUUUAAUGUUACUGCUUUCUAUCAAAUAAGAUACUAAGGCUCUAGUUAGAUUCUAGUGUUGGUGUCUUUUUUUUUUUUUUUUUUUAAAACAAAUUGCUAUAUUGAGGGGCAGAGCUACAUUAACAAUUUUGCAGAGUUUAUAGAAUAAUCAUAAAAAAUUUACAGAGUUUUUAGAUUUUUGUCACAAUUGCUCCCCUCAAUUCUAAGAAAUAUCCUUCUCCCUUGAAAUUCCCCACCUAUAUUUUGAAAAAUCCUAUUCCCCAAAUAACCAAUAACUUUAGACAUCUCUCCUUUCGGUACAAUUGUUUCAAAGCUAAUUAAAGAAAAAAAAUUAAUACUACUUGAAUAAGUAACAAAUUUAUAAAAAUGUAAAAAUGACUUAAAAUAAAUACAUAAUUUCAAAUCAAAAUAUCUCAUUGCAUAGUAAUUUUAUCAUUUUUAAUGUAUAAUAUUGUCUUCACUGACCAAAGGUUCUGACUCCAUCAUUGACUAUAAAACUUUUUUUGCAUAAAGGUGUAUUAAAAAAAGGAUUAAUUUUUUAUACAUUGACAGCGUAUACACUUUCACUAUUAGAUGCAUGACACAUAAUUCAAAUUUGAAUUUGAAACUCAAAUUUUGCAUAUGUAUCGUAUAUCCAACCAUGAUAGUGUAUGCAUCGUCAAUAUAUAUAUAAGAUUUACUCUAAAAAAAAGCGGAGUAGGAGUACCAUUUUGAAAGUGUUUCAUAAGAAGAGCGGAACCAAAUAGUGAAGAUCUGCUCGUGUAUAUAGUGAAGACAUGCGAGACAAUGAUCCCCUAUUAACCAGAGAGUCAGGAAAAUAUAGUAGUUAAAAUUAUACUAAAAAAGAUAUUGAGCAAAUUAGACAAUUGUGGCAUAUAAAACGAGAUUGUUUGUUAAGGAAUUCAAAUUAAAGUAUGUUACUCAACUAGGGUAAUUUUUUUUUGGUCCUCAAAAUCCAAAUCACAAAAAAAAAAUAAAAAUGAAAUUAACAGCUCUACGUCCUUCCUACCCUCAAUUGUUAGGCACAAGAUUUGAACUCUGUAUCUGACAGUGAAGAUAACCGCCGAGCAUAUUCACCAUAGAAUACUGCAAACUAAAUGUUAAGGGGUUUCUUUUCUGUCUUGAAAUUGAAGUAUUUAUUGGAAAAAGAGAAAGUUGUCUUGUUAGAAGAUAUUCUUGCCUUUACAAAAGAAUUUACAGAAUGAAAAAUGCUUGACUUUAAGACUCAAAUAAUGCAUGCAACUUCCAUUCCAAUUUGUCUGGGGGAUAGCGCACUCAAGAAGUAGAAAAAAGAGUAGCAGGCUACAAAUAAUACGGCAACAACUAUUUGGGUGUGUACCCCUCAAUCCACGCACAAUCAAGAAAAUGCGUGUCUUGAAAGUUGAAAGCAACCCAUUCAAGACACCCCAAUUGGUCAACUGAACAAAAAAGGAAGUGUAUUUGCAGUUGGUUUUAUUAAGAAGCUUAGAUGGAUCGAGAUAAACAGGACGAAUUGGUAAACAACGUUGCUGUUCAUCAAAUCUGGGGAUACGGGGAAAAAACAAAAUAAUUACCGCAUUCUUUAAACACUUUCACACCAGUGAAUCCUACAUUGGCGACAAAACUCUCUCCCCAGAUUAGGACUAUUCGACAGCAUAAAAUUCGAAAAUUACUGCCACAGACAUCACAGCCAUGAAUUUCUGCCAUUUUGCAUUUGGAUGUCUACUUUAUUCAUAUACGUCUUCAUGGACAACAUAAUUUUUUAGAUGUUCCUAGAAGAAAAUGCAAAUGCAGUAAGUUGAAAUAAUAAAAAUUAGAAUAUUUCAAUCAAAGUUAGUUUGACGGGAUGAAUUAGAAUAAUAAUUUUUUUUUAAAAAAAAAAUUCUUGUCUUAUACUAUUACCAGUAAUGAGCAAUUAAAAAUUUCAUGACCAAAUGCAUACAUAGGCUUUUCAUAGACAAUGGACAAGAUUUGGUCGUUUCCUUUUGUUCCUUAUUGAUCUUGAUAUUCUCUAUAAUGUUCUUCUAUUGGUUGGAGUAAUCAAAUCAAAAUGUAUUUUUUGUUUGAAAAUUUUUGACCAACUGAUGACAUUCGUUUACUUAUUAUAUGGUAGGAGCACCAUAUUUUUUUUCGGCCCCAUUGCUCAUAUUUUUGCAAAUACAAAUUAUCAAUUCUUAAGUGAACAUUUUCGGAUCAAAAGGAAGAAUCCAAAUUAAUUACGCUCAAACCAAAACUCGACCAGUGGGCUCGAUUACCUUAUGUUUUAGUUCAUACGGUAGUCUCAUAAUUACGUUCCUCGCAAUUUCUGAAUUAUAUUCCUCAAGUAAAUAACCCGCUGCUAUGGAGAUGAGUCCCCGUUUGAGUUAAUAGCUAUUAGCUACCACAAGAAUAAUGACUAAAACUUUUUUUUUUUAUCGAAUUGUUAUAAUUGGUUGAGUAAAGGCACAAAUCACCAAUUAAUUAAGCAAAUCCAACCUAAACAACAUACAAUUCUCCAAGAAGUAGUGUGCUGUCAGAAUUGAAUAAAUUCAGUUUGGCUUGGUUCCUCCUGGUUUUCUAAAAUCAAGACCUUAAAUUUAGAAAUUAACCAACAAAGAACUAAGAAGACUUUGUUUCCUUCUUGUUGCGUGUAUUUUGAUUUCUCGUUCAUUCGUUCUUGAAUACCCUAUACUUUUCUCUAUAUUCCACUUUCUUUGAAACCACAUAUACAUUAUGUGGUUAUUUUAAAACAACGGGAUGAUUAUGGUAAAAACCACAAGUGGGUUAUUCAUAAUUUACUCCUUAAAAAAUUCACAAAAAAACAAGAGGGAAAAUGGGCAUAGAUAUGCCCACUUAAACCAAGAACAGUACACAGGUCACAGAAGUAACAAGUCACAUUUUUUUGAGAACUUUGAUGCCCUUCCACUGGGACUCCAUGUAGUUAGAAGGAUCAUCUUGUUCAUAUACUCCAAACUUGAAGUAAUGGGACUUUCCACCUCUUCCUCGUGCUUCUUCAAGCACUUGAAUCUGUUAGGACUGGGCCAGGAAUAGACAAACUCAAGUUAGCACAAAGUAGGCGGUAUAACCGAUCAUAUAAUAGAUAGGCGGUAGAUACCAGCCAUAUAAUAAUUAGGCGGUAAAACCGACCAUAUAAAGACGGAUAACAAAGCAAAUACAAGACACAGAAGAUUUACGUGGUUCGGUCAAAUUGACCUACGUCCACGGGCGAGGGAGGAGCAAUAUUUCUACUAUGAAGAAGAAAUACAAAAGCCGUAGGAAAGUGGUUCCUAGGCCAAUAGGCACUUACAAAAGAGUUUAGAAAAUAUUCCUAAACUCAAAUCAAGAGAGCCUAAAAUAUUUGACUGAAUGGGCUAGAUGACUCAAGAAGCUAAUAGCCCAUAUAACUCUCUUGAGUGGUGCGAGUUAAAUCCUUCAAUGGACCCUUCUAUUUAUAGGCCUCGAGUAGCCGGCUUCUCUUCAGCAGGCUCCGAUGUGGGAUGAGAAGGAAAUGAAAAAUUAUGCCACAAGUCAAAGCUUGCGGCUCUGACAAAACAACAAAUCUCCACCUUGGCAUAAUUUUGGUUCCACCAUCGACAAUAGUAAAAUUACUCCACCUUCUCCACAUAAGCCCCUAAUGGGCGUAAAUCACCAACAAUGAACACUAAUCAAAUCCAAGCACUGCUUGAAUUUGUAAACUGGAAGAGGCUUCGUAAACAUAUCGGCUAGAUUGUCCUUGGUAUUGAUUUUCUGAAUAAGGACUUUUCCCUCAGCAAUGAUAUCCCGAAUGAAGUGAUACUUCACAUCAAUGUGUUUCGUCCUCUCAUGAUACAUCUGAUCUUUAGUCAAGUGUAUGGCACUUUGACUAUCACAGUGAAUAUCAAUAACACCUUGAUAUAGACUUAGCUCGCUAAAUAAACUCUUCAACCACAAGGCUUCUUUGAUUGCCUCGGUCACAGCCAUAUAUUCUGCUUCAGUAGUAGACAAAGCUACGACAGGUUGUAGAGUAGCUUUCCAACUAACAGCACAACCGCCAAUGCAAAAUACAUAGCCUGAAAGUGAUCUUCUCCUGUCAAGAUCUCCAGCGUAGUCUGAGUCUACAAAACCAACCAAAGUGUUAUUAUUUCUUCCAAACUCCAAACAUGCAUUUGAAGUACCUCGCAAGUAUCUGAGAAUCCACUUCACAGCUUGCCAAUGUGCUUUACCAGGGCAAGACAUAUAUCUGCUAACAACACUGACUGCUUGUGCAAUAUCUGGACGAGUACAAACCAUUGCAUACAUAAUACUGCCGACUGCACUGGAAUAAGGAACCCGUGCCAUAUAAUCUUCCUCUUCAUCUGAUUUUGGUGAUUGAGCAGCAGAUAGCCGAAAAUGGCUAGCAAGAGGAGUAGAUACUGGUUUAGCAUCUUUCAUGCCAAAACGCUCCAAAACUUUCUCAAGGUAAUUUUUCUGGGUCAAGAAUAACUUCCCUACUCCUCGAUCUCUCUUGAUAUCCAUGCCAAGAAUUUUCUUAGCUGCUCCCAAAUCUUUCAUUUCAAAUUCACUAUUUAACUGCAGUUUCAAAGUGUGAAUUUCUGACAAAUUCUUGGCAGCAAUGAGCAUGUCAUCAACAUAAAGCAGCAAAUAAAUGAAAGAACCAUCAUUUAACUUCCGGAAGUAAACACAACUAUCAUACAUGCUCCUCAAAUAACCAUGACCCAACAUAAAGGAAUCAAACCUUUUAUACCAUUGUCUUGGAGACUGCUUCAAUCCAUAUAAGGAUUUCUUCAAUAAGCAAACAUGGUCUUCCUUACCUUCAAUCUCAAAACCCUGGGGUUGUUUCAUAUAAAUUUGUUCUUCAAGUUCGCCAUGUAAGAAAGCUGUCUUAACAUCAAGCUGCUCUAACUCCAAAUUAUACAUGGCUACUAAAGCAAGCAAAACACGAAUAGAGCUAUGUUUAACAACAGGUGAGAAUAUAUCAUUAAAAUCAACACCUUGUACCUGACUAUAGCCCUUUGCAACCAAUCGUGCUUUAUAUCUUGCAUCUUCAACCCCUGGAAUACCUUCCUUCUUCUUGAAGACCCAUUUGCAUCCAACAAUUUUCUUAGCUGACGGCGGCUUUACAAGAACCCAAGUUUCAUUACGAUGAAGAGAUUCAAUUUCUUCAUUCAUCGCAAUCAACCACUUUGCAGAAUCAUCACAAGAAACUGCUUCUGAAUAGGUGGAAGGCUCACCAACUGCAUCAGUUUCUUCUGCAAUAGACAAAGCAUAUGCAACUAAAUUUGCAUAUCUUUGUGGUGGUCGAAUGUCUCUCCUUGCUCUAUCUCUGGCUAUGGAAUACUCUUCUUCUUCAGAACUAUCUUCAACAGUAGAUUCAGGUGUAUCUACUGGCAUUUGAAUAGAAGAUUUGGUCUGAGAAGGACCAGAACUGCCAAUAUCAAGCUCCACCUGCUUCUGUGUACUAUCAGUAGUACAAGGACUGGAAGACUCCUUCUUGGAAGAUAACAUAGACAAUUCAUCAAAAGUAACAUCUCUACUGAUCACAAAUUUUGGAGAUUUGGGAUCAGGACACCAUAAUCUGUAUCCUUUCACCCCAGAAGCAUACCCAAGAAAAAUGCACUUUUUAGCCCUAGGCUCCAAUUUUCCAUCAUUCACGUGCAUGUAUGCUGGACACCCAAAAACUUUUAAAUUGGAGUAAUCAGCAGGAGUACCUGACCAAACUUCCUCAGGAGUUUUGAAAUCAAGAGAUGCAGAAGGAGAACGGUUGACAAUAUAACAGGCCAUAUUGAUCGCCUCUGCCCAAAAGUCGUUUGUCAACCCUGCAUUGGAGAUCAUACAUCUUGCUCUCUCCAAAAGCGUUCUGUUCAUACGUUCAGCCACACCAUUUUGUUGAGGCGUCAUCCUGACGGUGUGAUGCCGAACAAUUCCUUCAUUCUUGCAGAAUUCAUUAAAUUCACCUCCACAAAAUUCCAUGCCAUUAUCUGUUCUCAACCGCUUAAUAUGCUUUCCUGUUUGUUUCUCAAUCAAAACUUUCCAUUGCUUGAAAGUUAGGAAAACAUCAUUUUUAUGCUUAAGAAAAUAUACCCAAACUUUCCUUGAAUAAUUAUCAAUGAAAGUCAACAUGUACCUGGCACCACCUUUAGAAGGAGCACAAGAAGGCCCCCAGAGGUCUGAAUGAAUGUAGUCCAAAGUUCCUUUUGUCCUGUGAACUGCCGGCAACUGGAAGCUAACUCUCUUCUGCUUUCCAAAAAUGCAAUGUUCACAGAGUCCCAUCUUUCCAAUACUUUGACUACCAAGAAGACCUCGUUUGCAUAAAAUAGAUAAGCCCUUCUCGCUCAUGUGCCCCAAUCUCAUGUGCCAUAAUUUGGUAAAAUCAGAAUCAGACAAAGUUGAUGUAGAAACAGCAGCAGCACCUGUAACAGUAGAUCCCUGCAAAAUAUAUAAAGUACCAGAUCUGUGUGCCUUCAUAACAACAAGGGCUCAUCGACUGAUUUUGAGAACUCCAUCUCCACCUGAAUACCUGCACCCAAUAGACUCAAGAGUGCCUAAAGAGAUGAGAUUUUUCUUCAAAUCUGGAACAUGUCUAACAUCUGUGAGCGUCCUCACAAUACCAUCGUACAUUUUAAUCCGGAUUGUGCCUUUGCCAACAACUUUACAAACAGCGUUGUUGCCCAUUAAGACAACUCCACCUUCAGCUGAUUCAUAUGUUGAAAACCAGUCCCUGUUGGGACACAUAUGAUACGAACAACCCGAAUCUAAAAUCCACUCAUUGUUAGACCUAAAAUUAUUUUCCGUUGCACAGAAAAUGGUUCCAUCAUUCUGAUCAGCUGCUAUACUAGCUUCAGCGGAUUCAGUAUUUUUCUCAACAAAUUUUCCCUUUUGCUUUUCUUUAUUUUUCAAUUUAAAGCAAUCAGAGAUAACAUGGCCCUUCUUUUUACAAUAAUUGCACACCACAUUUUUAUGUCUGGAUUUGGAUCUACUUCUAUUUUCUGUGUUUUUCUUUUCAGAUCUACCCCGAACAAACAAACCAUCGGCUUGACUCCCACUAGUUUCCCCAGUAAUGUCCCUAUCUAUCUGCUCUUUAGAUUUUAAUGCAGAUUUAAUUUCCCGAUACGAAAUUGUUUCCUUUCCAUAAAUCAUAGUAUCGCGGAAAUGCUUAAAAGAUUGGGGAAGGGAACACAAAAGCAAUAGGGCUUGAUCUUCAUCAUCAAUUUUCGAAUCUAUAUUCCCCAAAUCCAUAAUAAUGGAAUCAAAUUUAUCAAGAUGGGAGAGUAUAGAUGUACCUUCAGACAUCCGAAGCAUGUACAAACUCUGCUUCAAAUAUAGCCGAUUUUCGACUGUUUUCUUCAUAUACAAGGCUUUCAAUUUAUCCCACAUAGCCUUGGCCGAAGUCUCCGUUGCUACCUCACGCAAUACCUCAUCGGAGAGGUUUAAGAUUAUGCUGGAUCUGGCCUUCUUAUCCAUAUCGGCGAAAUCCGCAUCCUUGACAUCUUCUGGUUUGUUCUCGAUUCCGUGAAUCGCUAGAUCAACUCCGUCUUGAACAAGAAUGGCCUCCAUCUUGAGCUGCCACAUUCCGAAGUUGACAUUCCUGUCGAAUUUCUCGACAACCGUCUUUGUUAUCGUCAUUGUUGCCACAAAUUCUGUAACUUGAAGUUUGUCUCAAAAACUGGCCAAACAAAUAUGCAAGUCUCGUGAGCGGGCCCCACAGGGUGAGCGGGCCCCACGAGAUAGGCGGGCCCCACGGGAUGAAAGGACCCCACAAGGAUGAGUGGGCCCCACAGAUAAACGGACCCCACAGGAUGAGUGGGCCCCACAGGAUGGACGGACCCCACCAGAUGAACCUGUCUUGCAAAAUAUAACAACCAGCUCUGAUACCAGUUUGUUAGGACCGGGCCAGGAAUAGACAAACUCAAGUUAGCACAAAGUAGGCGGUAUAACCGACCAUAUAAUAGAUAGGCGGUAGAUACCAGCCAUAUAAUAAUUAGGCGGUAAAACCGACCAUAUAAAGACGGAUAACAAAGCAAAUAAAAGACACAGAAGAUUUACGUGGUUCGGUCAAAUUAACCUACGUCCACGGGCGAGGGAGGAGCAAUAUUUCUACUAUGAAGAAGAAAUACAAAAGCCGUAGGAAAGUGGUUCCUAGGCCAAUAGGCACUUACAAAAGAGUUUAGAAAAUAUUCCUAAACUCAAAUCAAGAGAGCCUAAAAUAUUUGACUGAAUGGGCUAGAUGACUCAAGAAGCUAAUAGCCCAUAUAACUCUCUUGAGUGGUGCGAGUUAAAUCCUUCAAUGGACCCUUCUAUUUAUAGGCCUCGAGUAGCCGGCUUCUCUUCAGCAGGCUCCGAUGUGGGAUGAGAAGGAAAUGAAAAAUUAUGCCACAAGUCAAAGCUUGCGGCUCUGACAAAACAACAGAAUCCCAUCAAUGAAAACCGUUAGAUUCCCAGCAUGAACAUCAUGAAUUACAUUGAGACGAAACCACCUAUCACAGAUGUUGGGAACAGCUGGGAGAGGAGCUCUAUAAUAUGAGAGGGAUCCAUUGUAGACCCUAAGCAUUAAAGUUGAGGCAUGAGGUGGGCUUGCUCCAAACACUUGCAUUAUGCACACACCAGAAGUUCCAUUUGGAACAAAUCCGUAUCCUUCGAAUUGCCAAAUUCCAGAAGAGUAAUCAUAACCCUGACAUGUAAAUUAGCCAAAAUUUCUAGCUUAAAUGUGUUCUGUAACAAUAAAAGAAGGUGUAAAGUUAAAAUUUCUGUAACUGUGGAACAUGUUGAGACUAUUUAAAGUUUAUCAGAUUUUCAAUUAGUCAAAACUAAGAGGUGUAUUCAUCUUUAUGAUGUACUCUAUAAAAAUGUCUUAAUAAACAGGUCAGAGUCUAUGUCUAAUCCCUCAACACAUCAAUGUGGUUUUUUCUUUUUUUAGAAAAAAUAAGGGUAAAGUUAAAUGUUCCAUAUAUGUGCUAAAUUGAACUAAAUUCUCAAUUAUAUGAUAUAUAUGAUGCCCUUAAUUAUUAAUGGACAAAAAAAGUAACCUCUAAUUUCAUAUAUAUCUCACUUUGUCACUUAUAUCAGUAAAUUUCUAAACAUUAUUGCCCAUAUAAAAAAAUUUGAACGUACGAGAAAAAAUAUUAAAGAAAAAAGGGACCAUUAUUGGCAGAAAUAAUUAUCAAUUUCAUCACAAUCCUUCUGUUUUAUAUCUUCUUUUUUCAAAAGCAGACUUUUCUCUUUUAUUCAUCAAAAAAAAAAACGUACAAGGAAUAGAAAGACUCUAAAUACAUCACUAUACUCUAUACAACCCAAAAAAAAAAGACAAAAAACAGAAGAAUUGUGAUGAAAAAUUCUGAUUCUGUUUCAUAUCUUGUCAAGGGUAUAUAUAUACAUAUGAUGUAAUUUGUAUAUACACAUAAAUAAAUUUGUAUAUACUGCAGAAUAUAUACUUACAAGUAUACGGAUUUCUGUACGAGGUUUAGUGUGACUUUCAGGAGAAUGAGGUUUAUCAGUCUUGAAAACCCACAAUUUAUGCACUCCAUCAAUGAAGGAAUAACGUUGAUCUUCUGGUAUGUCAUAAGGCCUUUGGAUUUGGAAAUUUGAUUUCUUUAGAGGAAGUGAGAUGAAGCCUACAGUGGGAUCAACAGACUCCGAAGUAUCAAAAAUCUUGAUGGAAGAAGCUGCCAUUACUGCUUACUAAUUAAGUUAACUAGAAGAUUAAAUAUGCCUUAAUGCAGUGACGAUGGAAGAAUAGGAAUUUCACGGUUCUAUAUAUAUAUAUAUAUAUAUAUAUAUAUAUAUAUAUAUAUAUAUAUAUAUAUAUAUAUAUAGUUGAAGGUGCUGGCUGAAAUAUUCAUUUUGAAGCUUUGUUGUCAUCAGAGAAUUCCUUUAUGUUCCAAUCACUAUUAUCUCUUCAUAGGAAUUUAGAGCCAAGAGCUAACUAUCCAGAUAAAUAACUCAUUUGAACGAAAAUCCAUGCAAGUUAAAUAUCCAUCAUCACAAAUAAGUUUGGAUAUUGGAUUCUUUCAACAUCUUUUUUCCUUUUCUUCAUGGGUUUUUUUUUUUUUUUGGGGGGGGGGGGGUCGGUGUGGGGGAGGUAGAUUCUUUUAAUUGAACCCGAACAAAUUCAUGAAAGAUAUUCCCCAGUCCUCUGAUCUUUUCUCACAUAAUUAGUAACCUGCCCUUUUCCUAGAAACCAACAAAUGAAAAGGAACCAAGCAAUAGAAGAUUGAGACCACUAUACGAAUCCACAAGUGGAGAAUUAGAAUUAAAAUCUUUUGCAGCUGUCUAAAAAGAAAAGAUACCACAUGGUGAAGGUAUGUAUCCAUCUCAUCUGGUCCUUCGUGACUGAAUUUCAUGGGUGGAACAACGAAGGGUCGCUGAGGUGACACUGAACCAAGUUCUAAAAAUUUAGGUGUUUCUUCCUUGAAAUUGAAAAUUUUCUGAAAAAUAUUUUGUAGAUUUAAAUUUUUGACCUUGCAAAAACAUGAACAAAUUUUUUGUUAUAAAACUAAAAAUUUCCCCCUCAAAGUAAUUUUUCUAGUUCCAUCUAUGCUGAAUUUGUUAUAGUAGAAUAAGGAAUAUAGUGAAAGAAAUAUUUGCAAUUGAAGCAUAUGCCUUCUAAAAUACCAUAGCCAAAGUUAGUCUUAUCCCAACUUAGCUUGGUGAGAUGCAUUUAAGUGUAGCUUUGCCUUCCAAUCAUCCCCAGGACAGACAAUUUAAAAAAAAAAAAAGAAAAAAAGAAGGCAUUUCGUUUUUGUUAAUCAGAUUAGUUAACCAUAUAACAAAUUAAUCGAAACAAAUAAAAGGGGCUAACAUGCCUUAAUUAUAAAUUUGAGGAGGAAAAUAGACAAGGAAACCGAACCUAAGGGGACAAACUGAAAAUUAACAUACUCAGAUUUGGCUUGGAAGGACCAUUGGAAACCAAUUUGUAAGUUGAGGAACGUAAUAAACACUUUCAAAAGUUGAGGGACCAAAUAAAAUCUCGAGCAAAAAUUGAGGGAUCUUUGAAAUCGUUUACACAAUCACUUUACCUAACCAAAAAUAGGUUUUGCUCCAAUACGUUCUGGUAUUUAACUAAUAUUUUGAUAUGACUGAAUUAUUGGGAGCGGGUAUAGUAUAACAGCUCCGAAUCUGAAUUUAUUAAUUCCAAUCUGGAUCCGAGGCCUAGAGGUGGCGGUGACGGUGGCGGUGGAUUAAAUGAUUAAAACAAAAGAAGGCUCUCGGCCAGCGCAAAAUUAGGGCGUCAUCAAAUCUUAGAAUAAGCAAUCGUCUCCCUCUUCUGCUGUCCAACUCCAGCAAAGGCUUUGCAAGAGAUAUUUUCACAUCUAGCCGUCGCCCUUUUUUCUUCUGUUCUUACUCGAGCGCUUUUGCUAGAGAUUAAGCAUGUUGCGAACAACAGAGAAAGGGAGAAUUGGGAGACUUUCCUUCAGCUGUAUUUUUGGAAAGCAUGAAGAAAAACAACAGGAAACCUCGUGGUGUGCUUCACGCAAGUGGAUGGUUAUGCGGAUCCAAUGGUUUAUUCUUUCAAGUCUUUUCCAAUUCGGAAAUUGAUUCACCAUUCUUCAAGCAGGCUUAAACCGAAAGAGGAGUUUGUCUGGCGUGAGAUAAAGGAUGCAUCUGAUGCAUGCACCCCACAAUACUUUGCUAUGAGUUUGAUUCAUACUGGAGGUUUGGUCUAUGCUGUUGGUGGUGUGAAGGCCGAUGAGGAAGAGAGGCACUUGUAUGAGCCAGGCAGGUUGUCCCCAGAGUUCAGUUGCAUCUCUCUCUCAACUCCUCUAGAAAACUCUCAAACAGAGAUUAAGUGCCCAAUGCAUGGGGCAAAGUAUUUCCCCCUUAUAGAGGAAAUUGAUGGUCGCAUCCAUGUUCUAUCUGGGCCCCUGCCCAGCUAUGGAUCUCCUGAUAUAAUUGACAUUGGCUUUGAGGUUUAUUAUCCUUCAGAGGAUAGGUGGGCUGAUCUGCCGAUUCCUCCUUUUCUCAAAAAAGGUAGUUACUCCACUAUGUUUAGGGGCUUCUUUUCAUAUGUAGUGAUUGGUUCAAGGUUGCGUGUUUCGACUGGGGAAUACGCGUGUGCUUUUGACACUGUGCAGUGGGAGUGGGAGACUUGUGAGUUAUUUUCUGAUUUCCCGAUUCAACCUCCCGAACGUUAUGUGCGACACCUAGAUGGUUGUGGUCCUCCAUUUCUUUUUGAGAAAAAAGCCAUCCUAUAUAAAGACAAUAUCUUGUUGUGCAUUAUGUCCAAUGACGGAGCCAAGGGGGGCAGAGGGGGGGCCAUGGCCCCCCCUAAGUUUUGAGAAUUUUAAUUCAUAAUAUGUAAAUAUGUGUGUAAAAUAAAAUUGGCCCCCCCUAAAUUUUUUCAAUUUUAGUUUAUAUUAUGAGAGUUGAUAUAUAUAUAUAUAUAUAUAUAUAUAUAUAUAUAUAUAUGAAUUAGUCAUCUUUGAAUGGAAUUUCAAUUUUGGCCCCCAAAAAAAAAAAAUCCUGGCUCCGUCACUGAUUAUGUCUACCUUCCAUCCUCCUGUCUGUGCCUAUCAAAUUUGUGAUGAGAAAGCGGUAAAAAUACCACUUUUAUUGGAUGGCAUACCAGAUGGAGUUCCAGUUGAUCUUGUUGAUUUAGGAAAUGAUUACUUUGCUGUAAUACUUUUUGAAUACGAAACAGAGGGACAGGCCGAAGAUCUGACAAUUGUCACUUUCAAGGUGUUUUCAGAAAGAGGGGGAGAUGGAGCUCUGAGUUGUGCAUUGGUAAGUACAAGGACUUGUAAUACAACAGAGAAUGGCUCUAUUGUGCGUCCCAUCUGUUCCUUCAUAUUGUAAGUUAACGAAAGAUUCCAUGGUAAAGAGACAAGUGCAAAAAAUGCUACUACUAGCAGCUUUCAUGGUAGCUGAUCCCAUUUUGUUUUUGUUUCUGGCUAAUUCUCUUGUGUUUUCCAAUAUAUAGAAAAUGGAGCUUUUGAUGAAACUGUUAUAGCCAACGGUUUCUUGUUUUUGUGGGGUUUUGUUUCCUUCGGAUUGUGUCAUAUAUAUAGUCUUGGAGUUUGCUUCAAAAAAAAAAAAGACAUGACUGAAUUAUUCAUGUAUUUUUCACUAAUCAAACUUCACCAGCACUAACUAAUGCCUUUUCCAUUACUUCAAUACAAAAGAAGUAAAGACAAGUGAAGUAGUUUGGCAAAGGUGAACUAAAUCCAAGGCAAAUAUUACAAGGAAAAUCAAUCACAUUUGUUUAAGAACUUUGAUUCCAAUCCAACGUGACUCCAUAUAGUAAGAGUCACCAACCUGUGAAUACACUCCACACUUGAAAUAAUGUGAGUUUCCACCUCUACCAGCUGCUUCAAAUAUGAAAACCCCAUCAAUGUAAACCUUCAAUUUGCUAGCAGCCACCUCAUGGAUUACAUUAACUCUGAACCACCUAUCAUAUAUGUUGUGUACAAGUACGUUUGCUUGUUCAAAGUAUGCAAGGGAUCCAUUGUAAACCCUAAGCAUUAAAGUUGUGUUAUGAGGUAGGCUUGCUCCAAAGACUUGCAUAAUGCACACACCAGAAGUUCCAUUUGGAACAAAUCCAUAUCCUUCGAAUUGCCAGACUCCUGAGGAGUAAAUAUAGCCCUAAGCAGUAAGAAUGAAGUAAUUAGUGAGCUCAAAAUUUGUCAUCUCAAUUAGUGUACUUGUUAUUAGGAGAAAUGGUAAAGAAACAAUAAUACUUCUGUUUAAUUUGUGUUUUAGUACUUAGUAGUGGCGAGCCCUAUUACAAUGAUUGUAUUUUUUGUUUUUCUCAUCUUCGAUUGUUUAUUGAACGAAUUGCACCCAAAAGCUAGUACUUCCAGGCGGACUCACAUUUAUAUAUUGAAUAGAUCUGCAAUAAAUUCCAUGUUAUGUGGUAAACAAUAAAAGAGAUCCUGGAAGUUUACAAGUUUUCCCUUCUUGCCUUCAAACAAAAAUUAAAUAAAAGAGACCCGGCAAGGAAUUUUACAAGUACAAAAAAGGAUAUAAAAUAACUAUAAGUGAAAUCUAUAGCCUUGUUUUCAGUUGCUCUAGAUUUUGCAAAAUUCGAUUAUGGAAAGUGAUUGUAGAGAAUAAUUAGAAUUAGUAAAAACUACUCUUAGGUGGAUUAUGGAUUUUAACUUUUUUGGCUAUUAAAAAAAUUAUAAUCGAAAUACGAAAACAAACAAGAACAUCCAAAAACUGAUAAUCCAAAAUCAGAAUGUAAGCUAAAAUGAUCAACGUAGAACAAGCUAGUGAUACCUGGAUUAUGAAAGAGAGCCACUCAUGAAGAUUUUAAAUGAAAAAAAAAAAAAUUUUCUCCUUUUUGUUCUGUUUUAAGAUUUUUUGUAUUGAAAAAGAAAAAUGUACCUGAAAAAAGGGAAACAGAAGAAAAAGAUAAAAGAAGAAAAAAACAGAAUAAUUUUUCGAAACUAUCAGAGGUAGUCCUUUAUCACCUGGAGUUCUUGCUUCCCCAGGAAUAACAGUAGAAGAUUAUAAUUACCCUAUGCAGUACAAUAGAAGAAAAUAUAUAAUAUCGGCUUUAAAAAAAAAGACGAAGAGAUAAUUCUUUAAUGAAGAAGAAAGUUAAGAUGCAAAAGGAACAUGUGUGGACUUUCAAAAGAAUCAUUACCACAUUAAAAUUUAAAGCACUGAAGCAUAAAGACCUAAAGUAGUGAAUGAGAAAUUAAAUAUAAUCCAAAAAAAAACAAGAAAACGAGGGAUUUACCUGGAUCAUAAUUUCCGUACGUGGCAUCGUGGGACUAUUCCGAGACAAAGGGUUAUCUGUGGAGUAAACCCAAAGUUUAUGGACUCCAUCUACGAAGCUGUAUCUUUGGUCUACAGGGAGGUCAUAUGGUUUCUGAAUGUGAUAAAAGGAUGUAUUAAAUGGGAGUUCAACAAAGCCAUCAGUUGGAUUAGUUGAGUAUACUAUGGCAAGUUGAGAAGUAUACAAGAGAAAAAAGGCUGAGAAGAAAAGGAAAAUUACACGGCAAGUAGCCAUCCCUAUGUAUUGCUUCAUGCAAUAAAUUUUGGUAUUUGUAGAGCCCCUUAACCAUAUCAUGGCUCGGGACAAAAUAAAUGUAAGAAAAUAUAGGUGCUAUAAAGUACUGGCCAUAUUGAAUACUCUCAUUUGCAGUGAUAUCAUAAGCAUCCAAACGCUGGCAAGAUGAUUGCAAUCAAUCACGUAUAACCUCAAUUCAUUGAUGUAGUGACUUCACAUUUUGGACCUCUUUCUUUAAACGAUAGCUAAACUUUGUGUUGUUUGUUGAUAGUAACAACACCUUGUGCUAUAACAUUUUCUGUUUGUAUGGGGUUAGUUAAUUGGUAAGAGCUCUACACUUUGUGAGGAGCUACUAAACUUUGGCUUUUUAGGCCUUGCUAUUAAAUAUUGCCGCCUUCUAUCAUCAGAAUUUAACGUUUCAAUUAGUACAUAAAAUUUAAUAUUGAACAUCUUCUUGUUAUUGGUUAAUUAAAAGAGACUCCUUGAAACUACUUCAUUCUUUGGAAGGUUCAUUCAACAAUUAAGACUUUCAUAGUCCAAAUUCUUACUUGACAUAAGAUCUAACAAAAAGGAAAUCUAAAGUCUAAUUAGAUGACAAUAUCCUGAGUUUGGUGGCAUUUUCAUCCCUCCAAAUAGACAUGAUUUUAACCAUUUUUGGAGGGAAAAUCAUAUUAUGAUUUAAGGUUUAAGAUGUUUGUAUGACUCUAAAGGACCUAAAUAGUUAUAUACCCGACUACAAAUCACUUGAAAUUUUUGUUAUAGGACCAUGUCUAUUUAGUAUUUUCCAGUUUGCUUUUACCAAGAGAACCUAGCUUUCGGUCUACAAUAGUCAAUGCGCCUCCCCGAGAUGUUACAGCAACAUUUGGUCUUUUCUUGCCAAAAACAUUUCGCUUGCCAACAUUUGGUCUUUAAUUGACUUGCCGUUUAGUCACAAAAAUUAAAGACAUUUAAACAUUUCGCUUACACGUUCUUUCAUCUUCUGUCUAUCCUCGGGUUCUAUAGUAAAAUUAUACUCCCUUCAUCCCAUUUUAAUAAUUUUGUUUUUCUUUUUCAUCCGUCCCAAAUAUAGGUCACUUUCCAAUUAAAGAAUAUAGUUAACUUUUAACUUCUUUAAAAUGCCCUUAUAUAAUAUAUUUUGCUAUCAGUGAAUAAACCUACCUUAUUCAUUAAUUACUUUGAUUCAUGUUUUGAAUGGUGCAACUUUCUAUCAAUAUUACUAUUGUUAUUAAUAUAACGGUAUAAUGGUUAGUUAUACUGAUAAUAUUCAUAUAAGGGUAUUUUAGAAAAAUAAUAGGUUAGAUUUACUCUUUCAAUAAAGUUAAAUAAUUUUUCUUAAAUUGUGUGAAAAAAAUCAAGACUUUCAAAGUGGGACGGAGAGAGUAAUAGAAAUUUCUACACAUAUCGUAAUCAUAUGUUUUACUCUCCAACUCUUUAUUAUAGGUAUUACUCUCUCUAUCCCACUUUGAUAGUUUUGAUUUCUUGUCCCACACAAUUUAAGAAAAAUUAGUUAACUUUGUUGAAAGAGUAAAUCAAGCCUGUUCUUUUCUUAAAAUACCCUUACAUUGAUAUUAGGAGUACGAUUAAUCACUAUACCUUUAUAUUAAUUACAACAAUAAUACUAGAGAAAGUUGCAUUUUUUAAGGUAUGAAUCUAAGCAAUUAAUGAAUGAGGUAGGUUAUAUUCACCAUAACAAAAUACACUAAAUAAGGGUAUUUUAGAGAAGUUACAAGUUAAAUAGAUUUUUUAAUAUAAAAUUUUAAAAGUAGACUAUAAUUUGGGACGGAUGAAAAAAAAAAUAAGACUAUCAAAGUGAGACCGGAGGGGGGAGUAGUGAACACCACUAUCACAAAGCCAACAAUUUAUCUGCCAUUUGGAGGCAAAUUCUCACCAACGAUUAAUUCUAAGUUCGGAUCAUCCUAGGAAACUAAAGAAGAUUUAUCAGAUUGGGAAAAAAUUAGAUAAUGUUUGUCUGACAUGAAAAGAGAAGGAAAGUGAAGGAAAAUAACUUUCCUCUGAUAUGUUUAUUUGCAGAGAAAAGUGUGGGAAAGUGAAGGAAAGUCAAUUAUUUUUUCCUCCAUGCAUGUUUUGUUGGCAGGAAUGUUGAAAAAUUUUCUUGCAUUUUGUCUCCUACAAAAUUUACAGGAUUUUAACGGAAAAUAGUUAGUUACUUACAGAAGUUUCAAUAACUGCUACUAACUAUCAAUGACUUCCCAUAUUCUCUUGAUAUUUUUCUUAGUAACCAAACAUGUAUGAGAAACUUAUUUUCAUUUUCCUUUACCUAGCUUUCCUAUAUAACUUCCUUUCUAUUCAAACAGAGCCUAUAAAUUUUGAAUGUUUUUUUGUUAGGAAAUUUAUGAAACCCACCAUAUAAAAUCUUCCCAUAAUUGUUCAUUUUCCUAUAAAUCUUUUCCUGCUGAAAUUCAUAGGAAAGUGAGUCAAGGGAAAGUUUCAAAUAAUUAGAUUUUUUUUACAACCAUUUUCUUUCUAAACUAUUUCCUCCAUUCUAAACUUCUACAUCAAUUAGAAUAAUUUAGAAUGUACAAUUCAAGCAGGUGGCUUGUAGUUAAACAUUUUAUUCUUAUUUUAACAAUUAAUGAAUUAGUAAUUUAUUGAAUUUAUUUGACAUUAGUAGUUUUUUCUUUUAUAUUUUAUGCUCUUUUUUAAUGUUUGUAUAUUUUUUAAAUAACUUAUACACAUAUAACACACACACACAUAUAUAUAUAUAAACUUUUUUGUUAAAGAAUGUGAUUAAUUUUCAAGUAAACAACUUUUCCAAUAUGCAAAAUGUUUUUAUUAUUACAUGUUUUUAGUAUAUUCAAUACCAAAAAUGAAGAGGUUCAGUAUUGAAUAUUUUCUAUUAAUGAACGCACUAACCAAUUUUUUCAUGAUUUUCGGCUAAAUAAACACAAUAAUUUAUAUUUUCUUGUAUAAUUUUCUAGUUAACCAAACAUAUGUGGAAAAGUUAGUUUCUUUUUCUUUACCUUAUUUCACUUCCCUUUUCUCAUGACACACUUUCUUGCACAACUAUCUUGUCAAACAAACAAACAAACAAACGGAGCCUUAGCGUCGUUACCGAGCAGCCAAGAUUGAAAUUAAUAACACAUCAGUAAGUUGGGUUUUGAGAUCAGUUCAAUGGGUAUAGAAAUUUAAUUCUCCAAAAAUUUUAAAUUCUUUUUUGGUCAAUGAGCAUGUAAAUUAGCUUUUUAAUGUUAGCCUCCAUUUUUUUCAAGCUAUAAGUGUUUCAUGAUUCAGUUGAAUUAUUCUAUGUAUACUGAAUUUUAAUGGGAAAAUAACCGCAUAUUUUUCAGCGAAUCACGUGUCUUUUCGUCUUAUCGGUAAGGUAACUAGGCAUAAUCGUUAACUUCGUCACUAAACUAAGCAUAUUUCAAUCAUGUGGCCUCAAAUUGGGCCACAUCAGUUGUCACACUAGUGAACAUCAUUCUGAAAUAAAUUCUUAAAACUUUCUAAAAUAUAUCCGUUUGGGUCAGUGGUAGUUCAUCCCCUCUAGGUUGUCCUUAGGUAUCUUUAGGUCCCUUUUUCCCCUAGUAUAGAGUAGUGUAUGUUUAUCGUAUCUGACAAAAAAAAAAAAAAUCAUUUUUACAAUGAUUUACUAUAGCCAAAGAUAGGUAAUGCUCCAACUUCAUUUUGGCACAGAUGCCAUUGCUUUCAAAAAAAAAAUAUUUAUAUAUUUUUUAUCUUUGGGUACUUAUUAAGGUAUUAAUAUUUAGUAAUUAUAAAACUAAUUCGGCAAAGCAUCUAAUUUUGGGGUGAAAUAAAUAUAAAUAUUUAUUUACAUAUUAAGUUAAAUAUAAGGGCAAAAUAUACUUUAUCCCCCUGUGAUAUAGCUAUUUUUCACAUAACACUCCUAUAGUUUUAAAAACUAUAUAUAACCUUCUCAUAAUAUAGAUUAAAAUACCCUUAUUUAAAAACUAAAAUGGUUGAAGUGAUCAAAAUAUAUAAAUAUAACAAGCAUGACACUCUAAUUCCUACGAUUUGAUGCUUUACCAUAUAAUCCCCUUAUGGUUUAGUGCUUUACCAUAUAACCCCCUUAUGAUUUUCUAAAAAUAAAAAAAAAAAUAUAUAUAUAUAUACAUAAUCCCCCUCUGUGGUUAAUAAAUAAUUUUUAACUUUACAUUUUUGAUAUUUUAGUUGAUUCCGUUAUGGAUUCAAAUUCCGUUACUUUGACACUUUAAUCCAAAUCAUGAGGGGAUAAUGUAUAGCUUUUAAAACCAUGAAAGGGUUAUAUAAAAAAACACUAAAUCACAGGAGGACAAAGUGUAAUUUGCCCUAAAUAUAAUGAGUACCAGCUAAAAAAUUUUUCUUUUUGUUUUACCUACUUUGAUAUAAUUUAAUCAUUUGAGUAUUUUUUUUUUUUAGCUUUGUUUCUCGUGUCUAUUUUAUCUCUUGCACUUUUUGGCUGAUUUCUCAUGCAUUGCUCCAUAUAAGUAAAGCUUCACAAGCAUUAAGUCAUUGACUAGUACCUUAUCCAUUACCUCAACACCAAAGAAGUAACGACAAGAGAAGUAGUUUGGCUUUAACAUGCCAAACGUAAACUAAAUCCAAGACAAAUAUUACAAGGAAAAUCAAUCACAUUUGUUUAAGAACUUUGAUUCCCUUCCAACGUGACUCCAUGUAGUAAGAGUCACCAAUCUGUGAAUACACUCCACACUUGAAAUGAUGUGAAUUUCCACCUCUACCAGCUGCUUCAAAUGUGGAAACCCCAUCAAUGUAAACCUUCAAUUUGCUAGCAGCCACAUCAUGGAUUACAUUAACUCGGAACCACCUAUCAUACACGUUGGGUACAAGUACAUUUGCUCUAUAGUAUGUGAGGGAUCCGUUGUAGACUCUAAGCAUUAAAGUUGAGGCAUGAGGUGGGCUUGCUCCAAACACUUGCAUAAUGCACACACCAGAAGUUCCAUUUGGAACAAAUCCAUAUCCUUCAAAUUGCCAAACUCCCGAAGAGUAAUUAUAGCCCUAAGAAAUAAGAAUCAAGUAUUGAGUAAGCCCAAAAUUUGUUGUCUCAAUUAAGUGUGCUAGUUGAUAGGAGAAAUGGUUAAAAGACAAUACUCCACUUUUAUUUGUCUUUUAACACUUGGCAGUGGCAAGCCUUAGUAUAAUACAGUUAUUCUUUGUUUUUCCCUUCUUCAAUAGAAGUGUUUAGUGAGCUAAUUGAACCCAAGAGCCAGUCCUUCUGGGCAGACUAACACUUGUAAAUUGCAUAGAUUUGUAAUAAAUUCUGAAUUACAUGGCAAACAACAGGAGAAACCCAGCAAUGAAUUUGAUAGGGAUACAAAAGAGGGUGUAAAAUAAUUAUAAGUGCAAUCAUAAGCAUUUUCUCAGUUGCUCUAGAUUUUGCAAAAUUCGGUUGCUCUAAAUUUUGCAAAAUCUGAUUAAGUAUAAAAAGUAAUAGUAGAGAAUAAUGAGAAUCAGCCAAAGUUACUUUUGGUAAAUUGUUGAAUUUACUUUUUUCUAUUAUUAAAAAUAUAUAAUUUAAAUACCGAAGCAAAUGAGGGUAUAAGAAAUUGAUUAUUCAAAAUUAAAAUCUUUAAUCAGCUAAAUAAUUAGCCAAUAACAAGUCCAUAAUACCCAGAUUGUGAAAGCGAGCCAUCUUAUGAAGAUUUUGAAUAACAAUUAUUUUCACAUUUUCAUUCUAUUUUAAAUAUUGGUAUUGAACAAGGAAAUAAGUACUUAAAAAAAUGGAAACAGAAGAAAGAGACAAGAGAAGAAAGAACCAGUAUAAUUUUUCUUAAGUAUCAGAGAUAGUCCUUUAUCACAUAGAAUUCUUGCUUCCUCACGAACAACAGUAGAAGAUUAUAAUCACCACAUGCUAUACCAUAGAAGAAGAUACAUAAAAUUUUGGCUCAAAAAAAAUGAAGAGAAAAUUCUUUAAUCAUGAACAAAGUUAAGAUAGAAAAGGAGCAUCUGUAAACUUUCAUAAGAAUCAUUACUACAUUAAAACAGCAAAAAUAAAUAUGCAAAGCACUAAGAAUCAAAACCUGAAGUAGUGAAUGAGAAAUUUAAUAUAACCCAAAAAAAAAAGAAUAUGAGGAAUUUACGUUAAUCAUAAUUUCCGUACGUGGCAUCGUGGGACUAUUCCGAGACAAAGGGUUAUCUGUGGAGUAAACCCAAAGUUUAUGGACUCCAUCUACGAAGCUGUAUCUUUGGUCUACGGGGAGGUCAAAUGGUUUCUGAAUGUGAUAGAAGGAUGUAUUAAAUGGGAGUUCAACAAAUCCAUCAGUUGGAUCAAUUGAGCACGCUGUGGCAAGUUGAGAAGUAUAUAAUAAAAAGGGCAGGAAGAAACGAAAGAUUAAAUGGUAAGAAAUAGCCAUCUCUGUCAAUUGCUUCAUGCAAGAAAUUUUGAUAUUUAUAGAGCCUUAACCACAUCAUGAUUCCAUACAAUAUACAUGUAAGAAAACAAAGAUGUAGAAUACUCUAGUGUGUGAUGAAAUCAUAAGCUUUCAAAAGCUUGCAAAUGAUCUCAAUUCAUUGAUAGAAUGACUUUACAUUUUGGACCUCUUUCUUGAAAAUGAUAGCCACACUUUUGUGUUGUUUAUUGAAAGUAAUAACAGCUUGUGCCAUGAUCUCUUCCGUUUGUAUGGGGUUAGUUAAUUGGUAAGAGCUCCACACAUGAUGAGAGAUAUAUUUUUACGAUUUUGGCACUAUUAAACAUUGGCUAUUUAGUGCUUGCUUUUAAAUAUUGCCGCCCUCCAUCAGCAGGAUUUAGCUUUUUAAUUAGUCUAAAAAAUUUAAUUUCGAAUAUUUUUCCUAUUAUUGGUGAAUUAUAUCGAGUCUCUUUGAAACUAUUUCAUUCUUUGAAAGGUUCAAUCCACAAUUUAAGACUUUCUUAGAACAAACUUCUCACUUGCCAUGAGAUCUAACAAUAAGAAAAUCUAAACUCUGUUUAGAUGACAUUAUCUUGAGUUUAGUUGCAUUUUCAUCGCUUCAAUUAGACAUAAUUUCAACUUUUUUUGGAGGGAAAAUAAUUUUUUUAGUUUAAAAUUUUAGAUGUUUGUAUGGCUCUAAAGGAUGCAAGUAGUUAUUAUACCCAACUAUUAAUUACUUGAAAUUUUUUUGUUUACGAGACUAUGUCUAUUUCAAUAUUUUUAUUUUUUCUUUACGAGACUUUGCCAGUUUGGUCUACAAUGGUCAAUGUGCCUCCCCAAAAUGUUACAGCAGUAUUUGGUCUUUACUUGACUUGCCUUUUAGUGACAAAAAUUAAAGACAUUUAUACACUUUCUUCUCAUCUUCUAUCUUUCCUCGGGCUCCAUAGACAUAUUAGAAUAGAAAACUUUAUCUAACAAUCCACAAAAUAAAAAAUAAAAAAUUGAAGAGUAUUUUGCCUUUCUCUCAAACUGUUUAUUAUAGGUAUAUUUGUCAACAGUAGUAUCGAAAAGCCAAAAAUUUAUCUGCCAUUUGGAGGCAAUUUCUCUCCAACGAUCAAUACCAAUUUCGGAUGAUCCCAAGAAACCAAAGAAGAUUCAUCAGAUUGGGAAAAAAAUUUAGUGCCAUCAUCGAACAGCUAAUAUUCAAAUUAAUAACAUAUCAGUAAGUUGGUUUUUGAGAUUCAGUUCAGCGGGUAUAGUAAUUUAAUUCUCAAAAUUUUCAAAAAUAUUUAUUUGGUAAAUGAGCAUGCAAAUUAACAUUUUUUUUGGUAAAUGAAAUUUAUUAUAUUGCUCUCCAAUUUUUGUGACGUGCUUAUUUGUCCUUUUUUUUGGGCAAAUUCCACUUUACCCCCCUGUGGUUUAGCGUUUUUUUACAUAACCUCUUUAUGGUUUCAAAAACUAUAUAUAACCUCCUUAUGGUUUGGAUUAAAAUGUCAAAAUGACAGGAAUGAUCAUUCGUAAUGAAGUCACCUAAAUAUCAAAAAUACCCUUAUGUAAAGUUGAAAAUUAUUUAUUAACCAAGGAAGGUUAUGUGUAUAUUUUGAAAACCAUAAGGAGGUUAUAUGGUAAAGUAUUAAACCAUAAAGGGGUUAUAUGGUAAAAUAUAAAAAUCAUACGGGAUUAGUGUGUUAUGUAUUUAUAAGGGUAAUUUCGACAUUUUUAGAAAUUCCAUUACGAAUGACUAUUUCCGUCACUUUGACACUUUAAUCCAAACCAUGAGGGGGUUAUGUAUAGCUUUUGAAACUAGAGGGGGUUAUGUAAAAAAUGCUAAAUCACAGGGGGGAUAAAUUGCAAUUUGCCCUUUUUUUUUUCAAUCUAUAACUGCUUCAUCAUUCAGUUGAAUUGUUUUUUGUAUGCUGAAUUUUAAUGGGACAAUAAGGCCAUACUUUUCAUAGAAUCUCGUAUCUUUUCGUCUUAUAGGUAACUAAUCAUAUUCGUUAGCUCGCCAUUUAAAAAUUUUGGGUAUUUCACUGGGGACGAUCACUCUACAUCUAAGCUUCCAAUGUUCCUCAAUCCGUCAAAGGGCUACUUCAACAAGAUUGAGUACUCAACUGUAUUCAAGUUGGCCUGAAAUGGGAAAAGAGAAGUGUGUAUGCCACAUCCCUUGUAGUUAUUUUGUAUUUCUUUUCUUUUUUGGAUAAUUCAAAGUUUGGAUAAUUUCGCCAUCACCACCACGAGUCAAGUUAAGCCUUGAGACUAUAUAUAGGUCACUUGAAGAAUAUUUACAAAUUAUCUACUAAUACAAUUCUCACAUGAUUUGAAUAUACGAUUUUUUUUUUUUAUGAAGAAACAGUCUGUUUUCAACAUUGACAGCGUCCAUGUCAAACUUUUUAUUACUUAUAACAGAUAACUUUUAUUCCACGAAAAGAAAAUAGGUAUUAACAUUCCACACUUAAACCAAAGCCCAACAUAUAGAUCAUAAAAGAAACAAAUUACAUUUUUUUUAGGAUUUUGAUUCCUUUCCACCUAGAUUCCAUGUAGUAAGAAGCAUCAGGUUGUGAAUAUACUCCACACUUGAAAUAAUGAUAUUUUCCACCUCUUCCAGGUGCUUCAAUCACUUGAACCCCAUCAAUGUAAACCGUCACUUUGCUAGCAUCUGCAUCGUGAAUUACAUUGAGACGAAACCACCUAUCAUAGAUGUUUGAAACUAGGACAGGAGCUCUAUAGUAUGAAAGGGUUCCAUUGAAAAGUCUGAGCAUUAGAGUUGUGGCAUGAGGGCUUGCUCCAAAGACUUGCAUGAUGCAAACACCAGAAGUUCCAUUGGGAACAAAUCCAUAUCCUUCAAAUUGCCAAAUCCCCGAAGAGUAAUUAUAACCCUGAGAAGCAAAUUAGCACAAAAAUUAACAUGUCACAUGCUGUAUUUCACAUGUAGCAAAAGGAUUUUUCCCGUCCAUACAUGCAAUUCAAUUUGUGCUUAAAUAUAUAUUUUGUUGAUCUAAUUUCAUACGUAUUUGUAAAACUUGGCACACUUGUUUCUAAGUAUCAUCUGUUACCCCAUAGACUAUGCUAUGAAAAAAUGUGCUAAAAUUCAAAACAAAAAAAGGGCAAUUAUGAAAUAGUUACUCUAACACUACUAAUAUUGUUUUGCUAAUUGAUCUAUAUCUAGUAACUUAAGGUAUGGGAACUGAAGUGUAAAAACUGGAAAAGAAUUGGAAGAGAUAAAGAGAUUAAUAGUGAUUUACUUGGAUUAUAAUUUCUGUACGAGAAUUUGUAGGACUAUUCUUAGCUAAAGGCUUGUCAGUGGAGUAGACCCAGAGCUUGUGAAUUCCAUCAAUGAAGCUGUAUCGUUGGUCUACAGGGAUAUCAUAUGGCUUCUGGAUGUGAUAAAAGGAUGUAUUAAAUGGGAGUUCAACAAAUCCAUCUGUUGGAUCAGUUGGCUCUCCAAUAGCAAGCUGAGUACUUGCUAGAACGACGACUAAGAGGGAACAGAUAUUGUGGUAAAAGCUACUACCCAUCUCUCUACCUUGAGACCAAGAAAAUUUUUGUGGUACUUAUAACAACGUAUUGAAAGCAACAAUGAGAGAAAAAUUUGGUGCUGCAUUGGCAAUUGUUAAGGCGAUUACAUGACAGUGUUAUAUCUGUGAUUUAGAUCAGAUCGCGUUUAAACUGUCAAAUUCAUUCUUUUUAAAUGUGCUGUCUCGAUCUAUGCAGCAUCAGCAUGGCCGAACUACUGAAUAUGAAAUUCCAUUUUGAAAAUGUACCAAAAGCAACAAAGUAAAGUUAGUUCUUUGACCAUUGGAUUAUUACAACGUUGCCUUCUCUUUAUUCUUGUGAAAUGGUACACAUGUAAUAGCAUAAGUUAUGUACAUAAUUUGAACAGUUCAUUUCAGGAGUUUCAAUAGCAUUUCCUACUAAGGAGUUCAAUAAUUAAUACGUGCUAAGACUCACUUAUUUAUUCAAUGAGCCAAAUAUAACAUAAUUUGAAUUGUCAAGAAAUUCUCUUGUAAUUGUGAAAAUCUUGGAUUUACAAUGGAACCAGUCUAGAACAUGACCGGUUUCAACUGUAAUUUUAUAUUUUCCUCGUAUAAAAGUACUUCUAUUUUAUCCCAUGAAAACUGAAGACGAGAUAAGUACAAAAGUUGCAGGCCAGUGUUUUGGUUUUAGUUCUCCGUUUUUACUAGUUGACAGCUGAUAAUUCAUUGAAAAACCAAAAACAUGAAAAACAAAAAUAAGAAAAGAAAAACGAACGUAGUCAUCUGCCUCUGUUUAAAUCAGGUGUGUAAGAACGAGUAUAAAUUAAUUCUCCAAUUCCCAUUAUAACUUCUCUGUACAUUCACCCUGUGAAAAUGACAAUGCAGGUAUCUGGAUUUGGUAAAGUAGAAGUAAAAAAAUAAUGUGAAAUGAGGUUUGAAUAAUCUUUUCCUUGGAUCAAAAAGUGAUAAAAAAAAUUUAUUUGUCUUCUUGUAUCUUGUCAUAUCAUACCUUCUCCUUCCAAAAUUGAACUUGUUUGUUUGAUCCAGUUGCAUUAAAAUAGACAAUGAUUUGUAAUCUGCUUUACACAUAAACAGACAAAUAUAUGUAUCAUAUGUAAUUUGAACAAGUCAAACAAGAGAAAAAGUCAAAUAGAAAAGCUCUAAAAGCCUUUUAAGAUUAAUGGUAAGAAACUUUCAAAAUCAUGUGAAGAGCAGUUAGCAAGAACUUGACCUUUUUCCAUAAAGCUAGUUUAAAAACAUAAAACUAGUCUUCUUCUUGUUUGCUGCAUUAUACACUUUAUCCCUAACUAUGACAAUGUAACGACGAUGUGACAUUUUGUUCUAACUAUGAUCCCUAACUUUUUUGACCAGCUGCCCGUCAUUAUUGAUUUAUAUGGUUUUAGUUACUAAUGUUAUUAGCAAAAUUAGCAAGAUAAAAGAUAGUGCAAAUUAAUGAUAAUGUAUCGUUCUAUUUUUGUUAUGAUACCUUGGAACCUUUGGACCAGCUUUAGCACGUUAUCAUUGAUUUGUUAGGACCUCUAUGCCAUUAAUUUUUGGUAAAGUUGUCAUUGACUAUAUUUAAAUAAGAUAAACUUGAGAGUUUAGGUUGCAAAGUGUUCAAAAUUAAGAAUUUAGCUUGUAAAGUGUUCAAAAUUAAAGUUUAUGGUGCAAAGUGAAAAAAUUAUACAAAUUCAGGGAUGCAAUGUGGAGUUCGUCCUUUGAAUUAAGAACUUUCUAGGUUUAAUUUAAGUACCAAAUAAUCACCUCAAUUAAAAGCAUAGGUUAGUAUGUAUUACUUCGAAUUGGAAGCAAGCUAGUGCUAAGAAGCAGAGCCAAAGAUGAUAUUAAGCCUUUUUUUUAAGUGAUCAAGUAGGAUAUCAUAUCAGCUUCUACUUUGAAUAUGCUUUUCUUGCCUUCCUAAUAUGUUUUAUGACUUCCAUUAUUCUCAACACACUGUUCUCAACACACUUUUCUUGCCUUCCUAAUAUUAGUUAUUAAUAUUCAAGAGACUUACCUAUUUAUCCUCAACACACUGUCUUUUCUUGUCAUAUUGUGCCAUGGAAGCCAUAUACCAGGAGGGUUGCAUUAACGGCUAAGGUGAAGUAUAGAUAAGAAAUUAUUUCCCAAAGGUAAUAUUGUAGUCGGUGGAUUUUACAUAUUCAAUCAAAUGUUCAGAUUACAUUGAAUUAUUUCCUUCUUUAUUUUUGAACUUGGCUCCUGGAGGGGAUUCUUUCUCUCCAUUUUUCAUAGUACACAUCUGGAUGAAUGACACGUGUCUUCAUUUAUUAACAAGUGUUAAGAUUAAUCAAAUUUAAAAUAAUUAUAUCCCUUCUUAAUAAAUAAAAACACAUAUCAUAUAUUAGAUGUGCAUUGUCAAAAAUGGAAAAAGAAUCUAUUGGAGAGGAGCUAAAUCCCUUUAUUUUCUUUUUCCAUUACAUCUUAGCGUCAUACUAAGACUCUUUCUUAGUAACGGAGAAAGAAGGAAAGAAAAACGAGCAAGAUGACCACCAUGGUCUCUUUUCUCUGUUUAUGUUUAUGUCUUUUCGGCUUUUUUUCGAUAAGCUAUCAAGCGGAAAACCCAAAACAAAGAAAACCGAAACAAUUACCUACUCUACACCUUGAAUAUGUUUAUUCUUCAGUUUUCAUGGUCUAACGAGAAAAGUACAAAAAAGCUGUUGAAACCUGUGUGAUCAUGCACUAACCUCAUUCCAUUGUAAAUCAAAGAAUAUCCCUAUGAAGAUUACUUCAAAACAAUUUGAACAAUGUUAAAGCGAGCCAAAUGUAGCAAAUAUGCGAGUUUCAUUAUUCACAUCUAUUUUCAUUUGCACUGACUGAUAGAUAUGAGAUUAGCACGUCAAUUAUAAUCGGCACUCCAUAUAACAACGUGCCCAUGGCUUCAAUCCAAUCUUAGGGUUGGUCAAUCAUAUUGUUUCACAAAUUAAUCUGAAAGAGUCUAAAAGUGAACUGGGCAGUAAAUAUACUUUAUCCUUACAGCUAAGAUAAUAGAUACGCUUUUUUCUUCUAAUAAUCAAGUAACAUAGAGCUUGUUGGUGUGAAGACUAAGCCAUCUGUUAAUUACAAACACUUAGUAGUCUAAUAGUCAAUCGGGCUGUAAUUAACUUUACAUAUUUUACCCUAACAGCUAAGGAGAUAGAUGCAUUUUUUUCUUUUAAGAACCAAGUAAUUAACAUUGUCCUUAAGCCAUCUGUCAAUUGUAAACAAUUUUUGUGGAUUUAUGAAAAGAACCACAGCUAUGCAUACUAUACAUUUGCUUAUUUCUUGUUUUCUUUCGCUUAAGCAGCCUGCUCAGGAGACAAACUAUAGGGAGAAAUCCCGAAGUUAAUGUAACUUAGGGCACAUUCUGUGCUCUAUAAAUAUAAAUAAGAUUCAAACUCCCAACUUGUCAUUGAAGAAAGUAUUAAAUUCAAAUGUUUAAAUAGGUUGGAAUAUCAUUAUUUAGAAAAUGUACAAAGAAUCAGUAUUGUCCAUAUGUCCUUUACACGACUUAACUUUUCUCUUCUAUGGAUAUAAAUUUCUAUGUCAUGUACAAAGAUUAGAUCUACGUACCAAGAUUGCAUUAUGAAAUUAAACUAUGCUGUUUUACCGAAAUUGCGUGACGUUGGCUCAUGUUCAAACUAAUCAAAAAGUUGAGAAAGUCAUUUCCUUCGCCUUAGCAAUUAAAAAUUCGCGAUAGUAUGAUAGUAUAUGAGGAAUCUAGGAAGGUUUAAUUUUCUAUAAAUCCCUUCUCAGGUAUUCAUUGAAGUCCACUACUUUGUUCAUGGUAAGAGAUGACAUCUUUUUCCUCAACCUUCUUGCAAUUUGCCAUUCUCCAAUUCCUCUUGUACAAGGUCCUCUGCUGUGAAGGACCUGUGGAUCCAUCCAAGGGCUUCAUUUCUUUGCCUUUUAAUACAUCAUUUUACCACAUUCAGAAACCAUAUGAUGUGCCUGUAGAUCAAAGAUACAAGUUCGUAGAUGGAGUUCACUAUUUGUGGGUAUUUUCAACCGAUAAACCACACACUCCCACUAGUCAUACAAAACCUCGAACUGAGAUUGGGAUACAGGUAUGAAAAAUUCUAUUGCCUAUCCAUUUUUGACAAAAAUAUGCUCAUGUAGUACCGUCAAUGUAGAAAAAUGUUCAUACCAGUAGGUUUGGAUACAUAUCACGUAACAUUCAUAUAAUUUUCAGAUACUCUGAAAUUCUUUCGAACAUCCGACACCAAUAUGAAUUUUAUUUUCGCCAAUUCUUGUAGGGGUAUAACUAUUCUUCAGGUGUUUGGCAAUUUGAUUUUUACGUGCCAUCGGGGACAUCAGGUGUCUGCAUCAUGCAAGUUUUCGGGGCAACUGCUCCUCAUGCCACAACUCUGAUGCUUAGGGUUUACAAUGGCUCACUCUUUUACUAUACUGAUUCUGUUCUGGUUCCAAGCGUCUAUGACAAGUGGUUUCAUCUCAAUGUGGUUCAAGAUGUUUUAGCUGCAAAGGUGAAGGUUUUCAUUGAUGGUUGUCUAAAGAUUGUCGCAGAUGGCCGUGGAGGCACCUCACAUACUUUCAAAUGUGGUGUUUAUGCUCAAAAUGAUGAUUCUUAUCGCAUGGAAUCACGAUGGAAGAACAUCGAAAUUCUAAAAAUAAGAGAUUGAUGUUGUAUUUAAGAUGGUUUUUCUUUUGUAAUGCGGAAUAAUAUAGUGGUUCAUUAGUGAUUAAACAUUAUUGGUGUUUGUUUGUUGUGUUGUUGUUUGAGGAAAUUAUACCAAAUGGGAAAUUAAAUUCUACAAGGUCAUUACUUAGAUUACCAUAUCUACUUUGAUGUCAAUAUUGACGGGUUUUCACUUUAAGUGCAAGUUUAAUUCCGAUUUUACACCCGUUGGACUGCAAGUAUACAGGUCGCAAUUUUAGUACAAGAUGCGUAUCGGGUCGAUCCCACGAGGAGCAAUUUAAACAAUUACUAAGCCCCUGUUCUCUCUAUUAUUUAGACUUACAAUUAAUUUUGAGCAGAGAAAAUCUAAUGCUGUAAUCUACAAAUCUGAUAUACAAAUCUAGUUUAACAAAUGCUGAAUGCAAAUAGAGAAAUUUCACUUAAUGAAGAUUCUAGGGAUGUAGAUUCCACUUAUGGCAUAAACUACACAAAUGAAUGGAUUUACUUCUUGCUAUUAUUCUUGCUUAACCAGAGAUUUAUUUCCAAGAUUACCAAGUCUCAUUUUCAUGAUGAAAUGGCUUAGAGCAAUAUAGAUUUCCCUAUUUUCAUGGUGAAAUACUACUACUACUCCGUUUUAUUUCAUGAAAUGCUCAAUAAUCCACCUAAGUGUAUCUCUAUUUUCAUGAACAUACAACUCAAGCACUACUCAUGUGUUUCAAUUGUUAUUACCAAUUCUCAUUGAAUAAUAACACUAUAAACAUGCUAUUGGUGAUCAAUCAAUAACAAGAAAUCACAGCUACACAAGUAGACAAGUUAACUCAAGAUAUAACAAGUGUAAAUCACAUUCAAUUAGUAUUAUUUAGCCAUAAGUUUCAUCUACUCCCUAGAUGAAGGAGUUUAGCUACUCAUGAAUGAUUUAACAAUCAAAUUCACAAGUUUAUUACUGCAAAACAUCAUAAAGUACAAGUAUAAGAAAGAUAAAAGAAAGCUUAGCCAAUUGAAGGUGAAGCUCUCCAAUUCCUGCUAUGUUCUUGCACAAUAUGAUUACAAGUGAAAACUCUAAAUGCUUCUCUAAGAACUCUUAACUAGAGAGAAAACUUGUUGCAAGAAGGAAAACUAGCUACGUCUGGUCAUCCAGGCUUCUCCCCUGUAUUUCUGCAUAAAAGGUGGUAGAAAUUCCAUUCCUCUCACUUCAUAAUUUCCUCCACUCAGAUUUUGUAAAAAGAAGUCAAAGAUAUGAUGUUUCCUUUUGUCCACACUCAUUUGGUCUUCUCUUUUAUUGCAGAAGCAUGUGCACCGAAUUCCCUUGCAUCUUAUAGCUGGAAAGUGGUAUGCACACAAGAGAAUUGACUGAGUCAAAUUGCAGAAUUUCGGCUAUAAAACGCGCCUACACAAAACGCGGUAUAAACUCGCGUUUUGUCUACUCGCGUUUUCACUCUAGCCUUAUUUCAACUGCGAUUUUCUCCAUGAUAAAGGCCAAACUAGCUUUUUUGCAAAACACAAAAGUUGUAGCCCUUUGAGUUAGCUUUCCAAUGCUUCAAGAAUCAUCCAAAUCGGAGCAUUGUAGCCUGAGAUAUGAUCGAAAUACUGUCACCUGUUCAAACCUCUGUUUUAACUUCCGACCACAGAAUGCAGCUUCUGUAUUCCAACGUUUUUCCCAUGAAGAUGGCAGAAAUGGAUUUCGAUGUCUUCAUACGAAUUGUAGGUAUCUUUCUUAGCUUUAAAAUGGUAUAAAGAUCACCUCAAUCCGAUAAGUGUAGCUCCAGAUAUGGUCAAAAUACUGAAGAGUGUCAAAACUGACUUGUAUUGCAUUUCCUCACUUGAACGUUUUUCACUUCAUUCUUCUUGUUGCCACUUGAAUUCAUCACCAAAUCUCUAUUUUUUACCUCAUUUGACAUCCUUUGGUGAUUGAAUCAUCAUUCCUGCAUAAAAAUAAAGUUUUUACCAUUAAAAUCAAUAGAAAUGCAAUAUUAUCCACUUUUACCAAAAAUAUAUAAUUUUACCAAAAACCUCUUUAUUUUAUUUAUAAAACUAAAUAAUCAACUCAAAAUUAACUAAUAAAAUGCACUUAAAAAUACGUAAAAUAAACUCUUAUCAAGGGAAACCCUUUUGGUUUACGCUAAAGUCAAAGGAGUCCCUUCUCAUUUCAAAAUAUCCGCAAAGAUUUUCAACCCUGGGGAGGGUCACAGAGAAGAGGAUGCUAUAUUAUAAGGAGUCUUGGGAAGGGGAUUUUGGGGAAGGGAGAUCCCUCCUGCUGUUAUUUAUUUCUAUGGUAUGCCUAUUACUGUUGUUGCUACUCCUUGGCGGAUUUUGACAUGUUUGGAAGGUGAGUUUUUUGGGGGUUUGUCUAAAACUUUACUAUAACUUACUGUAGAAGUUUUUUUAAAAUUUUUUAAGUGUGUUUAUUUUUGAAUAUUUUGAAGUGUAUAAUUUAAAAUUUUUGAAAAUUUUUUUAAGAUUACUGUAGUUAAAGUUUUUAAAAAACUUGUAGCAGACAAACUUGACAAAAAAUUUGGCUCCCAAACAAGGCAAUCUAUGUUGGCAGGAUUCAAACCUUGACUGAUACUCCAAGGAGGAACUGAAGUUCCCCUGGUGGCCACCGGACCAAGGUUCCGUGUUCACGAGUAUGUUAACUAAUCUAGAAAAAUGGAGGGAAACUAUCUAAAUUAACUGAAAUUGAGUUACUCAUACUUGAUUGACGAUCAAAGCAUAACUUGGGUGCUAGGGAAAAACAAAAAAUGGAUAAUAGCUACAGGAUAUACACGAUAUUAAUAAUUAGUGACAGCAGUAGGACUAGUAGAAGCGGGAGUGAGCGUGAUUUUGUUGUCUUCACUCCACAUUUGGCACAUUGUGAUCAUUUUUAUUUAGUUUUUUUUUAUUAUAUAGCUUCAUUUUUCUCAAAAAAAAAGAGAGAGAAAUAAUGAUAAAGUAAGUAAAGAAGAAUUUGGGGAAAAUUAGAGAGGGUAGGGUUUAUAAGUUUUGGACAAAACCAUAUGGGCAGUCCACACUAAUUCAAGCAUAUGAUCUGUGUAUGAUUUUUCAACAAAAAUAUGACUAGAAAAAUCUUCAAGGACAAAAUAGUUGUGUUUCUUAUUUGUAAGAAAAUAAAAUGCUUCAUACAUUUACUAUGAUUGAAGACAAUUUUCAUAUGACUUUGAAGACGAAAAUAUUUGCAAGUAAUUAGUUUUAUCUGGUGUCAUUGUUUUAAAUAUGAGCCGGAGAGGUUCCGAACUCGAAUAUCUCAUUUUCACUUCCUCCUCCCUCCCGUACCUUCUCCCGUAUCACUCAAGUUUCGACCCGUCUCUCGUGACAAGUAAUUGGUUGACUCAUCGGUUGAACCAGGAACCACCCAGCCACCUCCUUCCCGACUUUCUCAAUUGACCCGACACAACUCGAAGUCGAAUUGCCAAUAAAACCACAUUCCGUCUCAGAAUUCCAUCCAAGUCCCAGCCCAUCCUGCUACCAAACAAACGCAUGAUAUACACCACAAUCCCCACCGAUUUCCACCUCUCAAAAACCCUAACAACGACAAUAGUUUACCUCUCACACACACUCCCAUAGUAGGGUUCUGCUAAACCAACCGGCGGCACCGCCACCAGCAUUCCCACGUCGGGGAACACUAGCAAUGGACUUCGACGAGUACGAUUAUUUGGAGAAAACCGUGGAAGAAACCAACGGUCCUCCGUCCAAAACGAAGGAGACUAAGGACUCCGCCGAGAAAGAGAGAGACAAGGAGAAAGGAUAUCGGAGAAAAGAGCGUG